CAACAAACUCAUUGCAGGCCGCAUGCAAUGGGGCUUGCUAACGCUCCCUUCUCUUUCACACUUCGAAAUUGGAAUGGACGAAAAUGUUGAAUCCUUCCCUGAAGAGAUGGUGCUGCCCUCAAAUCUUACAUCUCUUAGCAUCUAUGACCUCCAACACCUGAAAUCUCUUGACUACAAGGGGCUUCAACACCUCACCUCCCUUACACGUUUGAGAAUAAGUCGCUGCCCUCGGAUUGAGUCAAUGCCAGAAGAAGGGUUGCCCUCCUCCCUUUCUACUCUUGCAAUUUACAGGUGUCCUAUGCUGGGUGAAAGUUGUGAAAGGGAGAAAGGUAAAGAUUGGCCCAAGAUUUCUCACAUUCCUUACAUAAAUAUUUCCCAAGAUUAAAAGAAGGUUUUCUUUCAAUCGUCCAACAUAUUGAGGUAUUGCUACUAAAUAGUUUAUUUUCCUUUCAGUAAUCAAAGGCAAUUUCAGUUAAAAUUUGGAUGAAUGAAAUACAGAUAUUGUCCAUUUUGUCUGUUUUUAUUUGUUAAAUGUUGAAAUACAGAUAUUUUCUUCCUAUUGUCUCUCAUUCAUCUUCAUAUAUAAUAAUCAUUCUAUUGCAAUAUCUUUUUUGCUAUAAUUAAUGCUACUAUCAAAUGCGGCAAAUGCGGCAAAUAAACAUCACAUGCUUCAGAUUUUGAACUGCCAGCGCCACCCUUAAAAGACAACAGAUUUUUCACAAAAACUGACAAUGGCAAGGGCAGUAAUGGACUCGUUAAUCCAUCGAUGCUUCUCGAGAAGAUGACCAAUCAGAAUGCAAGCACAAAGGAGUGCCACAAACAAGGUAAUUGAAUGGAUUGGGGCUUGAUCAGGUUCCAUACCAUCCUCAAACCGAAAUUCAUCGUAUCAGAAUUGGACCCAACCCUAUAACUAUACAAGGAAAACGAAAACAAAAACAAAAACUGUCAAACAAACUGAAAUCAAUCAAAUUCAAGGUGAUCGAUCACGCAAUUAAUACACAGAGUAACUAGGGUUCCAAAUUACUUCUACAAAAGAAAUUAAUAAAAAAAAUGAAGUGAGAACCUAGAAAGACUCCUUCUCUGAUCUUUUUAGUUUUUACCUUGCAGUUGCAGCCUUGAGAUUCUCUUCAGAUAAAAAGGAAAAGGAAAGCGUUUGGAAUAAUAUAUAUAUAUUUGGUUCGAAGAAAGAGGGAGAGAAAACUUAAAAGCCAAGCAAGAGAAUAUGUUGUCCUUUCUGAGAGAAAGCCAAGUGUGAGGAGUGGAAUGGAGACGACGUCAACGUGUGUGGGCGUGUGUUCGCCUGGAGAGAACGAUUUUAAGUAUAUAUUCCCCCACUUCUGCUGCUGCUGCAUCUGACUAAACGAGAGAUAACCCGGAUUUAUUUGAUUUUGACUUGGAGAGACAGUUUGGCCGUUUGGGGGAUGGAGGGAAUCUUAAUGCAAGCAAAAACCGCGAAACUGCUUCCCUUCCUUUAUUUAUUUAUUCCUUUAUUCAUAUCACGUGAUUUCGAGGGUUCCACACAGGAUAUCACGUGAUUUCAAGGGUGCCGGAAUGUCUUUAAAAAGAUUGUUUUUUAAAAGUAUUUUUAAAAAACAAUAUAUUAAAAAUAAUUAUUUUCAACAUUGAUAAAUUAAAAUGAUAAAAAAAAACAUCAAAAAAUAAUUUUAAAUAAAAAAAUAAACUUUUGUGAAACGUUUUUUUGUACCUUGUCCCUAAACCUCAAUUUUCAUUGCCUAGCAGAGCUGAAAAGGAUUAAAAAAUAUUUAAGUAAUCUGCAACAGAUUUUUCAUUGUUGACGCGGCAAAAUCAAAAUUCAAAAUUUAAGUAAUCAAAAGGAUUAAAAUCUCCAUUCUCUCCUUUUCUCCUUUUCCGCAUCUCCAAAAAUUCAAAAAAUUUUCCCCACCUCUUUCUCUACAAAAAUUCAAAAUCCAAAAACUUUUGAUUUAUCUAUUUUAUUAUUACUUAACUUUGAUUAAAAAACUUUUCUUGAAGUUUACUUUCACCAAAGAUCUUUUAUAGAUAUAAAAAGAAGAGAUAAUAUAAAACAAGUAGAUACGUAGCUAUAUUAACAACAAUACUUCAAGCAUGCACAAAUGCGACUUCUUGAUGGUUACGCUGCUAAAGACAUUUACAAAUCCCCAUCAAUACUGGUGUUUAUUCCUCAUGAUGAUCCAGUGAGCUGACAAUAAAAGAAAACCUCGGCAUUACAAGUAAAUCGAUCGUCACUGCAAGCAUAAUGCAAGCAUGGAAGAGAUUCGGGUAGGAAUUACCCUUGUCUUCAUUGAGAGGCUUUAACCUCCCUAGCUCCUUCAUCAGCAGGCCCAUUGUUUGAUGCAUCCUCUGAAGCGUCUAAGCAAGGAUUGCUUUUACACUAACUUACAGUGUCACGACCCGAAUCCCGGAUCCAUGACCGGCACAUAGACAAGGUUCUCAUCCAAGGUUCCAUACCUAUACGAACCCAAACUUACACACAAACUUAUCCUAACUCAAUCAGAGUUCAACGCAGCAUUAAUAACAAAAUCAACUUCAUAAUAUAAUUGAAUUGUCUUAAUACAAGAGUUCAUAUAAUUCAUAGUUUUGGAGCACUAACUUGACAAAAAAAAAAGGUACAAAUUACAACCAAAAAGCAGGUUUGGAAGGUUCAACAAAAGUAACCUGCUAUCAAGCAAUAAGCCUGAAAAGAAUAAUAAUGAGAGGGUGAGUUCAACAACUCAGUGAGUAGAUAGCGUUCAAAAUACACACACGAGGUAAUACAGUAAUGAGAAAUAUAUAUACAAGUAUGACUCUAGGUUCUUAUAGAAAUGUUUCUCAAAUAGGCCAUAACAAGAAUAUCAUAUGGUAAAACUCGUCAGAAAAUCAAAAUGCAAUGAGCAUGAGGCUCCGUACUGUGGGAUGAUCAGUCCACACAGGUUGGUGACUCCCCCGACCAACUAAGGUUCAGAUACGAUGUGCACAAAGACUAACACUACCCUGUUAGCAUGGGUAUUCUGACUGACAUACCAUAGGUUCAUAAUCAUAAUCAAACAGACAUAUUCAUAUCUCAAAGCUCAACUCAUGACAUCAAUCAAAUGAGGAGCUAUCAAUUCAGAAGUCAAUUCAGAAUAUAUAUACUGGUUCAUAUCAAUAAUUCGGAUUCAACAAUUGAUCAUGCUUAUCAUAACAAGGAUAAUAAUCAACAUAUAUAUUAUCAAGAAGCAUGAUCCAAUUCAUAUUAACAAAUCAAAUAUUUAUAAUAUUUCUCAUGCAUAUGGAAAAUUAUCCACUCACCUGACUAGAAAGCAAACAGAAGUAAAAAUAAGACACCGAAGAAAAUCCUACUGACGUCCCGCCGAUAGAAUAUCAGGAUUAUCUGAAUACAAAGGAGGCAUAUUCAAGAACGACUCGAAAGAAUAUUUAACUUAUUUAAUACACUUAACUAGGUGUAUUCCGUAAUCCUAUAUGUUUUUGAACUAACUAGUCAAUUUUCUCAAAAACCCAAAACUCUAACGGUUUUUCCGAAAUCUAAUCCAUAACAAAACAAAUAAUAAAAUUGGUAAUAAUUUACUAAAUAACCCUCAAUUAUUCAUCAAACCAAUCUGAAAAAGGUAAUAUUACAGCUAGGGACUAAUCUGUAAUUUAUCAUAUUUUUAAGGCCAAAUUGUAAUUUUCGUCUAAUUAGAGGACCAAACUAAACAUAUCAUAAAUUCAUGAAUAUAGUGGAAUUAUGUCCAUAAUUCAUCCUCAUUUCUGUCCAGAUCAUCUCAUUAUACUCCAGGGACCAUUCUGGAAUUUUACCAAAUUUUUAGGGUCAAAUUGUAAUUUUUGUCAAAUUGGAGGACCAAAUUGAAAGUGUUAAAUUCUCUUAUCUAUACAGUAAUUCUGUCCAUAAUUCAUAUGUUAUUCUGUUCAGAAUACCGGAAUAUGCUCCAGGGACCAAUUUGUAAUUUUCCAAAGUUCAGGACUAAACUGUAAUUUUCGCAAAUUGAGGGACCAAAUUGAAUUUUCGUCAUCUUCAACCUCCAAUCCAGAAUUUUAACAGAAACCUACUGUUCUCCCCUGAUUUUUAACUCAAAAUUCACCAUUCAAACAAAAUUAUAACUCAAAAUCAUCACAAUCUUCCAUAAUCAACUAAAUCAUCAAUUAACCACAACAAUCAACCCCUAACAUUCAAUUUAAUUCAUCAGUUAAACUCAAAACACAAAUUUCAUAACCCUAACAUUUAUCAAAACCGAAAUUAAAGCUAAAGAAAACAUAUUAUACACAUUAAAGCAUAAUCUUACCCCUUUUUACUUAUUUCCUCCAACUCCUUUUCUUUUUCCCUUAUUUUCCUCUCUUUUCUCUUCUUCUUCUUUCUCACUUCACUCCUGUGGUUCUCUCUAAAUUUCAGAUUUCUCUCUUUCUUUUUUUUCGUUUUUUUACUUUGAAUUUACACUUUUUCAAGUUUUUAUUGAAAUUACCACUAUACCUCUCAUUUAUUUAUUCUAACUUUUAAACCUUCAAAGGUUUUAUUGUAUUUUUCAUCUCAUUAAUUCAAGACAUUACAUACAGGCUGAGCAUUGGUCAAGAGACUAGAAAGUUGAGACCCCUUUUGCGAAAAGUUUGGUUUACCUUUCGGAGUCUCAGACAGGCUUCCCGUUGACAGCUUUGCUAGGCCCAUUGUCUUGUGCUCACACGGGAGCUUGGUUGAAAAAGGUGAUUCAGGUGUAUUAGGAUGCUUCCCAGGAAUAUCCAUCGGUCUAUGAAACAGCAAAUGAGCCACAGUCCGGUCUACAGGAUUGGUCUCUGUUUCCACCUCAGGCAUCUUAACUACCCUGCAGAAUACUCAUAAAAUCCAUGAGGAAAAUGACAGGAAAGUUUGAGAUUGCCAUACUCUAAACAAAUUGAUAAAGACUUGAUUAAUAAUUUUGUGCAAACAAAUUGAAUAAUUUGAAAUGGGAAGGACGAGAUGUAAAUGAACAAACCCAUUGGAACAAGAAACAAUCACAUUGUCGCUUACAACAAAAAAUCGAGUUUCAGCUCAAAAGAGCUUAUGGUUUUGGCUGGAAGUAUCCCAUUUAGAUAUAGAUGAGCCCCAGUGGCGGAGCCACAGUGGGUCAAAAGAGAGCAAUUGUCCCCUUAUUUUUUUUAAAUAUUAAUAUAUUAGUGAGAGUGAAUUAUUGCUACAGCCUACAGGUAAGGAAAGUUUUUAACUUUUAUUAUUGUUGACUAACUUGACUUAUAUAUACAUAUAUAUAUAUAUAUAUAUAUAUAUAUAUAUAUAUAUAUAUAUAUAAUUACAGCUCCCCAACUUUUCCCCUUUUCCUUUUUGUUUCUCCUGUCUAACAAAACAAGGGUUUUUUUUCAGCUGCCGUUCUUGCCUCUCCUCGUCUCCUGAAUGCAAAUUUCUCAUGGAUUAAUUUUUUUUUGCGUUUUACUUUAUACUUUAUUUUUUCUAUUUAUUUUAUUGUUUAAUUUUAGUUUUAUUCUUUUAUAAUUAGUUAUUAAAAAUAUUAGGGUUUAUGAUAAUUUAGGGGUUUUGUUAUAAAUAUGUUCAAAAUAAAUAUUUAAAUCUGCUAAUUUAAUUAAUUAAAUAUUUAUUUUCUUAUUAUAAAUAAAUAAAUUAAUAUUCAUGCAAAACCACUAUUCUUGACAUCUCUUGCAUUGAUAGAGUAGUUUAUUGAAAUUUAAUAUUUUUACAUGAUUUGUUUGUAAGUAAAAUAUCAAGUAGAAAACAUGUUUUUCAAGCAUUGUCCCUCUUAUACAUACACUAGGCAUUGUUCCUUAAUUAAAUGUCUAGAAAUGAUUAAGUAUAAUUUAAUCAACAUACUUAUUAUAUGCAUAUAAAUAUGAAUUGAAAUAGGUUUUGAUUUUGAUGAAUUGACGUGUAUUUUGCUAUUAAUUUUAUAUGAAAGAUGUAUAAUUAUUGUGUAACUCAACUGACUUUUGUUUAAUAGUGAAUUAUUAUGUAGUUGUGUUAAUUAUUAUGUAGACACUAAUGAUAAAAAAAUCCAGCAGGUUCAUAUUAAAUUAACAUGUUACUAGACAAAUAUUUCAAGCGUAAAUCUAUUGAGGAUGAAGAGUCAAUCAAAGCUUCAAGUCAUGUAACUCAAUCAAGUUCAAAGAAAAGUCAUAUUGAAAUCAACCCCGACACUCUCCUUGUUGACCCUGGCUUAAGAAGACCAAUUUAUAAGUACCAUAUAAAUGAUAGGGAUGCAAUCCGAAGAGCUUAUCUACAAAAAGAUCCUUGUCAACCUUCACACUAUGAUUUUCCAUAUAUGUUUGAAUUGAUUUCUAAUGCAUGUCUAUAUAAUAUAGUAUUUGUUAAUAAUUUGCCUCCUCAUUUAAAAAACUCUGGCUCCGCCACUGAAUUGAGCCGAUUAGAAGAUGAUUUGAGUUCUUAAAUUUUCUUGCUUAAAAUGUAAUGUAACAUGAAUCUGCAGAUGAUCAUUAAAUUAGAAGGGAAAUUUAAUUUUGCCCUGUUUAUCUAAAGUUGUGCAAGUUCUCUGCAUUGAUGAUUUCAGUGAAUCUGUACAGAUCUUGUUUUCCUUCUAUUUGUCCUUGAAUAAACUUAUUGCACUUGUUUAACAUUCUUUGUCUCUCUCUCUUAGUUAAAUCUAGCAAAAUUUAUGAGGUAUGUUGUGCCACUCAUUUAGACUUGGAUGUGCGUGUUUAGCUCUCCUUUUUGGAUUAAGGUGAUUAUGCACAAAUUCAAUGGAAUCAACAUUGCAGAAAACUUGCAUAGAUUUUGUUAAUAUUGGAAAAAUUAAAUUUCCUUUUCUAAUUAAAUGAAAAUCUCUACUAAAUAAUAUGCUAUUUGAAUUGUCACUGCACUCAUGAAUGCUGCACCAGGGUAAAGCUACAAAUGUCAGUUUAAUAUCUGCCUCUACCUAGCUCGGCCUACAAUACCAAAGCUUCUCUCCUACAAAUGCCAGUUUAAUAUCUGCCUCUACCUAGGUUGGCCUACAUACAAUACCAAAGCUUCUCUCAACUAAACAUGAUGACCAGCACUCACAACCAUAACAGAACCAGUGGAAGCCAACUACUACAUAUUUGAUCAACAAGGUCAAAUUCAGUCAAGUUUUUAAGGAAAUCCAGUGAAAGAGGAACCUAAAAUUUUCUGUUUAGAUUUUCUUCUACUGCUAAGAACAAGCGCGGCCUUAAAUUGAAUUGUUUCAGUCACUACUCCUCCAUUGUAAAUAGAGGAUACCGCUUUCAAUAUUUAUUUCUAGAAGGAGAAUGGAAAACAGAAAAUGGCAUUAAAAGAUCCUAAUUUAACAUUUCCAUAGAGCAAAAAUGUUAAAAAAAGAGAGAGGAUAGAUUAAAUUUGAAAACAGAGGCAUGAGAAAUGCAUUGCCUUAACCAACCUUCUUUGACUGCUGGUUUCCUCUUUUGCAGCAACUUGUUCGUCCCUGCUACUAUUGUUUGUACUGCCAGUAUCACUAGCAUAAUGCCUUUGCAUUGCACUUUGAGCCAGCCGGAACAAGCUAUCCCGAAUACAAAGUCUAAUUCUGACAUCCAACUGUUGUAAAACAUUGGUUUGGAAUCGUAACCAAGCACAAAUUAUUUAGCAGGGAAAGAAUGCAAUAGUACGUGAAGCAUACCUUUGAAAUAAUAUCUUGAAGCCUGUAGAGUACUGUGUCCUCCAUUGAAUAAUCAUUAACCGCCAGAGAGACUGUAUUGGAAUCGUCUUGCUCAAUAGGUGAGUUUGGGUCAAAUGAAGCAAGUGUACUUAGAUCCUCUACUUCAAGGUCAGCUCCUUCAACAUGCUGAAUUUGAUUUUCUUGGGAACACUUUUGAUGAACAAGCUGCUGCUGCUGUUUCUGAAUGGCAAGCAUUGCCUGAAUUUGUUGCCGCCUCAAUUUUUCAAUCUUUUCCUGAGGUGUCAUUCUCUGGGGUUUCACUGGACAGUCAGCUAACUUGUUUAUAGGAUUUGCAUUGCCUGAAACUUCAUAACCAGAAAUUUUAGGUCGAUGAUUAAAUGACUAGAAAUUUUGUUGGGAAGUCAGAAAACUUUAACAGGAUUCGCAUUACCUGAAGAAACUUCAUAACCAGAAGCUAAAGGUUGAUGCUUAAAAUCCCCAGACUGAAUGUGGGACAACCCAGGCAUAGAAUAUGGAUUUGUAGUACUCCCGUAUGCAGAAGGGGCCACAAAUGGAUUGGAUAUCUGCUGGUACUGCAACUGCUGGUACAUCUAUAAUCAAAGUAAAAGGCCAAGAUUCAAAAUAUCCAAAAGAAAUAUUACCUACUUAUAUGCCAAAAAUGGCCAAAACUCUGAAUCCUGAAUAUGUGAAUCAAAGGUAUCUCUAACUGAUGCACCAUCAGCAGUCUCCUAUUUUGACUUGUGAUUAAUGACCUAGCAGUUCACUUCAACAACAUCAUUGAAAGGUCCCUAGUGAACAUAAGUUUGAAUUUCAGACCCAGCAAGAAGAAGUUCAUUUUCCAGUAGGCAUGCAUAUCACCUUUUUAUCAAUAUCCAUGGAAGACAAAAACCAAGCAAUAUCAAGUUUUUUUCUGCUGGAUAUCCAAUAAAAAAUACCUCAAAGUGUGAACAUCUUUAAGAAGGAGGAUAUCGCAUUGCACCCCAUCAACUGAUCCACAAAUAAAUUGGCAUUUUUCCAUCAGUUCCAAGCUACUUUGUAAGGAAAAGGGAGGGAAGUGCCUUCAAAGAUACCUUCUUCAUAGCUUCUUUAGAUAUGAAUCCACACGACUUUCGUAAUCACCAAUCACUAUGCGCACCUUCUCUUAUCAUCACAAGUUCCCAAGAAAAAUUAUAUUCUUCCCUCCUCCAGCCCUUUCCCUACAUAUUUCCACCAGCUUCAUAGCAAUGCGGCCCGUGAAAACGACUCCCAAAUUAAAACACUUGAGAAGCUCUAAUAGUUUUCCACAAAGACCUACUUUUCUUAUUAUUUCUUCACUCUAUAUAUGUCAGUGUGCCAUAUUCAAAUACUACUGAUCGAUUCUUCCUCCUCACAACCACUCACUUUCCCCUAAAUCCCAUACCACAACCACUCCUUAAUCUUCAACUAAAUCAAUAUCUCUCAUCACUUAUGAAAACUCCAUCUAAUUUCCAAAUGAAUCACACCAUUUGAACACUUUGCCAAUUCCUAAUUCCUUCAAAAUUUUCAUCCAUUAAAAAAAAAACUGCAAGUCAUACUUUUUCACUUUAACACAGUUCUCCUUAUAAUCAAUCUUCCAAAAUAACCAUACUAUUGCCUCUAAAUCUGGCACGCAAAGCUUCUACAUAACCUUCCAACGUUACUUCUUGCCGCCCAACAAGGGCGGCGGCAUGCAUGGGCUAGGGUAGGCUCUAGUACAGGUCAAGAUUUUAUCAAUAUUUUUGUAUUAGUUUUAUGUAAAGAAAAUAUGAUGCUUUAGUUUGGGUUAAAAUUUCAGAAUUUUUAAAGAAAUUCAGAAAUUUGAUAAAAAAAAUCAUAAUUUGACCAGUUUUACGUUAUUGAGUGUAAUUUUUAAUCUGAUUAUCAGAUUGAGCUAAAAUUUUACGAGGGAUCUUAAAAUAUAUUGAAUAAAAUCUGGUUUAAAUUUUAGAAUGAACAGAGUUUGGUAGUGCUAACAAAAAAAAAACAUCAAAUAAAAGCAAAACGACUCAUUAAAGGUAAAAUUGUUAUUUGCCAUUAAAAAAUAAAACAAAUCAGUUCUUCCUUCCUUUAUAUGUUGCCGACUGGGCAGAAGCAUAAUAGAAAAUGAAAGAAAAGAAAAGGCGAGAGAGAAAGAGAGAAAAAUAAGGGAAAAACAUAAAAAAAAUCCUAGAAAAAAAGAUAAGAAAAGUGAGAAAAUAACCGUGUAAACUUACAAAGUCCAACUUAUAAAAUAUUAAUCUAAGUAAGAAUCAAGUGAAGAAAAGAGGAAUUGAGAGAGAAACAAAAUUUAAUUACUCUAUUUUUAAUUAAUAUAAAAUUAUUAUUUUAUCCCGAUUAAGAGAUUGCUACAAACUCCUCAAAGUACUCAAAGAGGGACAUAAAUUGGUUAAGCCAACAUUUUUCAUUCUUCUAUUUUCACGCUGGCAUUCUGUUACAAAUACUAACUGAAAGAGCGGAUAAAAGAACAACUUCCAAUUAUCAAGCAAUAGCCAACACGUGGCAAGAUUCUCAGCUAAAUAAAAGAAACACCAACAUUUAAACGAUGUGUCUGGGUGGUAAUUGAAACGGUGUGUUUUGUGACACAAUACCCCUACAAUCGUCUAACAGCCAUGCGGUGCAUUUAGUAGGAUUCAAACAUCUUGCAACGGUCACUAGAUUCAAAUGCUCUCCAUCCUCGCCUCCUCCCCUUGAUGAUUCUUUUGACCCUGCAAGUUCUGUGACAAUCUCUCUCUCUCAAUUAAAUCUAGCAAAAUUUAUUCUUUCCAACUUUAUUUGUUUUGACUGAAAAAUAAUCUUUUAUUUUUGUACUUCACAGGCAUGUGGUGGCAAAAGUCGAGCACUAUAUAUAUAUAUAUAUAUUCCUGAAGAUACAUAUGGCUGGUGAUUAGCGGAUGAUGGUGCCAUUAAGACUCUUGGUGUGUACCCUCAUCCUUUCUGCUUAUAGUUGAGUCCAUUUGCAGCUUCAAUGGCUACUAUCAGUUGCUUUGGAACCUGAUAUCACUAGUCUCAUUAUGGUACAGACAAGCUCAGGAUGAUCAAUCCUUGAGAAUCCACAUCCAACCAGAAAUAAACCGAAUUUCGAGCAUAAAUGACUCGAACUCGCUGGAAUGCUUUGGCACCUCCUUCAAUCCUAGUUUGGGAAACAGAAACACUAUCACCAUUAGUUUUCACCGAGGAAGACAGCACCCCCAUUCUCUCCUGCUGUGCUGAUGAUGGGGCAUGAGAGAUAGUCCAAAGGAUUUGCCUCCCUCCUGCCGCAAGCAAUUAGAAUGGUUAUCACCAGACCUAUAAGGAUCAGUUUUUCUUUUCGGACUGAAAAAAACAUGAAGAGAGAAGUCACCAUAUGUGUACCUAGCCGCAGAGACAGCUGUUUCAGUGCUGGGGAAAACUCCAGGCUCUGAUAAAUCUUUGGCAGAUCGUUCUGUGGCGAACGAGGGCGGUGGUAUACUGCAAACUCAAAAGCAAUUUGUGACACAGAUUACUCAAAAUUAUGCCACAAGUGUCAAGGGUGUAAAUCUAUCAUGAAAUCAUCACGUCGUUGUUUUCCACUCGGUAUAAAAAAGAAGUCACACGCCUUAGAGGUUAAAUAAAUUUAUGAAGUUCACCAGCAUAAUUCACACUAAUUCCCCUCUCCAACUUGCACCUCAUCAAUUUUUAUACCUUUACUCUCGAACGAAAAUAAUAAUAUCUAAGUUAUUAAACCCAACUUGAAUUAUAAUUCAAGCAGUGGGUUAACAUAAAUCAAUACAAAGUGAUGUGACUUUUAAGAGUUUUUUGAAAAAACAAAUUAAAAUGAUGUGAAUCUUUUUUAAAUUAAACUGAGUUUUAAUUGAUUAAAUAAGUUGGAUUACACCAGUCAAAUCCUAUCCGAUUUAAUUUAAAAUCCAAUCCAAUCUCUUAACUUACCUUGAGUUGGGUUAACACUAUUAUUGACAGACCAAAUUCUCAAUCUUUAUUUAUUAUAAUCACGAUCCAACUCAUUAAUUUUAAAUGGGCCUACAAAACCUUCAACUUGCCAUAAAAAAUAAAACUUCAUACUCAUACUCAUUAGCGGUUCUGCAUCCUAUUUUAUAAAAGACACUCCAACAUAAUUAAAGUAGUAUUUAAUAUUUUGGUAGUAAUUAUUCUUUAAAGUAUUUUUUAUUUAGAAAUAUAUAUAAAUAAUUUUUAUUUUUUAUUUUUAAAAAUUAAUAUUUAACAUUAUAUAUUAAAACAAUCUAAAAACAUAAUUUUUUUAAAAAACUAUUAUUAUUUUAAAAAAACUGUAUCACCAUACAAACAAAUCCAAAAACACAAUUAUUUUAAAAAAAUUAUAUCACCGUAAAAACAAAUAAUUUUUAAGAGUGACAGUGAGCAACAGAAAUAAACCAUGGCAGAAACUAAAAACACCUUUAAUGAAAAUUGCGCUUCGAUUCACAACGUUUUCAUCCUUGACCAAUGCUCGACAAAGUAGACGAUGGGUCAAAAUAGGGCUAAUAUGCUGUGUAUGUUUGAUAAUGCAGUGAAUAUAAUUUUCUAAAAAUAUUUUUCGAUUAAUAAAAUAUUUCUUAAAGAAAUUUUCAAUAAUUUUGUUAAGAAAUUUGCGUGGACAGACAUUUUAAAGAAUGAUGCUAAAUUUGGUGUUACAUAGGCAGCUGCUGGCUCCUCUUGUAUCUUUUGGGGUUUGGCAUCGUUUGUUUCCUGCCGUUGUCUAUUCUCCGGUCGUCGAAGCUGACUGCAAUCCUCUGACUCUGUUCUCAUAGUCAGAUGCUUCCUCUGUUUUCUCCUGGCAUUAAAAUUACAGCUGACCUUCAAAUCUUAUUGAUGAUAUGCCUUUGGUCAUUUUCAUGAAUGGUGCUUGGUGUUGUCUUCUAGUGUUUGCAGUACUGAAUAUGAAAUGAGCUACGCCUGGUUACUCAAUUCAUUAACCUCCCUACUUUUAAUUAUAUAUAUAUAUAUAUAUAUAUAUAUAUAUAUAUAUAUAUAUUUUCUAAUCCAAGUAAAAUGAAUUAUAUUAUUUUUUAAAAUAAAUUUAAUCUCAAAUAAAAAUUUUACUUUCUAAAAUAAAAUAUGAAUUAUAUUAUUUUAAAAAUUUGCUUGAGUUACAUGAGGUUUUAUGGCAGCCCAGUAACGGACUCUUAGCAGAAUACCAGGCUGUUAGGCCUCCCUUUUCAUCAUUUUGAGCUUUACCGGUUACGCUUUUUUUGAGGAUGAAUAUUCUUAUUUAUUUUAUUUUUUCAACUUAAGGAUGAACAGUAUGUUUAUUAAAGACUGCAUUAACAGCCGGCUGCUAUUUUGAGUUCUGCGGGGCUUUUUGGAAGUGCCUUCCGUUUAGGGAAAAUUUGGAUUUUUUAUUUAAUUUUUUUUUACAUAAUGUUUAAAAUAAUUUUAAAAAAUAAAAAAAUUAUGGUAAUGUAUUUUUACUUACUUUAAAAAUCAUCCACUUGAUUAAUGGGCAUUAGCUGUUUAACACCACAUGGUAAAAACUUCGGGUUCCUUCCCUACGUACCCUUUUCCUCACUGGUUCUACAAUGUCUCUGGGUGGGUCCAUCUGUGCAAGUGCCUUGUAAAAUUGCCUUAUUCAGUAGUAUUUGUAAUUUUGUGUAGAGCUGGUAUCAUUCUUUGAAAUCAUAGUUAUUACGUCAUUGAGUUAACUCGUGUGUUAAUUAUAGGAUCAAUCAUUUUACUUUGUUUUUUUUCUUUAAAAAGAACAAAAUUUCUUGUAUUGACCUCAGUGUAUUUAGAUAAGAUUUUAUCAGUACAGUUGGGUAAUUAAGAAUCUAGUUGAGUCAAAUGGUUUUUGAUCAUAUUAAUGUUUUUUCUAGUUGAAUUUUAAACAUGAUCUAGAUUAGACUCUAGAUUAUGAAUUCCAUGUAUUAACUCACCAUCAAAUUUAACAGCUUUGCUAUAUUUUGGAAUAACAUAUAUAUAAAUAAAAAAAUUAAUAUAUUUUGAAGUAAAAUAUAUUUUUAAAACAUAUUUAAAAAAACAAACAAUAUUUUACUCACAAACAGAUAAUCCUAUUGCAUCUUAAACUCCAAGUUUCCAACAAUGAGUACCCCCAACUAAACAAUAUCUACAUUCAAUUAGAACUUGUGGUAUAGUUACCUGACAGCGAAAUAAAAAAGAAGAAGUAGGAACCCCCCUGGAUCUAGGAAAUUUCUAUUAGACCUGCAAACUGAGGCCGUAACGAGCUUUGGAUCUACACACAGGGAAGAGUAAUUUCAAUAGACCAUGAUCCAAAUCAACGGCUGAAAUCUAAUAACUCAAGGGAUAGUGACACGUUGCCAGGAGUGGAAGACAGCUGGUCUCCAGUACGAAGAGAAACAGCAACGUUUUUGUUGUUUAAAAUGGAGUGUUUGUCUUCAUUGUUUCAUGGGAAAUGGGCUGAUGUCAGAUGGAGAAAUUUCUGUGCCGAUCCACUGGAGAGAGAGACUUCUUCAACCACCAAUCAAAUUAUUCUUAUUGACUUUCUGUGCAGUUUGGCACUUUCCUUCGCUCAUUCUCUCUUUGCACCACAAACACUUGGUAUUUUAAAAAGAGAAACUAAGCACGGUUUUGCUGUCAAAGUUGUUGUUUUCGUAUUUUAAAAGAGUUUUUUUAAAAAAUUAAUUUGUUUUUUAUUUUUUAUCAAUUUUUUAAUUGUCUCCAUAAUAGAAAGAUACCAUCCCCACAAUACAAAACUCUUAAAAAAAAAGAUACCUGUCGUUGUGCUGUUUUAUCGAUAUCACAAGCCACGCGAGUAGCGUGAUUAGAGUGAUUUUGUAUGGGACCCAGUUGUGACAUCAGCUGCUUUUGUGUUUUUUCUUUCAAUCACAGCUUGAUAGUAGGCAUGGCAUGAUUGAUGAUUGAUGGGGGGAGGGGAAAUGGGAGCCACACGAUCCAUUUCAUGGUUGGUUGGUUUUUUUAUUAACGUGGUUUUACUGUCGGUUUGCUUCUAUUUUAACUAAUUUUACAAAUCUAAAAUAUAACUAGUUAACCUGCUGUUGUAUUAUUUUAUUUCACGGUUGUUUCUUGCUUGUGGAAGAUCAUGUCAUAACGGAUCUUACGGGAUCGAUACCUUGCUCGGUGUUGAUUUACUACAAUGGCUGCACGUGAACCCGUCCACCAGAACAAAUCCCAACCAGUGUCCGUCUAUCACACUCAAAUUAAUUUGAGAUUUCUGUUCCAGUGCCUCCAGAGAAGAGUAUAGUUGUUAAUCAUCUUUUAUUUUUGUGUUUUAUAAUUUUUUUAGGGUAAAUUCUCAUAUAACUUAUCAUAAUAUCUAAUCUCUACAAACCGACUGCAUCAUUAAAUUUAAUUUUCUUGAAAUAUUUUUUAUGAACAAGCUCCCAUUGCUGUUUCUGAUGACAAGCAUUGCUUAAUUUGUUAUUGCCUCCUUGAUUUUAAAUAUAUAUUUAAAAAUUAUAAAUCAUUUACAUAUAUAAAUUUGGAUACCGAGGUUAAUCAUGUUGGAUAAUAUCACUUCCACCUCCAUAUCCAAACAAGUAAGGUUUUUUUUAUCCAUCAUUAUGGAACAAAAAUCCCUCCAUAUUCACUUUUAUUCAGGUAAAUGGAUGUGAACGGGUUCAAUUGUCAUUUCUAAAAUUAAUUAAGCCCAAGUUAUCGAUAAAUGUAUUAGGAAAUCAAGUUUUUAUUAUUUAUUAUGAUUUUUAAUAUAUUUAUAUAGUAAAAUCCCUCGUAUAUAUAUUGAAUGCUCUUUCUCCAUCAAAGCUAAUGGAAAUGUGUAUAAAUUAUCAUUUUCUCCCCCAUUUAAGUUUUUGACAAUCAAUCGAUGGUUUGAUAGCAUUUAAUAUAUAGAUCACUGACCUGCUGGUGAGCAUUACCAAGCAUGUUCUGCAGCCGAAGCUAGAAAGACUACCUGCUGAGCAGAAGCAACAACUGGUGGAUAAGUAUAAGAUGGAAGACAAACAGGUAUUAUAUAGCUCUGAGGUGUGAUGGCAAAGAUUGAAUAACAUUAUAAAGGGGACAUACUCUUGCUUUCAGCAUCCUCGUGUGGAUUUAACUAGCACUCAUCUCAUUUCACAUUCACAGGCCUCCCUGUUCCCAGAAAUUAGCUCAAUGCUCCUUUUAGUUCCUCAAGAUUUAAUUUUGGUGGAAUCUAAUUAAUAACAGAUAAAAGCAACAUUCAUAAGCAGAUUGUUUCAGAGCUCUUAACUGCAAGUUCAGGGGAAAUGCAUUUAAGCCUGGAACGGUGCGGGGCCUGUAUCUACGUUUAUGCCUAAGAAUAGUUUCUCUUAAGUUAUGAUUAGAAGUAUAAAUUUGAAGUCACAAGCUAGCAGUGAUGGUGAAUUGUGUUUGAACUCUUUGCAUUUCAUCAUCCUCUACUGCCAUGACACGUCCUAGAUGACUGGAUGCUGUGGAUGUGACCUGGACCAUAGCCAUGACAGUCUCCUUUCCUACCCUUUUCCUCGCUGGUUCCUUGACAUCUUCGGGUGGGUGCAGGUGCCUUGUUAAAUUGUCUGAGUCAUUAUCGGUAAUUUUGUGCAGAACUGUUAUUAUUCUUUGAAAUCAGACCGGGUUCGAGGAUCGAGUAUAAAAGAAUUUGGAAUCAUUUUAUUAAAAUGAUUUUUUUAAAAACAAAUUCCUUAGUAUUUAUUUAAUCAAGUUUAAAUCAGAUUUUUAUCUGGUCAAAUAAAUCAUUAAAAAUUCAAUUGAGAUAAUAAGAUUUUAUCAUAUCACCAUUUUUUCUAAUUCAAUUUUAAACUUGGUUUAUAUCAAUAUUUGGAGGAUGUGCUCUCCAUAUGAAAUCAGUAUGCAGGAAAGAGUUUAAAAACUAUACUAUAUAUAGAAAAAAUAUUUUGAAAUAAAAUGAUAUAUAUAUAAAACCCUCAAGGUCUAGGGUCCACCGGUGAAAGCAUGAAGUGAAGGGUUCUUCUGCAUUAUUAGCACAAGUGAAAAGAAAGAUUAUAUUGGGCAUAUAAUAAAGUUAUUCCAACCAAACCCUCUUUUUCGACCGAUGGGGUCUCUUGGCAAAUAAAUCAAGGACAGACCGAUGGGGUCUCUUGGCAAAUAAAUUAUAAUUAAUUUUUUUUUGGAGUGAUUUUUUAUCUUUUGAUUAUGUAAAAUUUAGUAUUUUGUUUUUCCUUUAGCUUCUGCAAUUUGAUAUUUACGUUCAAUUUCUAUAAUUUGUGUUGUGUUUUGGAGUAAUCAUAUAAUUUCGAGAAUAUAUUUAUUUAGUUUCUGCGAUAUCUAUUCACUUUCUGUAAUUUGAUACUUUAUUUUUCGUUGCUUUUGCUUUCUGUUUUUUUAUUUGUUAAUUAUGGCUACCGAAAUAGAUGAUUCGUUUCAGUCUGUGAGAGGUUGGAUGAAAAUAAUUAUUCGUACUAGUAAUGAGAAAUUUCUUUAAGGGUAAGAAGAUGUGGGUGUAUGUUAGUGGAACUUAUAUGAUACCCAAGAAUACCGAGAAAAGUGAUGUUAUUUUGAUAGAUAUAUGGGAAGCAAAUAAUACAAAGAUUAUUAUUUGAAUCAACAAUUCUGCCGAGCAUUCUAUAGGUAUAUAGUUGGCGAAGUAUGAGACAACAAAGAAGAUUUAAAAUCAUCUGCAAAGAUUAUUCAUGCAAUCAAAUUUUAUAAAGCAAUAUAAUACCCCCAAAAGUCAUGGUAGUAAUGAAUAUUUGAUUUUUUUUUAAUGAAAACUAGAGAACUAUAUUAGAAGAAAAAAACCUGCUAUUUAGGAUUAAUUAAUUGCUUUAAUUCAAUUCUUUCUAUUGACAUUGAUACCAAACAUGUUAAUUCAUAAUAUAAUCAAGUAAUUCAAUUCAAAUUUACUAAUACAAUUCAACUCCACUUAAGCCUUUGAAUAUAGCCAAAUGCAAAGGUUAUUAAAGUGAAGGAUCUUAAUAAUUUUUAUGCUUUGCAACCCUAGGAGCCACACAAAAUAUAAUGUGUUUAGACCAUAUUUAUUUGCUGAAAAGUAAUUUCUUUUUAUAAAGAGAUUUUAUCAUAAGUGAAUUAUUUUUUUAUAUUUGAUAAUACCAUGAAAAAUAAGUUGGAAAAUAUCUUUUAAUAUUUAAUUAUGUCAUGAAAGAUGAGGUGAAAAAUAAUUUUUUUAUUUUUUAUUUUUUUUCAAGUUUAUUAAAAGAAUGAGAAACAAGUCUUACAUAUAAAAAUAUUAAAGGAGGAUGAAAUUGGAAAAAAAAUUUAUUUUCAUAAACUAUUUCAAAUAAAAUAAAUAACAAUAAAAAGAAUUAGGACCAAAUCUGAUAAAUAAAAAAAUUUAAUUAAAAAAAGAUAAGAUAAAAGAAAAUAAAAAUAAAAAUAAAAAGAAUGAGAAUCAAAGUUGAUAUAAAAAUAAGAUUAAAUCAAAUUAUACGGGAUAGAAUUGAAAAAAAAACAUUCAAAACAAAAUGUAUAGCAAUCAAAAGAUUAAGGACUAAAUUGGAUACAAUCAAUAAAUAACAAGAUAUUUUUAAAUUUUUUACAAUUUCUAGAAAAAUUUUUCAGUCCAAAAUAAAUAUAAAAUAAUUUUCUAGAAAUCAAAUCAAAUUUAAUAUUUUUUAUUUUUAAAAAAUGAUUUUUAAUAUAAAAUAUCAAAAUAAUUAUAUGUAAAGUAAUAUAAAUAAUGUUUUUUUCAUUUUAAAAUAUUAAUAUAUUAAAAUAAUAUGAUAACAUAAAAAAAAUAUUAAAUUAAAAUAAAAAAAAUAAUUUUAAUAUUUUUAAAAUACGUUCAAAAAGAAAUUCCAAACACUAGCAAUAUGGGUGCUUCAUAAGAAAGAUCGAAGGUGACAUUCAUUAUAACUCUACUGCCCCACAUCUCUCUCCUACCUGCAGCAACCACUAAUAGAAUGUUCAUGGCGUCUUCUUCUUCUUCUUUGCCUAGACCUGGUUGGGUUUACGAUGUAUUUCUAAGUUUUAGAGGUGAAGAUACUCGCAAAAAUUUUACGGAUCAUCUUUACACUGCUUUACUCCAAGCAGGAAUCCAUACAUUUCGAGACGACGAAAAACUUCGUAGAGGUGAAGAAAUCUCCUUCCAACUCUCCAAAGCAAUACAAGAAUCCAAGAUUUCUAUAGUGGUUUUCUCUGAGGGCUAUGCUUCCUCCACUUGGUGUCUUGGUGAACUUCAAAAGAUUCUUGAUUGCAGACACACAACUGGGCAGAUUGUUCUACCUGUUUUCUAUGAUAUCGAUCCUUCUGAUAUUAGAAAGCAGACGGGGAGUCUUGCUGAAGCCUUUGGUAAACAUGAAGAAAGUUUUAAGGAAGAAAUGGAGAAGGUCCAAAAGUGGAGAAAAGCUCUUUUGGAGGCUGCAAAUUUAUCUGGGUUGGAUCGUCGCAGUAUCGCAAAUGGGUGCUUCUUUUCUUUCCCUAUAUCGAUAGCAAAUGCUUAUAACUUUUACUCUUAUUACAUUUUGCAUUUUAAAUUUGCAUUAAAUUCAAAAUAUUAUCUUUCAUCGAUGAGUGAUGACUUUCUUUUUCUAUGCACAGGCAUGAGUCAAAAUUAAUUCAAAAGAUUGUCGAAGACGUUUCAAGUAUUUUGAAUCCCAGAAACAUAAACGAUAGGUUGCUGAAGAGGUUGAAGACAACAAUGAUAUCUGGCAAUGGGCUGCUUGACGAUGCUGAGGAGAAGCAGAUAACAAAUAAAGCUGUGCGGGAUUGGCUGGCCGAGUAUAAAGACGCUGUCUAUGAAGCCGACGACUUCUUGGAUGAGAUUGCUUAUGAAGCUCUACGGCAGGAGUUGGAAGCUGAAGCACAAACCUUCAGAGAUCAGACGCAGAAGCUUCUUUCUUUCAUUAACCCACUUGAAAUAAUGGGGUUGAGGGAGAUAGAAGAAAAAUCAAGAGGCCUCCAGGAGAGUCUAGAUGACUUAGUAAAACAAAAGGAUGCCCUUGGUUUGAUCAACCGCACUGGUAAAGAACCAUCAUCGCAUAGAACACCAACAACUUCUCACGUGGAUGAAUCUGGUGUUUAUGGUAGAGAUGAUGACAGGGAAGCAAUACUGAAGUUGCUUCUAUCAGAGGAUGCAAAUAGAGAAAGCCCGGGUGUCGUCUCCAUAAGGGGAAUGGGCGGGGUUGGUAAAACCACGCUUGCUCAGCAUGUAUACAAUCGCAGCGAAUUACAAGAGUGGUUCGGUCUCAAAGCCUGGGUUUAUGUUUCAGAAGAUUUUAGUGUUUUGAAGUUAACCAAGAUGAUCCUUGAGGAGGUCGGUUCAAAGCCUGAUUCUGAUAGUCUGAAUAUUCUCCAGCUUCAGUUGAAGAAGAGAUUGCAGGGAAAGAGAUUUUUGCUUGUUCUAGAUGACGUUUGGAAUGAAGAUUAUGCUGAGUGGGACAAGUUGCUUACCCCCCUGAAGUACGGAGCACAAGGGAGUAAGAUUCUUGUCACAACACGCAAUGAAAGUGUAGCAUCAGUCAUGCAAACUGUCCCAACUCAUCAUCUAAAAGAAUUGACGGAAGACAGCUGCUGGUCCUUGUUUGCCAAACAUGCAUUUCGUGGUGAAAAUCCCACUGCUCAUGAAGAGUUGCUAGAAAUUGGUAGAGCAAUAGCGAGAAAGUGUAAAGGCCUUCCUCUAGCUGCAGUAACACUCGGAGGUCUGCUACGCACCAAAAGAGAUGUAGAGGAGUGGGAGAAGAUAUUGGAAAGCAAUCUAUGGGAUUUACCCAAAGACAAUAUCCUCCCAGCUUUGAGAUUAAGUUAUCUUUAUCUCCUGCCACAUCUGAAGCAAUGUUUUGCUUAUUGUGCUAUAUUUUCAAAAGACUAUUCAUUUCGAAAGGAUGAAUUAGUGCUCCUGUGGAUGGCAGAGGGCUUCUUAGUCCACUCUGUAGACGAUGAGAUGGAAAGAGCAGGUGCUGAGUGCUUUGAUGAUCUCUUGUCAAGGUCGUUUUUCCAGCAAUCAAGCUCAUCAUUUGUGAUGCACGAUCUCAUGCAUGACUUGGCUACCCAUGUGUCCGGUCAAUUUUGCUUCAGCUCCAGGUUGGGGGAAAAUAAUUCUUCCAAGGCCACCAGAAGGACUCGACAUUUAUCACUCGUAGAUACGAGAGGCGGUUUUUCAAGUACAAAAUUAGAAAACAUCCGUCAAGCCCAACUUCUACGCACAUUCCAAACUUUUGUACGCUAUUGGGGUCGUUCUCCUGAUUUUUAUAAUGAGAUCUUUCAUAUAUUGUCAACACUUGGGCGCCUACGUGUGCUAUCCUUGUCUAACUGUGCCGGUGCAGCUAAGAUGCUUUGUUCAACUAGCAAGUUGAAGCAUUUGCGGUAUUUGGAUCUCUCUCAGUCAGAUUUAGUAAUGUUGCCUGAAGAAGUGAGUGCUCUUCUCAAUUUGCAAACGUUGAUCUUGGAAGAUUGCCUCCAACUUGCUAGUCUACCUGAUCUUGGAAAUUUGAAGCACUUACGACAUCUGAAUCUUGAAGGAACAGGAAUCGAAAGGUUGCCUGAAUCUCUGGAAAGGUUAAUCAACUUGCGGUAUCUUAACAUCUCAGGCACGCCUUUGAAAGAGAUGCUACCACAUGUGGGUCAACUGACAAAGCUCCAAACGUUGACUUUCUUUCUCGUGGGAGGACAGAGUGAGACUAGCAUUAAAGAAUUGGGAAAGCUACAACAUCUACGGGGACAACUUCAUAUUAGGAACCUUCAAAACGUGGUGGAUGCUCGGGAUGCUGCUGAGGCAAAUUUGAAAGGUAAAAAGCACCUUGAUAAGCUGAGGUUUACAUGGGAUGGUGACACUCAUGACCCGCAACACGUAACAAGCACACUUGAGAAAUUAGAGCCAAAUAGAAAUGUGAAGGAUCUUCAGAUUGAUGGUUAUGGAGGUGUAAGAUUUCCGGAGUGGGUAGGAGAGUCCUCUUUCUCAAAUAUAGUGUCCUUGGUGCUCAUUAGCUGUAGAAACUGCACCUCCUUACCACCGCUCGGGCAAUUAGCUUCUUUAGAGAAACUCUUAAUUGAAGCAUUCGAUAAAGUUGUAACUGUGGGCUCUGAGUUUUAUGGGAAUUGUACUGCUAUGAAGAAGCCAUUUGAAUCCCUCAAAAGAUUAUUUUUUUUAGAUAUGCGAGAGUGGUGCGAGUGGAUUUCAGACGAAGGCAGCCGGGAAGCCUUCCCUCUUCUUGAUGAGCUUUACAUAGGAAAUUGCCCCAACCUUACAAAAGCCCUACCCAGUCACCACCUUCCACGUGUAACAAGACUUACAAUUAGUGGAUGUGAGCAGCUUCCUAGGUUUCCUAGGUUGCAGUCUCUCUCUGUUUCUGGAUUCCACUCCCUAGAGUCGCUCCCCGAGGAAAUUGAGCAAAUGGGUUGGUCACCCUCUGAUUUAGGGGAAAUUACAAUCAAGGGCUGGGCUGCUCUCAAAUGCGUCGCACUGGACUUGUUCCCCAAGUUAAAUUCUCUUUCUAUCUAUAACUGUCCAGAUCUCGAAUUACUAUGUGCACAUGAAAGACCUCUCAAUGAUCUCACCUCUCUACAUUCUUUGAUAAUCCGGGAGUGCCCUAAAUUAGUUUCAUUUCCCAAAGGAGGAUUACCUGCUCCAGUCUUGACACGACUUAAGUUACGGUAUUGCAGAAAGUUAAAGCAGUUGCCUGAGUGCAUGCAUUCCCUCCUCCCAUCCCUUUCGCAUUUGGAAAUAAGAGAUUGUUUAGAACUUGAGUUGUGUCCAGAAGGGGGUUUUCCUUCCAAAUUACAAUCACUUGAGAUUUGGAAAUGUAACAAACUCAUUGCAGGCCUCAUGCAAUGGGGCUUGCAAACGCUCCCUUCUCUCUCACGUUUUACAAUUGGUGGCCACGAAAAUGUUGAAUCCUUCCCUGAAGAGAUGCUUCUGCCCUCAAGUCUUACAUCUCUUCACAUCUAUGACCUAGAACACGUGAAAUCUCUUGACUACAAGGGGCUUCAACACCUCACCUCUCUUACAGAAUUGGUGAUUUCUAGCUGCCCUCUGAUUGAGUCAAUGCCAGAAGAAGGGUUGCCCUCCUCCCUUUUUUCUCUUGAAAUUAAAUAUUGUCCCAUGCUGAGUGAAAGUUGUGAAAGGGAGAAAGGUAAAGAUUGGCCCAAGAUUUCUCACAUUCCUCGCAUAGUUAUUUUCCCAACAUCAGCGGAGCAAAAAAGUAGCAGUUAAAAGGAGCUUUUCUUUCAAUCGUCCAACAUAUUGAGGUAUUGCUACUAAAGAGUUUAUUUUCUUUUCAGUAAUCAAAGGCAAUUUCAGUUAAAAUUUGUCAUGUUCCACUAUUAAUUCUAUGCUUAUUUUUGGCAGGAUCCAAAUCCAUCUUUCUACUUACAGUUCAUGAAGGCUCUGUCACCCUUCCUUCUUGCCAGAACGAUAUGCACAGGAUAAAAUUGAUCUGCUUGCUCCCUCAGCUAUGACUCAUUGUGAGCUUUUCCAUUUGAUGUUCUUUCUCAGUUACUCUGUAUUUCUCCACCAUUAUUAAUUCUUUGCAUUUUCAUGUCAGUAUUACCAAUUGCCCAUUUUCACUAAACAAGAUUGUUUUUCAAAUAUCAUUACGUAGCUAUUUGUGUAUUUUACAUAUCCUUUUCAUGCUCUUGGUCUAAAUCCUCUAUUGUUUCUUUGCAGCAUUCUGAUCCAAAUUUUCCUCUACAAGCAUGGGCGGCUCAUAAGUUUGGAUGAAUGAAAUACAGAUACUGUCCAUGUUGUAUGUUUUUAUUUGUUGGAUGUUGAUAUACAAAUUUUCUUCCCAUUGUCUCUCAUACAUCUUCUUUCUCAUUUUAAAAUGUUUAAUGAGUUCUUUAAAAUAACUAAUUUAUAAUUUUAUUAUUGACCAUGCUUUAUUGUAGGUCAAGUUAAGUUUUUCUUAAAAAUAAAAAAUUAUUUAAAUUGUGAAUGUUUUAAUUUUUUCUGGUAAAAAAAAUUUAAAUCGUGUGGUGAUAUAUUUGGUGUGAGUUGAUUCAAUUUGCAGUUUAAAAAACAACCUAGAUAACCAAUAAAAAUAUAAUUUAACUUAUAAAAAAUUUCAAGAUUACAUAUAUUUUUUUAAUAUUAAGAUAACAACAAAUUAAAUUGAUUUGGGUCAACUCAAGUUAACUUGUUAAAUUCAUAACUUGAAUUAUGAGACUAUGAUAACUAUGUAGAAAAUAAAUUAUUAAGUCUAAUUUUCAACCAACCAAAUAUUAAAAGAUAAAAUUAAAAUAAAUAAAUAAGCCAUUUGGAGAUUGACCUGAUGCGACUUAAUUGAUUUAGCUUGUUUGAAAGCAACCCUGACAACCAGUAAAAAUAUAGUCUGACUUAGAAAAAAUUUCAAAAUGACACUUUUUUUUAAUAUGAAGAUAACAAAGUAAUAGAUUGAAUUGGGUUAACCAAAGUUAACUUGUUAAAAUUUUUAUCCAGGUAUGAGACUAUGAAGUCUAAUUCCUAAUCAACCAAAUAUUGAAUGAUAUAAUUGAAAAAAUAAUCAAUUAAAAAAAUAAUCUAAAAAUAUGAAUUGAGUUAACUUGUCAAGUCCAUAGCCUUGGUUAUAAUAGAGAUAUAAUCUUAUAGAAAAAAAAUAAAAAUAAAUUAUGAAGUUCAAUCUUAAUUAGCCAAAUGUUGAAGGAUAAAAUUAAAAAAAAAGAAAUCAAUUUUAAAAAGAACAUAAAAAUAACUCAAGUCAAUCCACCAAACCCAUAACUAGCUCGUCAUGAGAUCGAAAUAAUCUUAUAAAAAAAUUACAUGAUUUAACUCAUUAAAUAUGUGACUUUGGUUACAAGACCGAGACAACCUCUUAAAGAGUGAAUAAAAAUAAAUUAAAAAGUGCAAUCCCUAAUUGACCAUGUCAAACCCGAUGUGAAUGAUGCAAUUUCUAGAAAUUUGAAUUAAAAAAUAACAUAAAAAUGAUUUAGGUCAAUUAGGGUUAAUCGGUUAAGCAUCAUUUUUAGACAAUGAGGCUAGGAUAACAUAAUAAAAACAAAAUCAAAACAAACCAUGAAGCUUAAUUCCUAAUAAAACAUAAUAUUAAAUAAUAAAAUUGAAGAAAAAAGAUCAAUAAAAAAAUUGAGUCAAUCGGGUUAACUUGCUAAGCUUGCGAGUUAGGUUAUGAAACAUAAAUAAUCCAAUAAAAAGCAAAUUCACUAUUGAAGGACUCGUGACCCAGAUCAUGAAAUCAAGAUAACCUCUUAUAAACAAAAUUAAAAAACAACUCAAUUUAAUUUGGAUUAAAAUGCCAAAACCCCCGUCUCUAAUCAUGAGACUAGGAUAACCCUGUAGAAAAUAAUUUGAAAUAGAUUAUGAAGCUUUAUUCCCAACUGACUUGAUAUCGAAUGAUAAAAUUGAAAAAAAAAUUCAAUUAAAAAACAUAAAAUACAACUCGAGUCAACUUAGGUUAACUUUUUAAGUAUUAUUUCUGGGUUACGAGGUUAAAAUAAUCUAAUAUAAAACAAACAAAACAAAACAUGAAACUUAAUUUUUAAUUAAUCUAAUAUUAAAAGAUAAAAUUAUAAAAAUUAAAAAGUUAGCUAAAAAAAUCAAGUUAACCGAAUUAAUCCAUCAAAUCCACAAUUUUUAUUAUAAAAGUGAGACACCUUAAUAAAAAAACAUUCAUUAAAAAAAGCACUCAUUCAAAUAAUUGUAUAAAAUAUAAUAAUAUAAAGUAUAAUUUAUGAUUUAUUUAUUUAAUUUAUCAAUGAAAAGUGAUAGAAGGAAGAAGAGAAAAGAAAUAAAGUGAAGUCUUCUGCUGCAUUAUCAUAUCAUGUGAAAAGCUUCGCAUUUUGUGAAGUUUUUCCAAUCAAACCCCUUUUUUUAAAAGAUGUAAUUUCUAGGAAAAUAAAUCAAAGACAAACCGAGUAAAAUUCCAAAAGAAGAGAAAGAUGGAAUAGCGUUUCAGUUGCGGCUUGUAUACGUGUUUCAAAAAUAAUUUUUUUAUUUUAAAUUAAUAUUUUUUUUAAUGUUUUUAGAUUUUUUAAUUUGUUAAUAUUAAAAAUAAUUUAUAAAAAAUAAAAUAAUUUAUUUUAAUAUAUUUUUAAAUAAAAAACAAUAGAAACCCGUGACCCCUUAAAUGUACUCCUAAGCAUAACAAUUUAAGAGUUAAAGAGCCGAGAGAGAAAAAGCUUUUGCCAGUUCUUUACACAAAUUCUUUCCCCUUCUGUCAGCUGAACAAAAUCCCCUCUUCUUCUUCUUCUUGUUUGUUUACUCUUCCUUCGUUACUUUGCAAAGAGGAGAAACCAUGGCCGGGGCUUUAGUAGGAGGAGCUUUUCUUUCUUCUUUCCUUAAUGUUUUGUUCGACAGGAUGGCCUCUCCCCAGGUGGUUGCCUUCUUCAGAGGCCAAAAAGUCAACAAUUGGCUGCUAACGAGGUUGGAGACAGCAAUGACAUCUCUCAGGGUGGUGCUUGACGAUGCCGAGGAGAAGCAGAUAACAAACCAAUCUUUCCUGGGAACUUGCUUAGUUAAAGGAUUAUCCAUACGAUACUAUUUUUAUAUAUAUAGCAGUUUGUAAUGAAACGGUUGAAGACUAGCAAGACGACGACACAAGAGAACAGUUGGGUUCCGUAUGAUCAAGGAUCUGAUGGAGUGGUGAUUUCUUCAAAGAAGUUAGAUUCGGUGACUGUAAUUUCUCGAGGGAGAAUUGAUGAAGACCCUGAUAAUGGAAGAGAAAUACAGCAAGGGGAUAAAGAUUGACACCCUAUUUUGACUUGGAUAGGUGUUGUGACAUGAUGAGUUGCUGUCAAACAUAAGCAAGGAAUGGGGAGAAAUUUGGAGAACAGAAAUUGCACGAGGGCACAUGGAGAUUGUGUAGGAGUACCCGUGAUCCAACGAGGUACUGUAAUGAGACAACAGAUGCAAGGAGAAGAAGUGUUCCCGGAUGAAGCUCAAAGUAAAGAUUGUGAAAAGGAUGUACAACAGGAAGUCUCUUGUGCUCUUGAUGAAGACAACAGGCGAGGACCUUUCCAAUACAUGCAAGGAUAGAAAGAGAGCUAUUGCAGAGGCACCUAAUUGAGGGGGUGCGAACGCCUAUGAUAAAAGACGACCGCCUAUGAUGAAAGGCGAAGACACCAAAAAGAGUUGGUGUAGGUGGAGCUGUCAAGCAGAAAGGCGCAAAAGCUCCAAACAUAGAAAAUGAGAUGGAAGAUUGCGAGGAGUGUACCACAACUCUCUCUUUCUAUGUGUUCAAUGGAAGUGAUCUCUCCCAUAGUCCACAUGGUGGUAGAGAAUCUUAGAGCCACAUUGAAGCAUCUCCGAUGAAGGAGGAUGAGAACGCAUCAUGACGAGCGGAGACACCUCAGACAGAAAGUGUGCGGGCCACGAUAUGAGCCUAGUUCAGACCGCCUUAUGAUAACAGGCGAAGACACCUUAAAAAAGGUGUGAGAGCCACGAUAGGAGCCCCAGUUCAGAAUGCUCCAAAGCCAAUGUAAUGGUUGGAUAUGAGUGGACAAGUGUAUGGAUAGCCAAUGAAGUGGCUAUGAUGAGUAUGGAGACAAAUGCCAGAUUGACUUUCAUUGCCUCUAGGUUAAAGAUCAAUGAGCUAGAUAACAUAUGCCUUGGACAAUAAGUGGAUGACUUAUGGAGCAUUAAGACGCGACUGAUAAGAAUGAGCAGAGUACAUGCGCAAGUUCCGGGAAUAAGUUGACUCUUGUCAAGGUGGUGAGCUCGGUAAUGGCAUUGUAAUACUCAGAGUAUGAAGAAAGAUAUGGAUCAACCUUUAAUGGGCUGCCCCCAUGGUUAAAGGUGGAGAACUACCUGGACUCUUAGAACUAAAAGCGAGAGACUCAUGGAAAAGUAAGGUGUGGUUCCUAGAGUGGAACAGAGGGCAGACACAACUUCGGGAUGAGUAGAAUCUUGGAAGAGUGGUGAGCUCGUGAUCACAUUGAAAUACUCAGAUAAUGAAUGUCGCACUCGGAAAUAGAUAAUUCCAUUUGAGGGGGUGUUGUAAGCCUUGAUGUGAGGCUUGAUAAAUCAUUUCGGAUUGAGCAUGGUUAAUACGCUCGAAGGGGAAUUUUAUCCCAGAGACAAGCGUUAACACUCUUCAGAUGUAAUGUGACAGACCAUCUGGUUGUAGUGAUCCUUUUGUGUAAGAAAAGGUGUGCUUUGGUGACUCUGGUGAUUGAAAGGUUUGGCGAGUACCUGUAAACUUGGCCAAAGAUGCUCUCAGAAUGGUAAGCUUGGAAGAGUUGCAAGAUGCAAGCAUGUGCUGAAGAAGCAAGAGGACAAUUACCCACAUAAAUGGCAAAGGGGGUGAUUGUUAGAAUAUUACCAAUUAUGUGGCUGCCAUUGUCAAAGAAGAUGGCUGCCAUUGUCAAAGAAAAAAGGCCAACUUGUGAGAGUCAAAGAGAGUUGUUGAUGCAGCAUUUGCAGCCUUUUAACAUUGUCAAAGAAGGAGGCUAUAAUGGUGGGUUGUUGGUGGCAGCUGCUAAUGUCAAAAGAAGCUGCAACAACCAUUAACAAAGAGUAGCCACCAUUGUUGACAAAGGAGCAAGAGGAGUUGUUAUUGAAGCCUAUAAAUAGACACCAAGAGUGCAACACAAAGUGAGAGAGAGAGUCUUGUAGUAGAGCUACAAAAGAGAGAAGAAGAGAGAAAAAAAGAGAAGGGCUGCAACCAGCAGCCCUGCUGCCUUAUGCAGCUACUGCCCUAUGUAGCAAUGUGAGAUGGGAGUUGAGUGGAUGUGAUCCUCCUCCGUGUGUUGUAUUCUUUCUCUAUCUCUAAUAAUAUCGAUCUCUCCAGUGGAUGUAGGCGAUUUGCCGAACCACGUUAAAUAUUGUGUUAGUGUGCUUAGUCUCCUUUAAGCAAUGAUCAUGAACACCACCGUUCCGCAAGGGGGAGCAGAAAUCCCCAACAAUACAGAAGUUGCUUCUACCAGACGAUGCCAAUGGAGAAAACCCAGGUGUGGUUCCUGUUACAGGGUUAAAUUCGUCAGGCUGUAGGUUGACGAAAGUAUUGCUGGACAGUAGCUAUGAGGUGGCAGCCCGCAUGACGGUAGUGAAAAUCGGCAGCAUGCAACAGCAACGCAGCAGUGUGCUGACAAGAGCUGGAGACUUGGACUAUGGAUUGUCCAAGGCUCGAUGAAACAGUGCUGGAAUGACGUGAUGGGACAGUGUCGAAUUCGGCAGCAUUGAUGAGAUCAACAGCGUCGACAAAAUUGGCAGCAGGGGCUGACGAUAGGUCUAGGCGAUGGACAGUCCAUGACUGGACAUAAUACACUACUGGCAUGAAUGGCAGCACGCAUAGGUAGUGGCAACGUGCAUGGGCAGAUUCAGCAACAGUGUGCGUCAACGAUUCGACAGGACAUGGGUUGAUGUUCGACAGGAAUCCUAACUUAGACCAUGGACAGUCCAAGGCAUACAAACACCUACUCUGGCAGCGUGGAAGUUGGCAAAAGGGACAACUGGCUUGUUGGGUGGCAGGCUAUGGAAGAAGCAGCAAUUGCAGGCAAUUUUCGACAGUUAUCAGCAGUUUUCCAGGAGGCCAAACUGACCAGAACGUGGCCCAUGUCUUGGGAGGCAGUUAUGUUGUAUUAUUCCAUGUAAUAGGUUGUACAUAGGGUGUAGCAUGCAAUGUUCUGGUAGGCAGCAGAACACUUGUGCAUGGCACACACGCUAAUAAACUUGUGUAUCCUUUGUUGACGAGACUAAUGAAGGUUGGGAAUGUUUUCCUGUAAUAUCUUGUGUGCUUGGUUCUGUACAGCUUUGCUUGUGUAUUCCGCUUGUCUAUGUAAUGGGAGUGAGUGUGGGAAACCUCUUGGUGAGGGAAACACGAGUGAGGUGAGGGAAAGGCUGAGUCUAGCUAGUCAUCAACCUCCUGUCACGACCCGAUCCCCGGAUCCAUGACUGGCACAUAGGCAAGGUUCCCCUCCAAGGUUCCAUACCUAUGCGAACCCAAACUUACACACAAACUUAUCCUAACUCAAUUAGAGUUCAACGCAGCAUUAAUAACAAAAUCAACUUCAUAAUAUAAUUGAAUUGUCUUAAUACAAGAGUUUAUAUAAGUUCAGAGUUUUGGAGCACUAACUAGACAUAAAGGAAAGGUACCAAGUACAACCAAAAAGCAGGUUCUGAAGGUCCAACAAAAUGACCUGUUAUUAAGCUAUAAGCCUGAAAAGGAUAAAUAAUGAGAUGGUGAGUUCAACAACUCAGUGAGUAGAUAACGUUCAAUACACACACACAAGGUAAUACAGCAAUGAGAAAUAUAUAUACAAUUGGCUUUAGGUUCUUAUGGAAGUUUUCUCAAAUUGGCCAUAACAAGAAGAUCAUAUGGUAAAACUCGUCAGAAAAUCAAAAUGCAAUGAGCAUGAGGCUCCGUACUGUGGGAUGAUCAGUCCACACAGGUUGGUGACUCCCCCGACCAACUAGGGUUCAGAUACGAUGUGCACAAAGACUAACACUACCCUGUUAGCAUGGGUAUUCUGACUGACAUACCAUAGGUUUAUAAUCAUAAUCAAACAGACAUAUUCAUAUCUCAAGGCUCAACUCAUGACAUCAAUCAAAUGAGGAGCUAUCAAUUCAGAAGUCAAUUCAUAAUAUAUAUACUGGUUCAUAUCAAUAAUUCGGAUUCAACAAUUGAUCAUGCUUAUCAUAACAAGGAUAAUAAUCAACAUAUAUAUUAUCAAGAAGCAUGAUCCAAUUCAUAUUAACAAAUCAAAUAUUUAUAAUAUUUCUCAUGCAUAUGGAAAAUUAUCCACUCACCUGACUCAAAAGCAAACAGAAGCCAAAAGCAGACACCGAAGAAAAUCCUACUGACGUCCCGCCGGUAGAAUAUCAGGAUUAUCUGAAUAUAAAGGAGACAUAUUUAAGAACGACUCGAAAGAACAUUUAACCUAUUUAAUAAACUUAACUAAUAAUGUAUUCCGUAACCCUAUAUGUUUUUGAACUAACUAGUCAAUUUUCUCAAAAACCCAAAAUUUAACGGUUUUUUCCGAAAUCUAAUCCAUAAUAAAACAACUAAUAAAAUUGGCAAUAAUUCACUAAAUAACCCUUAAUUAUUCAUCAAACUAAUCUGCAAAAGCUAAUAUUACAGAUAGGGAAUAAUCUGUAAUUUAUCCUAUUUUUAAGGGUCAAAUUGCAACUUUUGUCUAAUUGAAGGACCAAACUGAAAUUUAUCAUAAAUCCAUGAAUAUACUGAAAUUCUGACCAUAAUUAGUCCUCAUUUCUGUCCAGAUCAUCUCAUUAUACUCCAAGGACCAUUCUGGAAUUUUACCAAAUUUUUAGGGUCAAAUUGUAUUUUUUGCCAAAUUGGAGGACUAAAUUGAAAGUGUUAAAUUCUCUUAUCUAUACAGUAAUUCUGUCCAUAAUUCAUAUGUUAUUCUGUUCAGAAUCUCGGAAUAGGCUCCAGGGACCAAUCUGCAAAUUUUCCAAAGUUUGGGGACUAAACUGUAAUUUUCCAAAAUUGAGAGACCAAACCGAAAUUUUGUCAUCUUCAACCUCCAACCCAGAAUUCCAACAGAAAACCCACUGUUCUUUCCUUAUUUCUAACACAAAUUCACCAUUCAAACAAAAUCAUAACUCAAAAUCAUCAUCUUUCAAUUCAAUCUCUCAAAUUCAACCAAAUAAUCAAAUACCCACAACAAUUAACCCUACAACAUCCAAAUUAACUCAUAAAUCAAACUCAAAACACAAAUUUCAUAACCCUAACAUUUAUCAAAAUCAAAAUUAAAGCUUAAUUAACACAUAUUUAUACAUAAUCUUACCUUUUUACUUAUUUCCUUCAAUUCCUUUCUAUUUCCCUUCUAAUUUCCCUCUUUUCUCUUCUUCUUCUUUCUCCCUUUCUCUCCUGCCGGUUCUCUCUCAAAAUUCAGAUCCCUCUUUCCUCUUUUUUUUUUACUUCCUAUUUAUAUAUAUUAUCUCUUUAUACAAUUAUUAUUAUACCCCUCAUUUAAUUUAUUCCUACAUCUAAGCAUUCAAGGGCCUUGUUGCCAUUUCCUAUCUUUUAAUACAAAACAUUACACCUCCGAGGACAGAUUUCUCUCUAAGGUCUGUUUUUGGGAUAAAAAAUUGACCCUGUGACAGUUCCCAUAGUGGGAAUGGGCGGGGUUGGUAAAACCACGCUUGCUCAGCUUGUAUACAAUCACAGCAGAGUACAAGAGUGGUUCGGUCUCAAAGCUUGGGUUUGUGUUUCAGAAGAUUUCAGUGUUUCGAAGUUAACUAAGGUUAUCCUUGAGGGGUUCGGUUCAAAGCCUGCUUUUGAUAAUCUGGAUCAGCUCCAGCUUCAGUUGAAGGAGAGAUUGCAGGGAAAGAAAUUCUUGCUUGUUUUAGAUGACGUUUGGAAUGAAGAUUAUGAUGAAUGGGAUAGGUUUCUUACCCCCCCUGAAGUACGGAGCACAAGGGAGUAAGAUUCUUGUCACAACACGCAAUGCAAGAGUAGCAUCAGCCAUGAGCACUGGUCCAACUCAUCAUCUAAAAGAAUUGACGGAAGACAGCUGCUGGUUUGUGUUCGCCAAACAUGCAUUUCGUGGUAAAAAUCCCAAUGUUUAUGAAGAGUUGCUAGAGAUUGGAAGAGAAAUAGGGAGAAAAUGUAAAGGCCUUCCUCUAGCUGCAAAAACACUCGGAGGUCUGCUAUGCACCAAGAGAGAUGUCGAGGAGUGGGAGAAGAUAUUGGAAAGCAAUCUAUGGGAUUUACCCAAAGGCAAUAUCCUCCCAGCCUUGAGAUUAAGUUAUCAUUAUCUCCUGCCACAUCUGAAGCAGUGUUUUGCUUAUUGUGCCAUAUUUCCAAAAGACUAUUCAUUUCGAAAGGAUGAAUUAGUGCUCCUGUGGAUGGCAGAGGGCUUCUUAGUCCACUUUGUAGAUGAUGAGAUGGAAAGAGCAGGUGCUGAGUGCUUUGAUGAUCUCUUGUCAAGGUCGUUUUUCCAGCAAUCAAGCUUAUCAUUUGUGAUGCACGAUCUCAUGCAUGACUUGGCUACCCAUGUGUCCGGUCAAUUUUGCUUCAGCUCCAGGUUGGGGGUAAAUAAUUCUUCCAAGGCCACAAGAAGGGCUCGACAUUUUUCACUCGUAGUAGAUACGGAAGACACGGAUGGUGAAGAUACCGAAGAUGGAGAUACGGAAGGUGUUUUUUCAAGCACAAAAUUAGAAAACAUUAGUGCAGCCCAGUUUCUACGCACAUUCCAAACUUAUCCACACUAUUUGAGGUGUCCUCCCGAAUUUUAUAAUGAGAUCUUUCAGUCAACACUUGGGCGCCUACGAGUGCUAUUCAUGACUGGUUGUAGAGAUGCAACUUUGAAGUUUUGUUCAACUAACAAGUUGAAGCAUUUGCGGUAUUUGGAUCUUUCCUUUUCACAGUUCUUAGUAACGUUGCCUGAAGAAGUGAGUGCUCUUCUCAAUUUGCAAACGUUGAUCUUGCAAGAUUGCUCCAAACUUGCUAGUCUACCUUAUUUUGGAAAUUUGAAGAAUCUUGAAGGAACAAGAAUCGAAAGGUUGCCUGAAUCUCUAGAAAGGUUUAUCAACUUGCGGUAUCUUAACAUCCAAUAUACGCCUUUGAAAGAGAUGCCACCACAUAUAGGUCAACUGACAAAGCUCCAAACGUUGACUGACUUUAUUGUGGGAAGACAGAGUGAGUCUAUCAUUAAUGAAUUGGAAAAGCUACGACAUCUACGGGGAAAACUGUAUAUUCGGGUCCUUCAAAAUUUGGUGGAUGCUCGGGAUGAUGUUGGAGCAAAUUUGAAAGGUUUAAAGCACCUUGAUCAGCUGUUUCUCAUUUGGGAUGGUGACACUCAUAACGUGGAACACGUAACAAGCACGCUUGAGAAAUUAGAGCCAGAUGGAAAUGUGAAGUAUCUUGAGAUUGAUGGUUAUGGAGGUAUAAGGUUUCCGGAGUGGGUAGGAAACUCCUCUUUCUCAAAAAUAGUGUCCUUGAAGCUCAGUAGAUGUAAAAACUGCACCACCUUACCACCGCUCGGGCAAUUAACUUCUUUAGAGGAUCUCUCAAUUGAAGAAUUCGAUAAAGUUGUGACUGUGGGCUCUGAGUUCUAUGGGAAUUGUACACAAGAAGCCAUUUGAAUCCCUCAAAUGUCUAUUUUUUAAAAGGAUGCCAGAGUGGCGCGAGUGGAUUUCAGACGAAGGCAGCCGGGAAGCCUUCCCUCUUCUUGAGAAGCUUUACAUCCAACAAUGCCCCAACCUUGCAAAGGCCCUUCCUAGUCACCACCUUCCACGUGUAACAAGACUUGUAAUUAAAGAAUGUAAGCAGCUCGCGACUCCACUUCCUAGGUUUCCGAGGUUGCAGUCUCUCUCUGUUUCUGGAUCCCACUCCCUAGAGUCCCUACCCGAGGAACUUGAGCAAAUGGGUUGUUCACCCUCUGAUUUAGGGCGAAUUACAAUCCAGGGCGAAUUACAAUCCAGGGCUGCGCUUCUCUCAAAUGCGUCGCACUGGACUUGCUCCCCAAGUUAAAUUAUCUUUCUAUCUGUGACUGUUCAGAUCUUGAAUCACUAUGUGCACAUGAAAGACCUCUCAAUGAUCUCAAUUCUCUCCAUUAUUUGUUUAUCGAGAAGUGCCCUAAAUUAGUUUCAUUUCCCAAAGGAGGAUUACCUGCUCCAGUCUUAACACGACUUGAGUUAGAAGAUUGCAGGAACUUGAAGCUGUUGCCUGAGAGUAUGCAUUCCCUCCUCCCAUCCCUUUCGCAUUUGGAAAUAAAAGAUUGUUUAGAAGUUGAGUUGUGUCCAGAAGGGGGUUUUCCCUCCAUAUUACAAUCACUUGUCAUUUGUAGAUGCGACAAACUCAUUGCUGGCCGCAUGCAAUGGGGCUUGCAAACGCUCCCUUCUCUUUCACACUUUACAAUCGGUGGCCUUGAAAAUAUUGAAUCCUUCCCUGAAGAGAUGCUUCUGCCCUCAAGUCUUACAUCUCUUAAAAUCCAUUCCCUAAAACACCUGAAAUCUCUUGACUACAAGGGGCUUCAACACCUCACCUCUCUUAGAAAAUUGCAUAUAAAUUACUGCCCUAGGCUUGAGUCCAUGCCAGAAGAAGGGUUGCCCUCCUCCCUUUCUACUCCUCUUUAUAUUUACUUUUGUCCUAUGGUUGAGUCAAUGCCAAAAGUAGGGUUGCCCUCCUCCCUUUCUACUCUUAGAAUUAACGAUUGUCCUAUGCUGGGUGAACGUUGUGAAAGGGAGAAAGGUAAAGAUUGGCCCAAGAUUUCUCACAUUCCUCACAUAAAAAUUAUGUAUUGAUGGCUAUUGAUUUUUCCAACAUCAGCGGAGCCAAAAAGGAGGUAUUGCCACUAAAUAGUUUAUUUUCUUUUCAGUAAUCAAAGGCAAUUUCAGUAAAAAUUUGUCCUUUUCCACUAUUAAUUCUAUGCUUAUUUUUGGCAGGAUCCAAAUCCAACUUUGCACUUACAGUUCAUGAAGGGUUUGUCACCCCUUCCUUCUUGCCAGAACAAUAUGCACAGGAUAAAAUUGAUCUGUUUGCUCCCUCAGGUAUGACUCAUUGUGAACUUUUCCAUUCGAUGUUCUUUCUCAGUUACUCUGUAUUUCUCCACCAUUAUUAAUUCUUUGCAAUUUCAUGUCAGAUUACCACUUGCCCAUUGCAGAGUGGAGCACCAUGGUUUCACAAAACAAGAUUGCUUUGCAUUGUUUAGCUAUUUGUGUAUUAUACGUAUCAUUUUCAUGCUCUUGGUCUAAAUCCUCCAUUGUUUCUUUGCAGGAUUCUGAUCCAAAUUUUCUUCUACAAGCAUGGGCGGCCCAUAAGUUUGGAUGAAUGAAAUACAGAUAUUUUCUUCAUAUUGUCUGUCAUUCAUCAUUCUAUUUCAAUAUAUUUUUUGCUAUAAUUAAUUUUUAAAGUUGAUUUGAUUAGUAUUGUACUUUUCUCAUUCUAACAUUUGUGGUUAGAACAAGGUAAUUUUCACUGGAGUGUCAUUUUGGGAUGAGAUGAUUUUGGUUCAAAUUCCAUAAAUUGUUUCUUAAAAAAAAAUAACAAUUUAAACAAGACAAGGAGAAUGAUCUAUAGGAGCGGUGAACCUUUGGCUUCUUUCCUUUGAAUCCAAAUUCAAAUCCUGUUCUGCUGCAAAUAAACAUCACAUGCUUCAGAUUUUGAAUUUAGUAAUAGAAAAUCCAUUGCUAGAAAGGAUUAAAAAAAUAUUGAAUUAUUUAAGUGAUCUGCAACUGAUUUUUCAUUGUUGACGCGGCAAGAUCAAAUCUGCAACUGAUUCAAAAAAUAAAUUAAACCCUUAAUUAUAUAAAAUCUCCCUUCUCUCCUUCUCUCCUUUUCUGCAUCUUCAAAAAUUCAAAUUUUUUUCUCCAUCUCUUUCUCUAGUCCAUUCGCCUUCUUCAAAAAUUCAAAAUCCAAAAAAUUUUGAUUUAUCUUUUUUUAUUAUUAUUUAACUUUGAUUAAAAAAAAUUUAUUCCAUAUAAAGCUGAAGUUAAAAAAUAAUUUUGGAGCGUAGGAAAGGCCCUUUCUAAUAAAAUUUAUUUCAUGGUGUUCAGGAAUAAUUAAUAAUAUUUUAUUAGUUAUUUUUAAAAUUUAUUUUCAUAAAACAAAUAAAUACAAAAAGAAAAAAUAAUAUAAAAUUCACCCGCGUUUUGGAAUCACAAUUCAGAAGCAAGUGAAAGUGGCCAAUGUCACUCAAGAGAGCAGGCACUUGCAAAUCUACUAAUGAUUUGUUUGGCAUGGUGUUGGUAAAUUGUUUUUGAAAAAAUUUAAAUUUAUUUUUAUUUUAAAUUAAUAUAUUUUUUUAUGUUUCUAUAUUAAAAUAUUAUUUUAAUAUAUUUUAAAAUAAAUAAUACUUUGAAAAAUAAUCAAAUAAAUAUGGGAGCAUCACCCUUUCGCACAAUCAACAGAAAGGAUUAAAGCACAGAAAGUCAUCAUCUCGAGAACUCACAGCAAAGAGUUCAAUGUUGUAGUAGAUAUGUAGCUAUAUUAAAAACAUUAAUACUUCCAGCAUGCACAAAUGCGACUUCUUAAUAGUUAAUAUUGGAAAAAUUAAAUUUCCUUUUCUAAUUAAAUGAAAAUCUCUACUAAAUAUUAUGCUAUUUGAAUUUUCACCUCAUGACUACAAGCUGCACUGCACUCAUGGAUGCUUCACCAGGAUAAAGCUACAAAUGUCAGUUUAAUAUCUGCCUCUACCUAGGUCGGCCGACAAUAUUACCAAAGCUUCUCUCCUACAAAUGUCAGUUUUUAAAAUCUGCCUCCACCUAGGUCGGCCUGCAAUAGAAUACCAAAGCUUCUCUCAACUAAAUCAAGACAUGAUGACUAGCACUCGCAACCAUAACAGAACCAAUGGAAGCGAACUACUACAUAUUUGAUCAACAAGGUCAAAUUCAGUCGAGUUUUUAAGGAAAUCCAGUGAAAGAGGAACCUAAAAUACUACAUGAUUGUGGAAUAGAAAGUUUAACGGCCUUAAUUGAAUUGUUUCAGUCACUAUUUUUUCAGUCACAAAGUAACAAUUUCUGUAUCAACUCUUCUCUUCUUCUUCUUCUUCUAUCACAUCUCAAUGGAUUGCAACAGAUUGUAACAGCCCCUGUAGUUUCUCUGUUUUGAAUUAUUCAAAUAAGUUGCACAGAUUGCAACAGCCCUUAAAGAUAGGAAGCAGUUUUGAACUGCUCUAUAGUUUAGGAUUUCAAAACAAAUGUUCGUUAUCAUGUAUGUGUAUUUAACUGCUGCAAAAUGUAAAUGAAAAAUAUGAUUGAUUUCAUCAUUCCUUUAUGGUAUCAGAGCACUAAACCGAUCCACUUUAUUUUUAUCUUUUCUUUUCUUUUUCCUUCCCUUGUUCAUUACCACUCAUGGCUACAGAGUCUAAUCCUGCAACCAUUCUCAACACCAAUGAAUCACACCAAACUCUCAUCAGCAUCAAUGUUGCUGCUCAAGCCCCUCUCAAACUCAACUCUACCAAUUACCUCUCUUGGAAACUUCAAUUCCAAACCUUAUUCAUUGGAUAUGAUCUUCUUGGCUAUAUUGAUGGCUCCAAACCAUGCCCGCCAGCUACCUUGACUCAAGCCAAUACCACCAUUUCCAAUCCCAAUUACACUCUAUGGAUCCGCCAGGAUUAAUUGAUUCUCAACGCUGUUAUUGGCUCCAUUUCACCUACUAUUAUACCUUUCAUUGCUCAAGCCACCACCUCUAGCCAAGCCUGGACAAUUCUAGCAAAUACCUAUGCUAAACCCUCUCGUGGUCGUAUUAAACAAAUCAAAAACCAACUCAAAAACACCACCAAAGGCUCCCUUGGCAUCACUGAAUUUAUGCAAACUAUCAAAACGCGAGCAGAUGAUCUUGCUCUUCUUGGUGCCUCCCUUGAUGCAGAAGAAAUCACGGACAAAAUACUUGAUGGUCUCGGUGAUGAUUACAAGGAAUUAGUUCGUGCUGUCCAGGCCAGAGAUACCUCCAUCACAUUUGUAGAACUUCACGAAAAACUUCUCAAUUUUGAGGCCUCCCUUCAACAUCUCCCAUCUGAGCCACACCAUUUUCCAGCUACAGCCAAUCCCACAUAUCGAACCAACACCAAAAAUUGGCGUCCUUCUCCACCUCGUAACAAUACCACAAACUAUUGGCGCCCAUCCUACAACUUUUCCAACCGCUCACCUAUUGUACCCAUUACAAGACCCAUUUCAGCACCGGCCUCUCGUCCUCACCACAAACCAUACCUUGGUCACUGUCAAAUUUGCAGGAUUCAGGGUCACACUGCCAAUCGGUGCCCUUCCUAUCGCCUUGUACCCAUUCAUCCUUUACCCACUUCCAGCACUCCCCAACAAGGAACACCCUGGCAACCACAAGCUCACCUUGCCACCCAUCCCUCCACCACGCCAUCCUGGCUUUUAGACAGUGGUGCUUCACACCAUGUCACCUCAGAUCUAAACAACCUCUCCCUGCAUGCUCCAUAUAGCGGUACUGAUGACAUCAUGAUCGGAGAUGGAUCCACUCUUCCCAUCACUCAUACUGGUUCCACCUCUCUCACCACUCCUCUCCAUACAUUUCAAUUACACAAUGUUCUUUGUGUUCCCUCUAUGGAAAAGAACCUCAUCUCUAUUUCACAAUUCUGCACUUCUAACAAUGUUUCCAUAGAAUUCUUACCAUCAACUUUUCUUGUUAAGGAACUUCAUACCGGGACAACACUGCUACAGGGACAGACUAAAGAUGGUGUCUAUGAGUGGCCCUCUUCCUCUCCUUUCAUUGCUUUCUCAACAAUAAAGCCCACGUCCUUCGACUGGCAUCAUCGCCUAGGCCAUCCAGCUUUUUCAAUUCUCAGACAUAUUGUCUCUAGCAAUCAUUUAGGCUUGUCUUCCUCCUUAUCUUCCAAUUACUCAUGUAAUGCGUGUCUUUGCAAUAAAAGCCACAGGCUGCCCUUCUCCAACUCUACAAUUGUCUCCACCAAACCGCUUGAAAUUAUAUUCUCUGAUGUGUGGACCUCGCCAAUUUUCUCUCAUAAUGGCUUUAAAUAUUAUGUAAUAUUUAUUGAUCAUUUCACUAAAUAUAUCUGGUUUUACCCACUCAAAAACAGAUCUGAUGUCAAAGAAGUUUUCAUUCGAUUCAGAGCCAUUGUCGAAAAACACUUUAAUUCCACCAUUAAAACACUCUACUCUGACAAUGGUGGUGAGUAUAUCUCUCUAGCUAAUUUUCUUUCCACCAAUGGUAUCUCUCAUCUCACAACUCCCCCUCACACGCCUGAACAUAAUGGUUACUCUGAAAGACGACAUCUUCACAUCGUUGAAACUGGUCUAGCCCUACUCACGCAUGCUUCUUUACCCCAUUCCUACUGGACUUAUGCAUUUUCCACAGCUGUCUAUCUCAUUAAUAGAUUGCCGACUCCCACUUUAAACUUGUCCUCACCCUACCACAAAAUAUUUCAAACAGCCCCAAACUACUCCAAGUUACGCAUCUUCGGCUGCCUAUGCUACCCUUGGCUCCGCCCUUACACCUCCCAUAAACUUGAAUCAUGGUCCAAGCCAUGUGUUUUCCUUGGGUAUUCUCUUACUCAAAGUGCAUACUAUUGCCUUGAUCCUUCCACCUCCAGAAUCUACGUCUCAAGACAUGUCAAAUUUAUUGAGUCACAGUUUACCUUCUCUUCACUAUCUGGUUCAUCCUCUACUUCCCUUUCCAAUCCCAUCACUACUUGGAUUCCUGCACCAAUUACAGUUCUUUCACCCGCUUCAGAACCACCACUCCCUAUGCCAUCUGCAGUUUUCAAUACUCAGCAACCCCAAAGUGCAGCUCCCCCAUCCAACCCCAUUCAGCUUCCAACCACCAUCGCCACCCAUACAACCUCCCCUUCCAUAACAUCUUCAACAGGUACAACCUCAACCCUCCAUUCCCCACCUAAAACUCCUACCCUUCCCACUCAUUCUAUGACCACUCGCGCUAAAAACAACAUUCACAAACCCAUCACUAAGCUGAAUCUUCAUACCCGACUAUCCACUUCCAGUGAUCUAGAACCAACCACCGUGACUAAAGCCCUUCUUGAUCCCAGGUGGCGUCAAGCUAUGUCUGCUGAAUGUGAUGCCUUAGUCAGAAAUGGAACAUGGGAACUUGUUCCACCAGAUUCUUCACAGAAUAUAGUUGGAUGUAAGUGGAUAUUUCGGAUUAAACGUAACACUGAUGGUUCUAUUGAUAGGUUCAAAGCACGUUUAGUCGCAAAGGGGUUUCACCAAAGACCUGGUGUUGACUAUCUUGACACAUUCAGCCCUGUAGUAAAACCAACAACAGUGCGUGUGGUCCUCAGCCUUGCAGUUUCUCGGGGAUGGACUUUACGCCAACUUGAUAUCAACAACGCUUUCCUUCAAGGCCAUCUCUCUGAGACUGUACACAUGCAACAACCACAAGGUUUUGUUGAUCAAGAUCAUCCAUCCUAUGUCUGCAAACUUCGAAAGGCAAUCUAUGGCCUCAAACAAGCACCUAGAGCAUGGUAUCAUGAACUUCGCACUUUUCUACUUCACUCAGGUUUCAAAAAUUCUCAUACGGAUACAUCAUUAUUUGUUCUCAAUACUGCUGGAAAGAAAAUGUAUAUCCUGGUUUAUGUGGAUGGCUUAAUAAUUACUGGUGACCACACUACCAUGAUCGACUCCUUUGUGGUUGUUCUUGCUCAUCGGUUUUCCAUUAAAGAUCUUGGACAGUUAUCGUGUUUUUUAGGCGUGGAGGUAGUUCACAAUCAGCAUGGAAUUUUGUUAUCUCAAAGGCGUUAUAUUUUGGAUAUUCUAGCUCGAACUCAUAUGGCAGAUGCAAAACCUGUGUUCACUCCUAUUCCAACUAGUCCACCUUUGUUAAAAUCAGGCACUGCGUUGCCUGAUCCCUCUGAGUACAGAACGAUUGUUGGCAGCCUUCAAUAUCUCUUGAUUACCAGACCAGAUCUUGCAUUUGCAGUUAACAAGCUCUCUCAGUACAUGCACACUCCAACAACUGAUCAUUGGAGCUUUGUUAAACGCCUCUUACGCUAUCUAUGUGGCACUAUUAAUGAUGGCCUCCAAAUACAUCGCAGGUCUCCAUUAAAUCUACAUGCCUAUUCAAACGCAGAUUGGGCGGGUAACAAAGAUGAUUUCUCAUCUACCAGUGCCUAUGUCAUAUAUCUUGGUCGCAAUCCCAUUUCAUGGAGUUCUAAGAAACAGAAAACUAUUGCAAGAUCUUCAACUGAAGCGGAAUACAGGUCAGUAGCAAAUGCAGCAGCUGAGCUCAACUGGCUUUGCUAUCUUCUGUCUGAUCUAGAUGUUCAACUUCCGUGUUGUCCGGUCUUAUACUGUGACAAUGUUGGAGCUACCCAACUCUGCUCCAAUCCUGUUUUUCACUCCAAAACGAAACAUGUUGCCAUCGAUUAUCACUUCAUCAGGGACCAAGUACAAAAUGGUGUCCUUCGUGUUGCCCAUGUAUCCUCAGCAAAUCAACUUGCUGAUGCACUGACCAAGCCUCUUCAUCGUAUCCGUUUUCUAGAUCUCAAAUCCAAGAUUGGACUUCUAUCUCGAGCUCCAUCUUGAGGGGGCAUAUCACAUCUCAAUGGAUUGCAACAGAUUGUAACAGCCCCUGUAGUUUCUCUGUUUUGAAUUAUUCAAAUAAGUUGCACAGAUUGCAACAACCCUUAAAGAUAGGAAGCAGUUUUGAACUGCUCUAUAGUUUAGGAUUUCAAAACAAAUGUUCGUUAUCAUGUAUGUGUAUUUAACUGCUGCAAAAUGUAAAUGAAAGAUAUGAUUGAUUUCAUCAUUCCUUUAUCUUCUACUUCUUCUCUCUUAUUCCUUUCUAAAGACAGAAAGACAGAAGAUAAGGCUGGAUUAGGGUUAAACACAAAAAAUUCUAAAACCGUAUUUUAUUUUUUAAUUACUAUUAUGUUCAAGUCGGCCUCUUGAAAAGGUUUACGCUAAAAAAAUUGACCUACACUAGAGAACAAAAUUAGAAUCCCUAAACAUAAAGAAAAUUAGCAUAAAAUCCGAAAUAAACAAUAAAUCUAAAAAUAUCAGAUGAUGCUGGUCCGUGUUUGCCAAACAUGCAUUUGGUUAUGAAAAUCCCAUUGCUCAUGAAGAGUUACGGGAAAUUGGUAGAGCAAUAGUGAGGAUUGUCUGAUGUUCACCUAUAAUUGUAGCUGAAGAAAAGCUAGAAAUGAAACUGCCUGUAUUGGAAGUGAAACUGCUUGCCUACAAUAUAUGUGAACAUUCUAUGGCUUUGUUGCCGCCUUCUAGCCUUUCGGUGUUGCACGGUGCUGCUGCUUUUUGGCUUUUGAUUUCAUACACUAUCAGAAAAUUGAUAAAUACAAACGGAAAUAUCAAGGAAAUAUUUCUGUCGGUAAAUUUUUGAGGGAUUUUACCGACAGAAAUAUUCCCCGGUAUAUACCGAGGGAAUUACCGUGGGAAAAAAAUUAAAACAAAGCAAAAAAAAUGAUGACGUGUCAUUUUUACCAACAGAAUUACCGACGGAUUUUUCAAUUCCGUCAGUAUUUUCCAAAGAGCUCCAAAAUUAUUCACUUUCCAAUUGCACUGUUAAUUGUUAUUCUUUACGGACAAAAUCACCGACGGAUUGAAAAGUCGUCGAUAUUAUUUGGCGGUUUUCUGAAAAAAUUCAAUUAAUUUAAAAUUUUCAUUUAAAUAUUACAGACGGAAUCACCGACGAAUUGAAAAAUUAUCGGUAAUUGUUGGCGAUUUCUGAAAAAAUUUUACAAAAUUGAAAAUUUAAAUUAAAUAUUACCGAUAAAAUUGCCGAUGAAAUAAUUAAAAAAUAUUAAUAUUCAAUUAUUUGUCGCUAACGCGCCUCAAUAAAAAGCCUGAAUCCCUUUAUUUCAGACUUAUUUCUUAUUAUUCUUCUACUUCUACUUCACUAUAUGUAAAAAACAUCAAUAUCUAUUUCUUUCUCUUCUUUUCUCUCCUCACCUCCUUAUCUUUUUCUCCAUACUUGGGUAUGUCUUCUUCUUCUUUCUUCUUUUAUCCUCUUAGUUUUUUUUUUUUAAUUAAUAUGCUUUACGAAAUUUUUUCUCUCUCCUUAGCUUCACUUGCAACUACAUUAAGGUAAGAUUUUUCUUUUUUCUUCUUUUUUCAUGAUUUUUUUCACUAUAUUUGUUUUUUAUUUUAUUUUUAAUUGUUUUUGUUCUUAAUAAUUAUAUAAAUGUUGUUGUGAGAUUUUUUUUUCAUAUGAGAUCAAGUUUUAGUUGAUUUAUUUAUAGGAUUUUUAAAUUUUUAGCAAUUGCAACUUCAUUUUUUUCAUAUGAAUUUUUUUAGUUGAAUUUAUUUUUUCAUUUUAUUUAUUUUUUGCAAAUUUGUUUGAGUUGAUUUUCUUAUUCUUUUUUUCCAAGCAUUUUGAGUAUAUAUUAUAGAGUGUUGAUUUAUGUUAAUUUAAUUAUUUUAUAAUUUUUUAAAAUGAAUAUUUUAAAAAUAUUUUUAAAUUAUUACCGACGGAUUUAUUGACGGAAUAGACGUGUCGGUAAUAAUAUUUUUUUAUUACCAACGGAUUUACCGACGGACAAAAAAUUACCGAUGAAAGAUGCACAGACAGAGCAUUUCUGUCGGUGAUUUUGUUGGUAAAUUAAUUACCAACGGAAUAUGUAUCUUACGCCGAUAGAAAAAUUCCAUCGAUAAAAUUGUUAAAUGUUGUAGUGAUAGAAAUGUUGUUCCCUCUCAUCCCUGGUGUUACAUAGGCAGCUGCUGGCUCCUCUUGUAUCUUUUGGGUUCUGGCUUCGUUUGGUUCAUGCCAUUGUCUGCUCUCCGGUUGUCGAAGCUGACAGCAAUCCUCCAACUCUGUUCUCAUAGUCAGAUGCUUCCUCUGUUUUCUCCUGGCAUUGAAAUUACAGCUCUCCCUCAAAUUUUAUUGAUGAUGUGCCUUUGGUCAUCUUAAUAGCUCUUUUUUUCUUGGGAUAUUUCAUUUGAUUCCUUUUUUCUCUUUUAUUUUAAUUAUUAUCUUCAUAGUUUUAACAUUAAGUCUCUUUGAAAAUAGAAGCAGCCUAUCUUUUAUAUUUGUAAAUCUUGUUCCAAGAGAGAGAGUAGAAGUUUAUUAAAGAAAAAUGUACAUUCUCAUUCGUCACAUUCCUUGUUCGUUUAUAUAUGAAAUGUUUUUUGUUUUUCAAUAAGCGAAUCUUCAAUCGGAAGGGAAAUUAUUUUAGUGAAUAGUGUAAUGGAACUAAAUUUUGGUUAAUUUAUAAUAAAUUUAAAUAGCUUGAAAGUGAAGCUCAUCUUCUAUUUAGUUUUCUCAAAUAUAUAAUUUUAAAAUAAAUUACUUUUAAAAUAAUUUUGAGUAAAUUUGACAUUAACUUUGUUGGAUGAAUUCCAAACCUAUAAUUUGAAACCAAAUGUUUGUAUAUUUUUUUUGUAAAAGACUAAUUUGAAAAAAAAAAUUCUAAAAAAAAUGACAAAGAGUUUUUAAAAAUUCAAGAACUAAUGAAAAAUUACUUUUUUGUCGACAAGGGUGCCUCCUUUUAAGUUGCCACCCACCUUGAUGUGGCUCCAUGUUCCACUCCAAACCAUUCAUAUAGGUAUCUUAAAUAGUGUAGCCUGAGCUUCACCGGUUAUGUUUUUAAUAUAUUUUUAAAUAAAAUAUAUUUUUAAAAAAUAUUAAAAAAAAAACUAACAUUAUUAUACUGUCAAACAGAUAAUCUCAUUGCAUCUAACGCUUUAAAUUCCAACAAUGAGUACCCGAUUAAACAAUAUCUACAUUCAAUUAAAACUUAUGGUAUCAUUCCUUGACAGCGAAAUAAAGAAAAGGAGACAGAGAACCGUACUUUCAGAAGACCAUGACACAAAUCGACGGUUGAAAUCCAAUCACUCAAGGGAUGGUGACACGUUGUCAUGAGUGGGAGACAGCUGGUCUCUAGUACGAAGAGAAACAACAGCGUUUUUAUUGUUUAAAUUUAGAGUGUUUGUUUUUCGGAGUGUCUUUGUUCUCGUGAUAGCUCCUGUGAUGAUGGGUAUCUUAGUAAUUGUAAAAACAAUUGAUUUUUUUUUUGAUGAAGUUGUCCGUGUGGAUGAGAAAAUACUGAGUUUGUAGCUUAGUAAAAACAUGUUGAUGUUACUUUUUAUUAGCCCAUGGUUGGCCCGUAAAUUGUAAUGGGUCCCACAAUCACAAACCUAUGAUUCACAUGUAACUAAAUAUCUUGUUUUUGUUAUCUGCAUUAAAAAUGCAAGAGCUGCUAAAAAAACAAACAUAUUUGAUCGUUGAACAUGUUUUUAAAUUGUUUUCUUAAUUAUUUUUUAUUUAAAAAAACAUUAAUAGAUGAAGUUUAAUAAUUAUUUUAUAAAGAAGUUUUGGAAUAAAAUGAUCUAUCUGCAUGAAAAACAAGGUCAUUUUUACAGGUGGAAGAUAAAACCAAUAAGACCUAAUCCUAUUGAACUGCAUCUUGUUAUUCAAAGCAAACAAUCAGUAUCUUUAAUACUGAUUAAGGAUAUUUUUAUUUUUGCAAUUCAACUGUAAUUUCUAAUAUAAUGAUUUUUUUAUUAUAACUUGCUCCACAAUUAAUCUUUUAGAGUUAAACAAAUACUACGCAACAUUCUAGAAUGUGUAAUGAAGUUUUUAUAAUAUUCAUAGCAAUGGUCAUCAGCUAAUUUAUAAUUUAUUUAUCUACUUUAUCAAUUAAUAAAAGUGAUAAAAGAAAAGGAGAGAAGAAAUAAAGUGAAGUCUUCUUCUGCAUUAUUAGCACAUCACGUGAAAAGAAAGAUUGGCAUUUAAUAAAAGUUAUUCCAAUCAAAUAAAGCAAGGACAAACCAAGUUACUCCAUUUUCCUCUCACUUUUUCAACCGAUGGGGUGUCUUGGCAAAUAAAGCAAGGACAGACCGAGUUGACGCGCUCCCUAACUCCAUUUUCCUGGCCCGCGCAAUUCACGCAUACACAAACACAUCCGGAACAAUAUUCAUAAAAUUAAUUAACAUCCCGUAAAAAUAUACUUUAAUACAGUAUAAGGCUUCCCGUCUACCUCUGUCUUUUCAUAAUUUCGAUCCUCUAAUCAUGUAUUUUCAGUCUAAAAUAUAGUAUAAAACUUUUCUAUACCCAAGAUCCUCUAAUACUAAUAAGACUGAAAAUUUGAGAUUUGGAUAACGAGAAAAGGAGAGACUGGGGAGUGGGAACUAUGUAGUGGAAUGUCAGGGGACUCGGAUAAGGAGACAGUAAAUUUUUUAACUUUUGCAAGUUAAAACUCAAAAUCAAUUAACGAGAACAAAAACGUACAAAAUAACAUCAAUUUAAUCUCAUGUCACCUCACCUUCCACCUUUUUUUAUGUUAGUAACAAGUUCUAGAAAUAAUAUCCUAAUAUCCCACCAAGCAAGACAUGCAUUUCAAGUUCUCUUUGAGUCUUUGUCGUCUCUCUUUGUAGUUAACAAAUAGUUAGUCUAAAACACAAUAUUUCUCUCUCUAUAUAAGUAUUCCUAUCUUUUAUUUUGCUCAUUUGAUUCCUCGCCAUCUACCUCUGUCUUUCCAUGGUUUUGAUUUUCCGAUCAUGCCUUCUCGCCCUAAAAUACAGUAUAAGAAUUUCUCAUACCCAAGAUCCUCUAAUGCUGGUGUUAGUCUACUAAGAUUGAAAAUUUGAGAUUUGGGCAACCGGGAAAGGGGAGACUGGGGAGUGGGGACUAUGUAGUGGAGUGUCAGGGGACUCGGACAGGGAGACAGUAAAUUUUUAACUUUUGCGGGUUAAAACUCGAAAUCGGUCAAACUCGGUCAAACUCGUAAAAUCAGUUCGAUUUUACCGAUUUUAACCGAUUUUGAUCGAUUUCGAGUUUUAACCCGAUUUGACACGUUAUAUACAUGUUGACUCGUAAAAUCAUAAGAUUUUAAGAGUCAACUCGUGAUUUUAAUAACCUUAGAAACAACAACGUUUCCAUUGUUUAAUUUGUUUUUCUGAGUAUCUUUGUUUUUGUGAUAGCUCUUGUGGUGAUAAAGAUUAAAAAAGAUAGUUUAGAUAAAUUAUUUUUACUCGUGAUUUGUUUGAUUUAAAUAAGUAUUUAAUUAAAAUUAUAAUUAAAAAUGUUUAGGUAAAAUUAUGAUUAAAAUGGAUGUUUUAACUUAAAUUACCACAAAAAUACUGCUGAAGGUGGAGAGGAUGUGAGAUGCGAUUGGGUAUCUUAUUUAAUUGUCAAAACAUCAACUGUUGUGGUCAAUAAAGCAAGGACAACCCGAGUAAAAUGUGGGACCUAACUCAAUUUUCCUGGCACACGCAACUCACGCAUACACCCAAACACGCUAUAACACUAAUGUGAGAUGUUUUUUGAACUUCGGAGUUUACAGGCAAAUAAAGUGAUGGAAGAAGGUCUUCUUCUGCAUCAUCACAUCACGUGAAAAGCUUGGCAUUUAAUGAAGUUUUUCCAAUCAAACCCAUUCCUUUCAAAGAUGGAAUUUCUAGUAAAAUGGAGUCCAGAGCAUAACAAGGGCCGAGAGAGAAAAGGCUUUUGCGAGUUCUGUGUUCUGUAUAUUUCUCAAGGGGAAAAAAGGAAGACGAAGAAAGGAAUAUCAUAUUUCUUGUAGGAGUAUGGUUAGCACGAACUAUAAGAGAUGUACAUGAGAGAAAAGAAAAGGGAAGGCCUAUCGACUCUCUUUUUUUCUAUAUUCACAGGUAGUACGGAUCGCUUACCAUGACUAAUCCAACAUCAAGCCUUAUCGUUCAUGAACUGUGCCUAGACUUCUUUAAUCAUUUACAUAUAUAAAUUUGGUUAAUCAAGUUGGAGAAGAUCGUGUCAAGAACCAUGCUGUGUAUGUUUGAUAAUGCAGUGAAUAUAAUUUUACAAGAAUAUUUUUCAAUUAAUAAAAUAUUUCUUAAAGAAAUUUUCAAUAAUCUUGUUAAGAAAUUUGGGUGGCCAGACAUUUUAAAGAAUGAUGCUAGUUUCUGGCCACAAGAGGUCAUGCUAGUCACUUUUUGAUCAUGUCUGUGAUCUUUUUGAAUGCUCUGUUCUCCAUCAAAGCUAAUGGAAAUGUGUAUAAAUUAUCAUUUUAUCUUUAUGAAGCAUAUUGUCAGAUCACUGACCUGCUGGUGAACAUUACCAUGCAUGUUCUGCAGCCGAAGAUUUCAAAGAAGAAAACAUAAUGAUUUUGGUGAAUUGUGUUCGAACUCUUUGCAUUUCACCAUCCUCUACCUUUUAUCAUUUUGAGCGUAGUUGCCACCCACCUUUCUGUGGCUCCAUCAUGUUCCCGCUCCAAACCAUUCAUAUAGGUUAUCUUAAAUAGUUUAGCCUGAGCUUUACCGGUUAUGCUUUUUAAUAUAUUUUAAUUUAAGUAAAAUAUAUUUUUUAAAAAUAUUAAAAAAAAACAUACCAUUAAUGUACUCUCAAAAACAUAAUCCAAUUGCAUCUCACGCUUUAAAUUCCAACGAUGAGUACCCAAUUAAACAAUAUCUACAUUGAAUUAAAACUUAUAGUAUAAUUACCUGACAGCGAAAUAAAGAAAAGUAGGAACCCUGCAUUUGGGAAAUUUCUAUAAGGCCUCCAAUCUGAGGCUGUAACGAGCCCUGGAUCCACACAGAAGAAAUUUCGAGGGAAAUGGGUUGAUGUCAGAGGGAGACAAGGAAGCGUACUUUCAGGAGACCAUGACACAAAUCAACGGCUGAAAUCCAAUCACUCAAGGGAUGGUGACACGUUGCCAUAAGUGGGAGGCAGCUGGUCUCCAGCACGAAGAGAAACAGCAGCGUUUUCAUCGUUUAAAAUGAAGUGUUUGUUUUUCUGAGUGUCUUUGUUCUCGUGAUAGCUCGUGGUGGUAGUGGAUAUUUAAAGAUGAUUGAGUAUCUUAAUAAUUGCAAAAACAAUUGAUUUUUUUUUUUUAUGAUUGACACACAAAACCCUAUUUUCAUAGUUAUGUUAAUUGAAGGAUAAUAAAUGGAAGAAUGACAAAUUGCCAGGUGGAAAGUUAUAGCUCAUCACAACAAAUACUUUCCAGCAAAUUGAUUAAUGGCUGUUACAACUAAUUACAACGAAUACUCUUCAUUUCUUCUCUAUAGUUAUGUUAAUGGUAAAAAAAAGUUGGAAAUUAUAAUUUUGAAAAAUAAAUUAAAAGAUAAGUGAUGAUCAAAUUAGAACUUGAUAUUUGAUAUAAAAUAUAAUUUUUUUUAAUUAAAUCCUAACAACAAAUCACAAAUCAGUUUCAAAUUAGUGAAUGUUGCCGAAGAGAAUGGCAAAAAAGAAGAAAAUUAUAUUUUAAGAAAGUCAUGGAGCCGUAUAUUUUUAUUAGAAAAGAAAAAACAUUAGAAUUGAUUGUUAUAUUUCUUGAAACAAAUAAAAAGAAACAAAAAACAAAAUAUAAAUCAUGGAUGAAUUAAAUCCUCUUGAAGACCUGCUUCAAAUAAGAAAGAGGUAAAUACUAUUGGAAUUUAAUUGAUAUACGUUUCUUGCAUGUUGUUUCAAGUUGCAUAAAUACAAGCAAAAUACAUUUAUACAUAUUAUAUUACAAUUGAUAUAUUUUUGGUGCAGAACUGAUAUUAUCUUUUGAAAUUAAAUCCGGUUCAAGGAUGGAGCAUAAAAAAAUUUGAAUUAUUGAGUCAUUUAAUUAAUCAGCAAGGAUUAGGGGAUGAUAAAAAAAUCAAAACACCGAUUAAACUGAGAAAACUGGAAAAAAAAUAAUUCAAAAAACUAAACCUUAAAAAAACCCGAUUAGAAUAUUUAAAAAACUGGCCAAUUCGGUUUGGUUUUGGUUUUAUAAGCCUGAAACUGAAAAACAAAACCGAACCAAAAUUAAUAACCGAGCCAAACCCGAAAAAACCAAGCUAAACAGAAAAAAACGAGCCAAACAGCAAAAAAACGAGCCAAUCGGUUAGGUUUUGGUUUUUACUCUAAAAUAACCAAACCGAACCGAAACCGGUCGGUUUGAACCGAUUUUGAUUUUUUUGUUUGUUUUGAUUUUUAAAUUUGGUUUGGUUAUUAUUUUAAGGAAAAACCAAACUGAAUAAAAAAUAAUCAUCUCUAGUAGGGAUCAUCGAUGAAUCAUUUUAUUAAAAUAAUAUUUUUUUAAAAAAAUAUUUGAUAUUAUUUUAACUAAAUUUGUAUCAAGUUUUAUUAAAUAAAAUAAAUUAUUAAAAAACCAAUCGAGAUAAUAAAAUUCAUAUCAACAUUUUUUCUAAUUCAAUUUUAAAAUUGUCUAUGUCAAGAUCUGGAGGAUGUGCUUUCUACAUCAAAUCAGUAUGCAGGAUGGAGUUUCAAAACUAUAUUAUAUAUAAAAAAAGAUUUUGAAAUAAAAUGAUCCAUUUAUAUAUAUAAAAACAAAAACCUCGAGGUCUCGGGUCCACCGGUGGAAGCAUGAAUGGCGGUCUUCUUCUGCAUUAUUAGCACAUGUGAAAAGAAAGAUUAUAUUUUCCUGUGCAUAUAAUAAUGUUAUACCAAUCAAACCCUCCUUUUCCUGUGCAUAUUUUCCUGUGCACAUAAGUGUGCUUGUAACGUUUUUUUAUUAAGAAAUGUAUUAAAAUAUUAUUUUUUUAUUUUUUAAAAAUUAUUUCCAUAUUAACAUAUGAAAAUACAUAAAAAAAAAUUAAUUUAAAAUAAAAUUUUUUAAUACAUUUCUUAAUAAAAUAAUAUUUUAAAAACUGAGUUCACAUUGCAGAAAGCCUUGGCAGUUGGCACAAGUGGAAGGCAACCUAGAAACAGGUUUAUUUCAACAAUCCAUGUACUGACAUCUGUGUUUGUGGAAACAAAGUUGAAAAGGGCUACAUUUUCCUGUGAUGUGAUAUUGAUUCAGAGAUUUGUAGAAUAAGACGUGGUGCAGAACUGUAGAAGAUAAGGUACAAGACUAUGAAAGUCCUCAGGAAAACUGUAGAAUUGCACAGUUUGAGUGAGAAGUAUUAGACACCGCACUAGCCGCUGCUGUUUUUGGUAUUGUAAUACAUUCCGUAAUCUGAAAAAAAUUAUUUUAUAAAAAAUAUUUUUAGUUGAAAUUUAUUUAAAAAAAAUAUAUAUUUAAUUAAAAUUAUGAUUAAAAUUAAAGUUGAAUGAAAAAUAGCUUAAUAUAUUUAGUUAAAUUUUUUUUUAAAUUAAAGUUAUAUAUAUAGUUUUAAAUUUAAAUAUUAUAGAUUUAAGUAUUGUUAUUACAUCAUGAAAUAAAUAAUAUUGAUAUCAAAUAUUUUUUAUUAUUUUAUUAAACUAUGUGCAAUUUCAUCACGUUCGAAAUCUAUCCGGCAAGGACUACAUUUUCCAUUGUUUAUUAAGCGCGCAACAACAUCAGGUAAAAAUAUUAUUAAGAACAAAAUUUGAAUUGCAAUCAAAUUCUGCAAAUAUUAUGUCAUCAAACGAUCUCCUUCUAAUUUUUUAAAUAAAACACAAAUAAAAAUAAAAAUAAAAACUGAAUUUUUUAAUCUGGGUCGGACCCGGCAAUAACAAAAUUGGAAUUGCGAUCAAAUUCUGCAAAUACUACGUCAUCAAGCAAUCUCCUUCUAAUUUUUUUAAUAAAACACAAUUAAAAAAUAAAAAUUAAAUAUUUUUUUAACCGAAUCCAACCCGGUUCAAUAUAUUUAGCUUUGGACCGAACCUGGUCGAUCCGAAACAAUAACAGUAAUAGUGGAGAGUGAACUCCAGUGGAGUUCACUCUCCACUGCGUAGAGAAGCAGCUUUUGAUCAACCUGCGGUGCAACCUUAAUAAAAUGAUGGGUCCUAUCAAAAGAAGUUGUGUUUUUUACUUAACCAAACAAGAAAAAUUGUGGUUGCAGGUGAACUUUACCUGCGACCACAAUACCAAACAACUAUAAAAAAAAAUUAUUUGAUAUUAUAGUUGAAAAUGUGUUUUGUUCCAACCACAAAAAAAAAAUAAUGGUUCGGUAACCAUUUGAAACGUAAAUUUUGAAGAUGGGUCUCACUAAAAAUUAAGUUUACACAACCGGUUUUGUGAAGCAGAAAAUUACUGCUUUUCAAUUUACUUUUGCCCGCUGCUGCCAAGGGAAAGGAAAAAGGGCCCACCCAAUUUCUUAUUUGCUUCUUUUCUUCUCAGCUCAAGUAAGAGUAUUUCUUUUACUAUCAUCAUUUGUGCACUGCCAAGUGGAUUUAUCCGGCACUGUUCACGUAAACAGUACCCCUACUAUGAACAGUGUUUAUUGAACUGCGUCCAACUCAAAAAAAUUUAAUUUUUUUAAAAUUAUAUUUAUUUAAAAAAUUAAUGUUUAAUAUUAUUUAAUAACACUAUAUAAAUUAGAAAGAGAUUCUAUAAUAAUAUAGCAUUUGUGAAAUUUGAUCGCAAUUCUAAUAUUAUAAUCUUAAUUUGAAAAGUAUCUUUAAUCAAACACAUUAAACUACUUUUUAUUCGAUCUUAAUUUCAACCACAGUUUUAACCAAACAUAUAUAAAUAUGAAACCAAUCUAAACAGUUAAAUAAAUACUAAAAGACAUAAAUUGAAGUUUUUAUAAUAUUCAUAGCAAUGUUCAUCAGCUCAUUUAUAAUUCAUAAUUUAUUUAUCAAUGAAUGAAAAGUAAUAAAAGAAAAAGGAGAGAAGAAAUAAAGUGAAGUCUUCUUCUGCAUUAUUAGCACAUCACGUGAAAAGAAAGAUUGGCAUUUAAUAAAAGUUAUUCCAAUCAAAUAAAGCAAGGACAAACCAAGUUACUCCAUUUUCCUCUCACUUUUUCAACCGAUGGGGUGUCUUGGCAAAUAAAGCAAGGACAGACCGAGUUGACGCGCUCCCUAACUCCAUUUUCCUGGCCCGCGCAAUUCACGCAUACACAAACACAUCCGAACAAUAUUCAUAAAAUUAAUUAACAUCCCGUAAAAAUAUACUUUAAUUUAGAAAAGAUUUUAAAAUGUUAUUUUUUUAAUUUAAUAAUAACAAAGUUUUAUAUUAAAUUGUUUCAACUAAGUUAACAGGUUAGAUUUAUAAUUCGGGUUAUGAAAUUAUAAUACCUAGUUCCCAAAUAAACAAAUAUGGUGAAGUUUUUCCAAUCAAACCCCCUUUUUUUUUAGAUGUAAUUUCUAGAAAAAUAAAUCAAAGAUAAACAGACUAAAAUUUCAAAAUAAAAGAGAAAGAUGGAAUAUCCCACCAAUAUUUAACCCACUUAAAUUGAGCAUAUAAAAGAGUGUUAAAUGAAAAGUUAAAAAUUAAAAAAUAUUAUUUUGACUCUUUCAACUUUAUUUUAUACACCUCAAAAAAAUAUUAAAUAAAAUGUCAAAAUAUCUUUUCUUUCUUAUAAAUACUAUUUCUACAUGUCUAUUAAAAAAACCAAUACUAAAAAAGUGGAGCCAUCAAAAAAAUAAAUCAAUUAAAUAUAAUCAUUAAAAAAAAUAACAUCAAACUCAUUAAAAAAAAUAAAACACUUAUUUCUCUCACUCCAAUACAAUUAGCUUUUCAAAUAGUUUUUUCCAUUAAAAUAUAUAUAAUAAAAAAAAUUAUAUUUAUAUUAUUCAAAAUACUAUUUUAUCAAUUUAGCUAUUCAAAACAUUGUUAUUAAACCCAGACCGGCCCGACAAAUCGACCGGGUGGCUAGACCGGUUCGGGUUUGUCAAAAGACCGGUCAGUGCAACAACCCGGCAAAACUCAGUUGACCCGAUGAGUUGACCCAUGACCUGGGCGAACCCGGACGAGACCAGUUUUUGUUUUUUAAAUGUGGUUUUUCUCCUAUACCCUUCUUUUUUCAUUUUUUUUUUAGUUGGUUAUUAACACUUUUUAAAGUUUACUAUAUAAAUAUUAUAAAAAUAUUUUAUUUUUUCAAUGUAGGAUUUGAAACCCUUUAGUAUAUAUACUAUAUUUUUUCAAGAAAAAAAUUAUUUUUUCAAUGUGAGAUUUGAAACCUUUUGUAGAUAUAUUUUAUGUUCACAAGAAAAAAAUUAUUUUUUUUCAAAGUGUGAUUUGAAACCUUUCAGUUUAUAUACUGUAUGUUUCAAAGAAAAAAAUUAUUUUUUCAAGAUGAGAUUUGAAAUCCUUUAGUAUAUAUACUAUGUGUUUUUAGAUUAUUUAGAUGUGCUGAUAUCAAAAAUAAUUCUUAAAAAAUAAAAAAAUAUUAUUCAACCAACUUGGGUUAACCCAUUAAGCAUUAUUCUCGUAUCAUGGUUCAGAAUAACCUAAUAGAAAAUAAAUAAAACAAAUCAUGAAGUGUGAACCCCGGUUGAAAAUUAGGCAGAAAAGUAAUCUAAAUGUUUAUACAAUAAAUUUAACAGAAGUACCAAAUAAGCAUUAGAACAAACCAAAUACAGACAAAAGAAAAUAUAUACGUAAAUAUGAAUAAAAUAUUGUUGGGAGUGAGUUACCUGGAAAUAAAAUUAUCAAUAUGUAACUAAAUAAAAUUCAAAUUCACCCAGGUAAAAUUUUUAUAUAGACAAAUGCCGGGAAUUAGGAAUUUUAUCCCGGGAACAUGAAAUUUAAUAUUUGGGAUAUAAAGGGAAUUUGGUAAAAUUUAAGAGUGCGUGUGCGCGCACUCUCGGGUAAAAAGAAAAAUGGAGAGAAAAAAAGGAGAGGGGAAACUACCAUUUACAUGUGAGAGAGAUAGAAUUGUAACAAAAACAUAAAAUCUUAAAGGAAGAUCUUGAGGGAACAUUACCCAAGCCUAGUGAGCAUUAAUUGGAAGGAAUAAAAAUCAAGUGAAGGUGAGUAUAAAAGGAGAGAGGAAGUUCAACCAAGAUUAAAGAAGAGGAGUUGAAAGCUUGAUUUAGGAAGUGUUUAGAGUUUAAUUACUUGCUUGGUAAUGCAUUCUAAGGACUUUUGAUCUGAAUUUUAAUGGCUUAAAGUUCUUAAUUGAUUGAAUUUUUAAAAUUAAAAAGUUAGGGUUCUUGAAUAAAUUAAAAGGAAAUAAAAAUUUAUUGUAAUUUGUCAUGGGGAAUAAUGUGAAAAUUAGAGUAAAGUGAUUAAAUUAUUGUAAUUGAAGUAAAGAUUUUGAUAAUUAAAUAGAGCUAGUGGCCAACCAAAUGACGAGAGAUUUUAUGGGAUUUAAUUGUUAAUAAAUGUUGUGAAUUGAUGAAUAAUGUAGUAAGUAGAACUGUUUUUUGAAUAUCUCUUUAUAACUUUUUAAAUUUCAUGGAACAUUUGUGUUGAUUAUUGAGAUGGUGUUAAAUAUUACUAUCAUGAAAAUCAAAAAAGGAAUUGAUGUCUAGAUGAGGAAUAUCAUUGAAUUGUUGGUUCUUAUUAGAUUUUGGUAUGUAAUGGAGUCAUGAGACGUUAAAAAUUCUUGAGAAAUGUUAAAUUAAUAGCUAAAAUUCAUAGAAUGGUAUAUUUUUUAGAAAUAUAGUUAACUAUGAAAUUUAUUUGAUAAAAGAAAAGCAGGAACUUAUGGUAUAUUUCCUUGACAGUGAGUACCCGAUUAAACAAUAUCUAUAUUCAAUUAAAACUUAUGGUAUAUUUCCUUGACAGCGAAACAAAGAAAAGUAGGAACCCUGUAAUAUCUAGGUAAUUUCUAUACCCUUUUAGGUUAUGUUUGUUUUUGAGAAUUCACUUUCUGGAAAAUCACUUUUCACAUUUUUCUGUAUUUAUUUGCCAUUAGAAAAGUUGGUUAACGGAAAACACUUUCCACUCAAAGAAAAAUUUGGCUUGGUUUUUAGAAAAGUGUUUUCCUAAAAAAUUUGGGCGGAAAACACUUUUCGGAAGUUGUGAAAAAUUAGAAAUGUCAUAUUAUUUGCUGUUUAUAUCAAAGUUGAUCCUCAAACUUUUAAUUGCUAUAUAUAUUUUGUUUUGGAUAUUUAUUUUUCAAUUUCAUCUCUUAAAAUUUAAUUUUUAUAUUAAUUUUGGUCCUCAUUUUUAUAAUUGUUAUUUGCUUUUCCCUUAUCAUUUUUUUAUUGAAUUUUUUUAUAUAUCAAAUUUGGUGCUCAUUCUUUUGAUUGUUACUUAUUUUAUUUGAAAUAAUUUAUGAAAUGUUAAUUAUUAUUAUUUUAAUUUCUUCAUCUUUUAUUUUUUUUAUUUUUUAGAUUUGAUCUCUAUUAUUUUGAUUAUUAUUUAUUUUAUUUGAGAUAAUUUAUGAAAUUAUAUUUUUUUUCAAUUUCAUUCUCAUUCAACUUUUUAAUUUGUAAGAUUUGUUCCUCAUUAUUUUAAUAAACUUGAGAAAAAUAAAAUAUUAAUAAGUUAUUUUUCAGUUCAUUUUCCAUGACAUAACCAAACACCGAAAAAUGUUUUCCAACUUAUUUUCCAUUACACUGUCAAAUAUAAAAAAAUAAUUCACUUUUCUGAAAUUUAUUUUUCUAAAAUUUAUAUUUUUUAAAAAAUUAUUUUUCAAUAAACAAACAGUUCUUAAUAACUACUACAAGCUGAGGCUGUAAUGAGCUCAUGACAGAGGGAGAUCUGAAAGCGUAAUUUCAGAAGACCAUGACACAAAUCAACGGCUGAAAUCCAAUCACUCAUGGGAUGGUGACAUGUCGCAUGAGUGGAGACAGCUGGACUUCAAUACGAAAAGAAACAUAGCGUUUUCAUUGUUUAAUUUGUUUUUUUGGAGUAUCUUUGUUCUCAUGAUAGUUCUUGUGGUGAUGGAGACUUAAAAAAGAUAGUUUAUAAAAAUUAUUUUCACUCGUGAUUUGUUUGUUUAAAUAAAUGUUUAACUAAAAUUAUGAUUAAAAAUGUUUAACUAAAAUUAUGAUUAAAAUGGAUGUUUUAACUUAAAUUACCACAAAAGAUACUGGUGAAGGUGGAGAGGAUGUGAGAGACGAUUGGGUAUCUUAAACAUCAACUGUUGUUGGUGGACUAAAAGCCAUCCGCUUGAUUAAUGGUAAACACUUCAGGCUCCUUUCCCGCCCUUUUCCUGGCUGGAUCCUUGAUAUCUUCAAGGGGUGCCAGCGCCUUGUUCGAGGAUUGAGCAUAAAAGACUAAAAAGAGUUAAAUAAAUACUAAAAGACAUAAAGUGAAGUUUUUUAUAAUAUUCAUAGCAAUGGUCAUCACCUCAUUUAUAAUUUAUCAAUUAAUGAAAAGUGAUAAAAGAAGAAGAGAGAAGAAAUAAAGUGAAGUCUUCUUCCGCAUUAUUAGCACAUCACGUGAAAAGAAAGAUUGGCAUAUGAUAAAAGUUAAUCCAAUCAAACCCACUUUUUCGACGAUGGGAUCUCUUGGCAAAUAAAGCAAAGGACAAACCGAGUAAAAUGUGGGACAUAACUCCAUUUUCCUGGCACACGCAACUCACGCGUACACUAACACUAAUUUGCGAUAUUUUUUUACUUGGGAGUUUACAGGCAAAUAAGGGCUUCUUCUGCAUCAUCACAUCAUUUAAUGAAGUUUUCCAGUCAAACCCACUUUUUUCAAAGAUGGAAUUUCUAGUAAAAUGGAGUCCAGAGCAUAACAAGUGCGGAGAGAGAGAAGGCUUUUGCGAGUUCUGUUUUCUGUAUAUUUCUCAAGGGGAUAAAAUAAUGUCUUGUUACAGAUUUGUUUUUGGUAGAAUUGUUAGAGAUCUUAGCCGAUGCAUCUGAAUUAUAAUUUUUAGCAAUUAUACUAUUUUAUAGCCCUAAUAUCUUAAAAAAAACUUAUUUUCUAGCUUUUUUUUAUGGUAUGAUCAAACAUUGCAUGCUUACUCUCUGGUCUAUAUGACCAUUAACAACAAUCACUCGAAACCCACAGUCAUUGCCAUACAUAUUUAACUUGAUGUUUGAGAAUGUGAUAAUGAUUGUUUUUUAAAGUGUUUUUUAUUUUAAAAUAUAUUAAAAUAAUAUUUUUUAUUUUUUAAAAAAUUAUUUUUGACAUCAACACAUUAAAAUAAUAUGAAAACAUCAAAAAUAUAUUAAUUUAAAAUGAAAAAAAUAAAAAAAAUUUAAAUUUUAGUCAAAAAUAUAUUAGUCAAUAUCUGAAUGCAUGAUUAAUUAUGCACUUUGUAACCAUAAAUCUUCCUUUAAUCAUUCCAAAUAAGAAAAAAAAUAGAAAAGAUUUUCUCUAAUCUGUAUGGUGAGUCCCAAUUAUCACUGGCUUCCAAUUUCCAUCCCGUGCUUUCUAGCUGGAUUGGGUGUUUUUUCUCUUCUUUUCUCUUUGUUGGAAUACAAUAAUGCAUCACAACGGUUAAUUCCUUAUCGGUUCGUGUUGCAGUAAUUAUGAACGAUGAGUCCAUUUGACCUUAAAAGUAAAAGUAUCUGCUGUUCAUAACGACUCACUUAAGUUUGCAAUUGAGCUAAUUGUUCUAUAAUUACUGUAGCUAUGAAAGGUGAAGCACAAUUUCAUCCAAAACAAAACUCGUUAUUUUCAAAAAGAAAAAUUACCCCAAUUUUUUUCUUAUAUUUUAGUAUUUCUUAUAUUUAAAGGCAGUAUAGUUGUAAUAUUUUCAAGUAAUCGAAACAACCACCUAUAUAUCAAUUAUAUGAUAUACUGACUUGACUUUCCAAGUGUUUUGACUUUUGAGUACUAGAAGAAGAAAAUAUACUUCUCUCUAAAAAAUAAGGAAAUUUCGGAUGUAUUUUCUUUUAACUGGCGAAAAAACAGGAAGACGAAGAAAGGAAUAUCAUAUUUCUUGUAGGAGUAUGGUUAGCACGAGCUAUAAGAGUUGUACACGAGAGAAAAGAAAAUGGAAGGCCUAUCGACUCUCUUUUUUUCUAUGUUCACAGGUAGUACGGAUCGCUUACCAUGAACAUCAAACCUAUCGUUCAUAAACUGUGCCUAGACUUCUUUAAUCAUUUACAUAUAUAAAUUUGGUUAAUCAAGCUGGAGAAGAUCGUGUCAAGAACCAUGCUGUAUUGUUUGAUAAUGCAGGGAAUAUAAUUUUACAAGAAUAUUUUUCAAUUAAUAAAAUAUUUCUUAAAGAAAUUUUCAAUAAUCUUGUUAAAUUCCAACAAUGAGUACCCGAUUAAAUAAUAUCUACAUUCAAUUAAAACUUAUGGUAUAAUUAUCUGACAGCGAAAUAAAGAAAAGUAGGAACCUUGCAUUUGAGAAAUUUCUAUUAGGCCUCCAAUCCAAGACUGUAACGAGCCCUGGAUCUACACAGAAGAAAUUUCGUGGGAAAUGGGUUGAUGUCAGAGGGAGACAAGGAAGCGUCUUUCAGAAGAACAUGACACAAAUCAACGGCUGAAAUCCAAUCACUUAAGGGAUGGUGACACGUUACCAUGAGUAAAGAUGGAGACACUCACGUUUGGGAACGCUGCUACGGCUGCGUUCUCAAAAAAUUUGAUUUUUUUUUUUUUACUAAAAUUUAAUAUGAUUUGUAUCGUUUUGAUGUGAUGAUAUCAAAAAUGAUUUUUAAAAAAUGAAAAAAUAUCAUUAACAUUCAUUUUGACACGAAAAGUAAUUUAAAAAACAUCCACAACUACACUGACAAACAUGACAAGGGAGACAGCUGGUCUCUGGUACGAAGAGAAACAGCAGCGUUUUCAUCGUUUAAAAUGGAGUGUUUGUUUUUCUGAGUGUCUUUGUCCUCGUGAUAGCUCGUGGUGGUGGAUGUUUAAAGAUGAUUGCGUAUCUUAAUAAUUGCAAAAACAAUUGAUUUUUUUUUUUUUUUUGAUGAUUGACACACAAAACCCUAUUUUCAUAGUUAUGUUAAUUGAAGGAUAAUAAAUGGUAGAAUGACAAAUUGCCAGGUGGAAAGUUAUACCUCAUCACAACAAAUACUUUCCAGCAAAUUGAUUAAUGGCUGUUACAACUAAUUACAACGAAUACUCUUCAUUUCUUCUCUAUAGUUAUGUUAAUGGUAAAAAAAAAGUUGGAAAUUAUAAUUUUGAAAAAUAAAUUAAAAGAUAAGUGAUGAUCAAAUUAGAACUUGAUAUUUGAUAUAAAAUAUAAUUUUUUUUAAUUAAAUCCUAACAACAAAUCACAAAUCAGUUUCAAAUUAGUGAAUGUUGCCGAAGAGAAUGGCAAAAAAGAAGAAAAUUAUAUUUUAAGAAAGUCAUGGAGCCGUAUAUUUUUAUUAUAAAAGAAUCAAUAGAGAAAAGAAAAAACAUUAGAAUUGAUUGUUAUAUUUCUUGAAACAAAUAAAAAGAAACAAAAAACAAAAUAUAAAUCAUGGAUGAAUUAAAUCCUCUUGAAGACCUGCUUCAAAGUAAGAAAGAGGUAAAUACUAUUGGAAUUUAAUUGAUAUACGUUUCUUGCAUGUUGUUUCAAGUUGCAUAAAUACAAGCAAAAUACAUUUAUACAUAUUAUAUUACAAUUGAUAUAUUUUUUUGGUGCAGAACUGAUAUUAUCUUUUGAAAUUAAAUCCGGUUCAAGGAUGGAGCAUAAAAAAAUUUGAAUUAUUGAGUCAUUUAAUUAAUCAGCAAGGAUUAGGGGAUGAUAAAAAAACCAAAACACCGAUUAAACUGAGAAAACUGGAAAAAAAAUAAUUCAAAAAACUAAACCUUAAAAAACCCCGAUUAGAAUAUUUAAAAAACUGGUCAGUUUGGUUUAGUUUUGGUUUUAUAAGCCUGAAACUGAAAAACAAAACCGAACCAAAAUUAAUAACCGAGCCAAACCCGAAAAACCAAGCUAAACAGAAAAAACGAGCCAAACAGCAAAAAAACCGAGCCAAUCGGUUAGGUUUUGGUUUUUGCUCUAAAAUAACCAAACUGAAUCGAAACCGGUCGGUUUGAACCGAUUUUGAUUUUUUUGUUUGUUUUGAUUUUUAAAUUUGGUUUGGUUAUUUUUUUAAAGAAAAACCAAACUGAAUAAAAAAUAAUCAUCUCUAGUAGGGAUCACCGAUGAAUUAUUUUAUUAAAAUAAUUUUUUUUGAAAAAUAUUUGAUAUUAUUUUAACUAAAUUUGUAUCAAGUUUUAUUAAAUAAAAUAAAUUAUUAAAAAACCAAUCGAGAUAAUAAAAUUUUAUCAUAUCAACAUUUUUUCUAAUUCAAUUUUAAAAUUGUCUAUGUCAAGAUCUGGAGGAUGUGCUUUCUACAUCAAAUCAGUAUGCAGGAUGGAGUUUCAAAACUAUAUUAUAUAUAAAAAAAGAUUUUGAAAUAAAAUGAUCCAUUUAUAUAUAUAAAAACAAAAACCUCGAGGUCUAGGGUCCACCGGUGGAGGCAUGAAUGGCGGUCUUCUUCUGCAUUAUUAGCACAUGUGAAAAGAAAGAUUAUAUUUUCCUGGGCAUAUAAUAAAGUUAUUCCAAUCAAACCCUCUUUUUCAACCGAUGGGGUCUCUUGGCAAAUAAAGCAAGGACAGACUGAGAAAGAUAUCCAGAACAAUAUUCAUAACAAUAUUUAUAAAAUAAUAUAUAUAAUCUUUCUCAACCGAUCGGCAACUCACGCAUACAUAAACAUAUCCAGAACAAUAUUCAUAAAAUUAAUUAAUAUCCCAUAAAAAUAUAAUUUAAUUAAAAAAAAAAAUUAAAAUGAUACUUUUAAUAUAAAAAUAACAAAGUAUUAGAUUAAAAUGACUUGUUAUCAAGUAAUCAAAUAUUAACAUGAUCAUAAGAUUGAGAUAACUUCAUAUAAAAUAAAAUAAAAAUAAAUUAUAAAGUUCAAUUUAUAAUUAAUUUAAUAUUAAAGGAUGAGAUUAAAAAAAUUAAUUUAAAAAAAACAUAAAAAUAAUCCAAGUCAAUCUGUUAAACCCAUAAUUCGUCAUGAAACAAAUAUAACCUCAUAGAAAAAAAUAAAAAAAUAACUUGAUUUAAUUCGCUAAAUCCGCAAUUCUGAUAACGAGAACGAGAAAAUCUCAUAAAGAGCAAGUCAAAAUAUAUUAUAAAGUUUAAUUCUCAGUCGAUCAAAUAUUGAAUGAUAAAGAUGGAAAAAAAUUCAAUUAUAAAAACACAAAAAAACAACCUGAAUUAACUCAGGUUAACCCAUUAAGUAUUAUUCUCAGGUCAUGUGGUCAGAAUAACCUAAUAGAAAAUAAACAAAAUAAAAUUUAUAACUUAAUUUUCAAUUAACCUAAUAUUAAAAGAUGAAAUUAUAAAAAAAAAAUUAAAAAAAUCAAGCCAACUAAAUUAACCUAUCAAAACUAUAAUAAUAAUUAUUAUAAAAGUGAGAUAACAUACAAAAGACAAAUUUAAUAAUAAAAAAAAACACAUUGAUUAAAAGAAAAGGCAAAGCACUUAUUCAAAUAACUGUAUAAAAUAUAGUAAUAUAAUGUAUAAUGUAUAAUUUAUUUUUUUAAUUUAUAACUGAAAGUGAGAAAAGGAAGAAGAGAAAAGAAAUAAAGUGAAGUCUUGUGCUGCAAGAUCACCUCACCUGAAAAGUUUGGCAUUUAGUGAAGUUUUUCCAAAUCAAACCCACUUUUUCAAAGAUGGAAUUUCCAAGUAAAUAAAUCGAAGACAAACCUAGUAAAAUGGAGUCUAGAGCAUAACAAGUAGUUACAAAGCCGAGAAAGAAAAAGCUUUUGCGAGUUCUUUACACAAACUCUUACUUCUUAUGUAACCUGAACAAAAAUCCCUCUUCUUCUUCUUCUUCUUCUUCUUCUUUGUUUACUCUUCCUUCGUUACUUUGCAAAGAGGAUAAACCAUGGCUGAGGCUUUAGUAGGAGGAGCUUUUCUUUCUGCUUUCCUUAAUGUUUUGCUUGACAGGAUGGCUUCUCGCCAGGUGGUGAACUUCUUCAGUGGCCAAAAAAUCAACAAUAGCCUGCUGGAGAGGUUGGAGACAGCAAUGAGAUCUGCCAGUCGGGUGCUUGACGAUGCCGAGGAGAAGCAGAUAACAAGUACAGAUGUGUGGGAUUGGCUGGCCGAGAUUAAAGACGCUGUCUAUAAAGCCGACGACUUCUUGGAUGCGAUUGCUUAUAAAGCUCUACGACAGGAGUUGAAAGCUGAAGAUCAAACCUUCACAUGUCAUAUGCAGAGAUUUCUUUCUUUCUUUAACCUAUGUAAAAAUGGGCUGGGAGAGAUCGAAGAAGAAUUAAAAGUCCUCUUGCAGGAUCUAGAUCGCUUAGUUGAUCGAACGGUUGCCCUUGGUUUGAUCACCCGCACUGGAAAAGAACCAUCAUCGCCUAAAACACCCGGAGAAACUUCUCUGGUGGAUGAACGUGGUGUUUAUGGUAGAGAUAAUGACGAGAAAGCAAUACUGAAGUUACUUCUAUCAGACGAUGCAAAUGGACAAAGCCUAGGUGUUGUUCGCAUAGUGGGCAUGGGCGGGGUUGGUAAAACCACGCUUGCUCAGAUUGUAUACAAUAACAGCGAAGUACAGAGGUGCUUCAAUCUCAAAGCUUGGGUUUGUGUUUCAGAAGAUUUCAGUGUUUCAAAGCUAACCAAGGUUAUCCUUGAGGAGGUCGGUUCAAAGCCUGAUUUUGAGAGUCUGAAUCUGCUCCAGAUUCAGUUGAAGGAGAGGUUGCUGGAAAAGAAAUUUUUGCUUGUUUUAGAUGAUGUAUGGGAAGAAAAUUAUGCUAAAUGGGUCAGUUUGCUUGAACCCUUGAAGUCUGGAGCACAAGGGAGUAAGAUUCUUGUUACAACACGCCAUGAAAGGGUAGCAUCAGUCAUGCCAACUGUUCCAACUCAUCAUCUAAAAGAAUUGACGGAAGACUUCUGUUGGUCCUUGUUUGCCAAACAUGCAUUCGGUGAUGAAAAUUCCAUUGCGGAUGAAGAGUUGCAAAAAAUUGGUAGAGCAAUAGCGAAAAAGUGUAAAGGCCUGCCUCUAGCUGCAAAAUCACUCGGAGGUCUGCUAUGCAACGAAAGAGAUGUCGAGGAGUGGCGGGAUAUUUUGGAAAGCAAUCUAUGGGAUUUACCCAAAGACAAUAUCCUCCCAGCUUUGAGAUUAAGUUAUCAUCAUCUCCCGUCGCAUCUGAAGCAAUGUUUUGCUUAUUGUGCCAUAUUUCCAAAAGACUAUUCAUUUGGAAAGGAUGAAUUAGUGCUCCUUUGGAUGGCAGAGGGCUUCUUGGUCCACUCUGCAGUAGAGAUGGAAAAAGCAGGAGCUAAGUGCUUUGAUGAUCUCUUGUCAAGGUCGUUUUUCCAGCAAUCAAGUGCCUCUCGCCCCUCAUUUCUGAUGCACGAUCUCAUGCAUGACUUGGCUACCCAUGUGUCCGGUCAAUUUUGCUUCAGCUCCAGGUUGGGGGAAAAUAAUUCUUCCAAGGCCACCAGAAGGACUCGACAUUUAUCACUCGUAGUAGAUACGGAAGACGGAGAUACUGAAGGUGUUUUUUCAAGCACAAAAUUAGAAAACAUCCGUAAAGCCCAACAUCUACGCACAUUCCGAACUUUUCCACACAAUCGGAUGUGUCCUCCUGAAUUUUAUAAGGAGAUCUUUCGGUCAACACAUUGUCGCCUACGAGUGCUAUUCAUGACUAAUUGUCAAGAUGCAUCUAUGUUGUCAUGUUCAACUAGCAAGUUGAAGCAUUUGCGGUAUUUGGAUCUUUCCGGGUCAGAUUUAGUAACGUUGCCUGAAGAAGUGAGUGCUCUUCUCAAUUUGCAAACGUUGAUCUUGGAAAGUUGCCACCUACUUGCUAGUCUACCUGAUCUUGGAAAUUUGAAGCAUUUACGACAUCUGAAUCUUCAACGUACAAGAAUCGAAAGGUUGCCUGCAUCUCUGGAAAGGUUAAUCAACUUGCGGUAUCUUAACAUCUCAGACCACACCUUUGAAGGAGAUGCCACCACAUAUAGGUCAACUGACAAAGCUCCAAACGUUAACUGCCUUUAUCGUUGGAAGACAGAGUGAGUCUAGCUUUAAAGAAUUGGGAAAGCUAAGACAUCUACGGGGAGAACUUCAUAUUCGGAACCUUCAAAAUGUGGUGGAUGCUCGGGAUGCUGUUGGAGCAAAUUUGAAAGGUAGAAAACACCUUGUAAGCUUGAGGUUUACAUGGGAUGGUGACACUCAUGACCCGCAACACGUAACAAGCACACUUGAGAAAUUAGAGCCAAAUAGAAAUGUGAAGGAUCUUCAGAUUGAUGGUUAUGGAGGUUUAAGGUUUCCGGAGUGGGUAGGAGAGUCCUCUUUCUCAAAUAUAGUGUCCUUGAAGCUCAGUAGAUGUAAAAACUGCACCUCCUUACCACCGCUCGGGCAAUUAACUUCUUUAAAGGAUCUCACAAUUGAAGCAUUCGAUAAAGUUGAGACUGUGGACUCUGAGUUCUAUGGGAAUUGUACUGCUAUGAAGAAGCCAUUUGAAUCCCUCAAAACAUUACGGUUUGAAGGGAUGCCAGAAUGGCGCGAGUGGAUUUCAGACGAAGGCAGCCGGGAAGCCUUCCCUCUUCUUGAGUUUCUUUCAAUCAAAGAAUGCCCCAACCUUACAAAGGCCCUACCUGGUCACAACCUUCCACGUGUAACAAGACUUAAAAUUAAAGGAUGUGAGCAGCUCGCGACUCCACUUCCUAGGAUUCCUAGGCUGCACUCUCUCUCUGUUUCUGGAUUCCACUCCCUAGCGUCCCUACCCGAGGAAAUUGAGCAAAUGGGUUGGUCACCCUCUGAUUUAGGAAAAAUUAAUAUCAAGGGCUGGGCUUCUCUCAAAUGCAUCUCACUGGACUUGUUCCCCAAGCUAACUACUCUUUCUAUCUCUGACUGUCCAGAUCUCGAAUCACUAUGUGCACAUGAAAGACCCCUCAAUGAUCUCACCUCUCUCCAUUCUUUGGAAAUCGAGCAGUGCCCUAAAUUAGUUUCAUUUCCCAAAGGAGGGUUACCUGCUCCAGUCUUAACAGAACUUACGUUACGACAUUGCAGAAAUUUGAAGCAGUUGCCUGAGAGGAUGCCUUCCCUCCUUCCAUCCCUUGACUUUUUGGGAAUAUUUGGUUGUUCAGAAGUUGAGUUGUGUCCAGAAGGCGGUUUUCCCUCCACAUUACACUUUCUUUGGAUUCGUAAUUGCAACAAACUCAUUGCAGGCCGCAUGCAAUGGGGCUUGCAAACGCUCACUUCUCUUUCAGUGUUUUUUAUUGGUGAAGACGAAAAUGUUGAAUCCUUCCCUGAAGAGAUGCUGCUGCCCUCAAGUCUUACAUAUCUUAACAUCUCUGACCUACAACACCUGAAAUCUCUUGACUACAAGGGGCUUCAACACCUCACCUCCCUUAAACAAUUGAAUAUACAUGACUGCCCUCUGCUUGAGUCAAUGCCAGAAGAAGGGUUGCCCUCCUCCCUUUCUGCUCUUUUUAUUGUAGAUUGUCCUAUGCUGGGUGAAAGUUGUGAAAGAAAAGGUAAAUAUUGGCCCAAGAUUUCUCACAUUCCUAUCCUAAGUAUUAACCGAGCAAAAAGUAGCUUUUCUUUCAAUCGUCCAACAUAUUUUUUGAGGUAUUGCUCCUAGAAAGCUGUAUGUUUUUAUUUGUUGUAUGUUGAAAUACAGAUAAUUUCUUCCAUAAUUAUUGUCUCUCAUUCAUCUCCAUAAAUAAUAAUCAUCAUUCUAUUUCAAUAAUAAUCAUCAAAUGCGGCAAAUAAACAUCACAUGCUUCAGAUUUUGAACUGCCAGCGCCGUCCUUAAAAAACAAGUGUCCAUCUUAAAAGAUUAAAAAAUAUUUAAGUAAUCUGCAACAGAUUUUUCAUUGUUGACGCGGCAAAAUCAAAAUUCAAAAUUUAAGUAAUCAAAAUUCAAAAAUCUCCGUUCUCUCCUUUUCUCCUUUUCCGCAUCUCCAAAAAUUCAAAAUCCAAAAACUUUUGAUUUAUCUAUUUUAUUAUUACUUAACUUUUCUUGAAGUUUACUUUCAUAAAAGAUCUUUUAUAGAUAUAAAAAGAAGAGAUAAUAUAAAAUUCAUCCGUAUUGGAAUCACAAUUCAGAAUCAAGUGAAAGUGGCCAAUGUCACUGAAGAGAAAGGAUUAAAGCACAGAAAGUCAUCAUCUUGAGAACUCACAGCAAAGAGUUCAUUGUUUUGCAGUAGAUACGUAGCUAUAUUAACAACAAUACUUCCAGCAUGCACAAAUGCGACUUCUUGAUGGUUACGCUGCUAAAGACAUUUACAAAUCCCCAUCAAUACUGGUGUUUAUUCCUCAUGAUGAUCCAGUGAGCUCACAAUAAAAGAAAACCUCGGCAUUACUAGUAAAUCGUCACUGCAAGCAUGGAAGAGAUUCAGGUAGGAAUUACCCUUGUCUUCAUUGAGAGGCUUUAACCUCCCUAGCUCCUUCAUCAGCAGGCCCAUUGUUUGAUGCAUCCUCUGAAGCGUCUAAGCAAGGAUUGCUUUUACACUGACUUACAGGCUGAGCAUUGGUCAAGAGACUAGAAAGUUGAGACCCCUUUUGCGAAAAGUUUGGUUUACCUUUCGGAGUCUCAGACAGGCUUCCCGUUGACAGCUUUACUAGGCCAUUGUCUUGUGCUCACACGGGAGCUUAAUUGAAAAAGGUGAUUCAGGUGUCUCAGGAUGCUUCCCAGGAAUAUCCAUCGGUCUAUGAAACAGCAAAUGAGCCACAGUCCGGUCUACGGGAUUUGUCUCUGUUUCCACCUCAGGCAUCUUAACCACCCUGCAGUAUACUCAUAAAAUCCAUGAGGAAAAUGACAGGCAAGUUUGAGAUUGCCAUACUCUAAACAAAUUGAUAAACAAAUUGAUAAACACUUGAUUAAUAAUUUUGUGCAUACAAAUUGAAUAAUUUGAAAUGGGAAGGACGAGAUGUAAAGGAACAAACCCAUUGGAACAAGGAACAAUCACAUUGUCGCUUACAACAAAAAAUCGAGUUUCAGAUCAAAAGAGCGUAUGGUUUUGGCUGGAAGUGUCCCAUUGAGACAUAGAUGAGCCGAUUAGAAGAUGAUUUGAGUUCUUAAAUUUUCUUGCUUAAAAUGUAAUGUAACAUGAAUCUGCAGAUGAUCAUUAUAUUAGAAGGGAAAUUUAAUUUUGCCCUAUUUAUCUAAAGUUGUGCAAGUUCUCUGCAUUGAUGAUUUCAGUGAAUCUGUACAGAUCUUGUUUUCCUUCUAUUUGUCCUUGAAUAAACUUAUUGCACUUGCUUAACAUUCUUUGUCUCUCUCUCUUAGUUAAAUCUAGCAAAAUUUAUCAGGUAUGUUGUGCCACUCAUUUAGACUUGGAUGUGCGUGUUUAGCUCUCCUUUUCGGAUUAAGGUGAUUAUGCACAAAUUCACUGGAAUCAACAUUGCAGAAAACUUGCAUAGAUUUUGUUAAUAUUGGAAAAAUUAAAUUUCCUUUUCUAAUUAAAUGAAAAUCUCUACUAAAUAUUAUGCUAUUUGAAUUGUCACCUCAUGACUACUUGCUGCACUGCACUCAUGAAUGCUGCACCAGGGUAAAGCUACAAAUGUCAGUUUUUAAUAUCUGCCUCUACCUAGCUCGGCCUACAAUACCAAAGUUUCUCUCCUACAAAUGCCAGUUUAAUAUCUGCCUCUACCAUAACAGAACCAGUGGAAGCGAACUACUACAUAUUUGAUCAACAAGGUCAAAUUCAGUCAAGUUUUUAAGGAAAUCCAGUGAAAGAGGAACCUAAAAUUUUCUGUUUAGAUUUUCUUCUACUUCUAAGAACAAGCGCGGCCUUAAUUGAAUUGUUUCAGUCACUAUUCCUCCAUUGUAAAUAGAGGAUACCGCUUUCAAUAUUUAUUUCUAGAAUUAGAAUGGAAAACAGAAAAUGGUGAUGGCAUUAAAAGAUCCUAAUCUAACAUUUCUAUAGAGCAAAAAUGUUUAAAAAAAGAGAGGAUAGAUUAAAUUUGAAAACAGAAGCAUGAGAAAUGCAUUGCCUUAACCAACCUUCUUUGACUGCUGGUUUCCUCUUUUGCAGCAACUUGUUCGUCCCUGCUACUAUUGUUUGUACUGCCAGUAUCACUAGCAUAAUGCCUUUGCAUUGCACUUUGAGCCAGCCGGAACAAGCUAUCCCGAAUACAAAGUCUAAUUCUGACAUCCAACUGUUGUAAAACAUUGGUUUGGAAUCGUAACCAAUUCUUGAAGCAUGUAGAGUACUGUGUCCUCCAUUGAAUAAUCAUUAACCGCCAGAGAGACUGUAUUGGAAUCGUCUUGCUCAAUAGGCGAGUUUGGGUCAAAUGAAGCAAGUGUACUUAGAUCCUCUACUUCAGGGCCAGCUCCUUCAACAUGCUGAAUUUGAUUUUCUUGGGAACACUUUUGAUGAACAAGCUGCUGCUGCUGUUUCUGAAUGGCAAGCAUUGCCUGCAUUUGUUGCCGCCUCCUUAAUUUUUCAAUCUUUUCCUGAGGUGUCAUUCUCUGGGGUUUCACUGGACAGUCAGCUAACUUGUUUAUAGGAUUUGCAUUGCCUGAAACUUCAUAACCAGAAAUUUUAGGUCGAUGAUUAAAUGACUAGAAAUUUUGUUGGAAAGUCAGAAAACUUUAACAGGAUUCGCAUUACCUGAAGAAACUUCAUAACCAGAAGCUAAAGGUUGAUGCUUAAAAUCCCCAGACUGAAUGUGGGACAACCCAGGCAUAGAAUAUGGAUUUGUAAUACUCGUAUGCAGAAGGGGCCACAAAUGGAUUGGAUAUCUGCUGGUACUGCAACUGCUCGGAACCCUGUAGCUGCUUCUGUUGGCUGAGAAUUGAAGGGGGAGAAGAUUGCUUAAUUUGGGGUGCUAAAUGAUCCUUAAGUUGACAGGCUGGGAUUCCAGAUGAAGUCCAUUUUCCAUAAAAAUCUUGGUAUGAUUUCAGUUCACCUUUUUCUUCCAGUUUUUCCCGACCUUUCAAGAUCUUCUUUUGCCUGUGAGUCUGAUCACAGAACUAUAAACAUAUGAAUAGACAAAUUACUUAGAAUAGAUCAACGUUUUAACCAUCUAGACCUGCAGGGGAGAGUGACUAAGGCACAGUUAGUAUUUUAAUUAAGUACAUGGUUUGUAAGGAUAAAUUCAAUGUUAUUUUUUUUUUUUAACUGUAACUUAUGAUCCAAAGGGCUUCUAUUGUUCAGAAUAUAUUGAGGUAUUAGCUAAACUAGGCAAAGCAAACAGAAUUUGCAUGUCCCUGGGAAGAGUGGAUGUCAUGCUAGAAAUAUAAAUAACUGAUGCCUCCUGAAUUUUCACAUGUUAUUCCUUUCUCCUUCCUACUCACAGAAAACCACACAAUGGCUUUACUUUAGGCAAUCGAUAUCAUGGUUAAGUCAUGGGAAGCUGAAAUGACAUCUCUGUCAGGCAUUUCAGCUUCCCAUGACUUAACCAUGAUAUCGAUUCCCAUCUUGAUAAUUAUAGAAGUGAUGACUAAAUCAUGUAAAUCCAUAUUCACCCAACAUCCAAGUUUAUUCUCAUUCCAAAAAAUAAAACUAAAAAUAAUAGCAAGAAAUAUGAAGAGACGAAGAGGAAUUUAAAUAAUAUAAUUUCUCUUUUCUGUCGCCAUUUUCCAUUCCAGAGAAGUACUCGGGAAGUCUUAAUAAGUUCAAGUGUAAGGUAACUUUUACCCUUCCCAGCUCUAAUUAGGUUUCGCUGUCCCUCCAAUCUAAUUUAAGAUCUAAUAUGAGGAAACCACACUGUAUUAGUGAAAGGAUCACAAUAUCAAGAUUUUCCAACUUCAAUUCACUGAUAUAACUUUUCUUGAAUCCUGGACAAAAGAACUUAGAACAUCAAAAGAUCAUAGCAGGAUUCUAAAAAACAAAGAUUGUAUUUGGUGCUUAUUGAGUCUAAAAGUUAUCCUGGAUGAAAAGGGUAAAAAUCAGUAACAUGUCUGGUUCAGUAUCAAGAUUUUGAAAAUAUCAAAAGGAAGAAAAAAAAAAGGUACCUUGUUUGCUAAUUCAUUUGGAAAAGCACCAUUUUCCUCUGUCAGUUGAGAGUUAGCCGCCGUGUUCUUUCCCACAACAGCCAAAUCUGUCUGCAAAAGCACAAUAAAUAAAUAAAAAUAAAUGCUAAGCUUCUCUCAGCUCCUGCACUUGAGCAUGGGGCAUUAAUAAGUGAACUCAUUACUGAAAAUUGAGUUGCUAUACCUGCUCCUUCAGUAUAGGCUUGUUUUUACCUUCAUCAUAUUCUACAUGAUCAAGGCUUGCCUGAGUAUUCUGCAGACCAUGAGAUGCAGGAUCGUUCAUUUUUCCAUAGCCAAGGGUAAACAGCCGGUCCUCUUCUUGUGCAUACUCUUCUCUCGAAGCCACAGAUAUUGGAAAGGGCUUUACCGGGCUUUUAGUUAUAUCUUUAGAAGAAGACUGUUAGAGGUCUAGGCGCGGGGCGCGCCAACGAAGGCACAUUGCCUAGAAUUCGGCAGCGAUGGACUGCGGCAGAAACGAAUUCGGCAGGCAGCGUGCAUGGUCUGUGCAAGUCUUUGAGCUGGCGACUUGGCAUGGACGUGGGGCUUAGACAAUGGACCUUCUAAGUCAGCAGCUGAUGCAGCAGAAAUUGGCAAUUGGGGGCUGCCAAGUAGACAGCCAGGAAAUGGGGGAAGUGGCAGCUUCAUGGGAAGCAAAACGUGGGAGCAUAAAAUGGGGUGUUCUCCAUGCCACUAAGUCCUGGAAACAUGGGAUCAUGGAUGAGAGGUAGUGCUCCACUAUAUCCUGAAAACAUGGGAUCAUGGGUUCGAGAAAGUGCUCCACUAGGUCCCGAAAAUAGGGGUUAAUGGGGGGGAGCUUGCUGCUCAUAUUUGUCUAUAAAUAGGCUGCCAAGCCUCUGUUGUGGAGCUUGCGAUUUGUGCAUAGCACACACCAUAUUGNNNNNNNNNNNNNNNNNNNNNNNNNNNNNNNNNNNNNNNNNNNNNNNNNNNNNNNNNNNNNNNNNNNNNNNNNNNNNNNNNNNNNNNNNNNNNNNNNNNNAAAGAACUGGUCACAAGAGGUUUACAUACCACUUUGAUUACUGACUCAGCAGUUUUUGCCAUGAUUUCCCGUGUGAACAUGGUAUGAGAGAGUUUAGUUUUUUUCUUUUCUUGUCUAUUUUUUUGGUAUUGGUCUGCUUACUAUUUUGAUCCAUCUUAAAUUUUUUAUGGAAAGGUUAUAGUUGGAGCUCAUGCUGUAAUGGCCAAUGGUGGUGUGAUAGUACCUGUUGGGCUGAAUAUGGUUGCACUUGCAGCUCAAAAGCAUGCUGUACCUUUUGUCGUGCUUGCAGGCAGUCACAAGGUAAUUUAGCACAAUAAUAUCCCUUAGAGUUUUGGUAGUGAGCAAGUAAACAAACUGCCAUAUUUGAAUUGCUUGUUCUGUUUUUGCUAUUGAAUGGCAUGCUGCUGUCAUACUGCUUUACUUGUGACGGAAAAUAAUGGCAACUAUAUAGCAAUAAAUGGAAUGUCUCUUCUGUGGCCCAGAAGAUGUUUGUCAUUUCCUUCUCUGCAUCUUUUUUCUGUUAGUGUUGGUGUUUGUUGCAGGGCCAUGUGCCAGCUCAUACUGACCUAAUGAAACCCAAAUAGGCUAUAAUUUGAUUGAACUACAAGCAUAAGAAUUGCAAGUUAUAAAAAAUAAGUCCCGCCUUUGGUGCUCCUAAAAUCUUAACAUUUUGUCUUUUUCUAACUUGUUGCGUUCUUCUGAACUCAGAUCAUUGUUUAUUAUAUUUAUUUCUAGAUUUUUUUUUCUAAUGUUUAAUUUAUAGAAAUCUAGUACACAUAACAGGGAUGAAAAUGCCCAGGGAGGACAGAAAUUUUUUAUGAAUCCAAACACGAAGACAAAUGAAGAAAAACAAAUAUGGAAUUUCUUUGUUUAAUUGUAACUGGAUGGUGUCAAUAGUUAAUCCUUGUGUGUUUUGUCUCUGAUUUUGUGGCCUUGCUAAUUAUACAGUCAGUAAAACGACUUGGAUAAUGUUAAUGACUUUUGUGAUGGUAGACUUUGAAUUUUAAAUACUGUUCUGAUUCUUGCUUUAAUCCUUCGUACACUUGGCUGUUUUUCUUGGAUGGAAGCUGUGUCCCUUGUACCCUCACAAUCCUGAGGUCUUACUAAAUGAAUUGAGAUCUCCAUCCGAGCUUCUGGAUUUUGGAGAAUUCUCAGAUUGCUUAGAUUUUGGGAGCGGUACGGGCUCUCCUCUUCUUCAUGUUGUCAAUCCAGCAUUUGAUUAUGUGCCACCAAAGCUUGUUAGUCUGUUUAUCACUGACACGUAAGUUCUAGUACUUUUGAGGACAUCUUUUAAUGUUAACCACUGAUGCAAAUCAUUGAUUAGAAUAAUACUUAUUCCACUAAACAGUGUUAGGUCUCUGGUGCCAAAUCAGAUGGAUUUGAUAUAAUUAUGUCAAGUUCCAACUUCCAAAUCUUAAAUUAUUUAUAUUUUCAUCUCAUGCAAUUCUAACCGCUGUUAAUUUCUAAUUACUUCACAGUGGAGGGCACAAUCCAUCAUACAUGUACCGACUCAUUGCAGAUUAUUACUCCGCCGAUGAUUUGGUGGUGCGAAGAAGGGUUGCUUUGGGAAAUUGAGCUCAAGUCACUUUUGUUUACAAUAUUAUCUGUAAGUUUCCUCAUUCAUGUUGCUUUGUUAAUGGAAGAAUAGAGUUUGCCAAGUACAUACAGAUUUUCACCAUGAAGAAAGUUUGCUAUCUGAAGCACAAAUCAUGCUAUCUUUCUUGUAGUCUUUCACUGAACAAAUGGAAAUGGAAUCUGUUAGUUGCUAGAAUGACAUUUCUCAUCAUCUCAAUUCCCUUUCAGUUAUUUCUUGUCUUUCUCUGUAUGAAUUUGCUGCCCCCUCCCCCCGCACUGUUGCUGAAGUUGUUUUCAUUUCUCUCAUCUACCGUGGCUGAUCUCAAUUCAGAUUGCUUUUCACAAAUUAUGCAUCGCAAAAGGAUAAAUGUUUGGGUAAUGCCUGCCCUUGUGUUGUAUAUACAUUGCGAUUCCAUUACGGAACAUAAGCUGUAUCCAUAGUGUCCACAUGAGGGUAUCUCAUGACCACUUAAAACUCAACUUCUUUGUUUCUCUUUUGUUGCAAUUAUGUUAAAUUAUGAUAACUUAUAAUGCUUAGUAAGUGGUUGCAAAUACCAAUAACUUCAACUUUCUUGGGACAUAAUAGGGCCAUUGCUUGUUGUCGCCGCUUUUCUGAUAUUUUCCUGUUUUCACCUUUCAGGUAGUUUAGGAGUUACCAUGGUAAGAAGUGAUGGAUGAGGAUAGAGUAGUUUUGUCUCAGUGUAUGGAAGCAUUUAACCAUUGUUUAUGCUGGAAGAGAAGCAAACUUGUUGAUAGGGGGCAAUGCGAGGGGUAGACUAGCCAGGAAAUGACCAUUUUUUUUUAUUAUUAUUGAAGCAAAGGGCUAAGAGCUAAGAGCUACACUGAGAAGGAACGAAUGCCAUGAUGGUUGUAGCAAGUUAUAAACUAUGUAUGCCGUGUCAAAACUGUGAAAAGGAAAGGAAAAAGGAGCAACAGGUUAUAUCGAGUUUAAUCGAAAACUUGAGAACAAUUUGCACGUGGAGAAUGCGAUGGUUAGUGGGCUGUGUCGUGUGAGCACAUUUGAAAGUACUAUGGUUUAUUAGUUUUUGUUAGGAGGAGUUUUCGGUUUCCAAUACCUGAAGUUUUUUUUUUUUAAAUCUUUGUAUUUAUAUUUACUUCUCCUUUUAUCUUUAAUUUCUCAUGAAUAUGAAUAAAAGUACCAGAUUAAUUUGAAAAACUUGAGCUUGAUUAGGGUUGGGUUUUAAGAGACUCUUUUCAAGUGUGUUUUUUAAAAUAUAUUUUUAUUUAGAAAUGUAUUAAAAUAUUUAUUUUAUUUUAUUUUUGAUAUUAAUAUAAUUAACAAAGUAAAUUUAAAAUUAAAAAAAUAUUUUUUUAAAAAAACAUGAUAUAAUUGUAAAAUUAAAAAAAAAAUAUUGAUAAAGUCAAAACCUAGUUGAUCAAUAGGGUUGAUUUAUGUUCUAGUUGCCAAAUAAACCCAGUUCAAACUUGUUGAAUCAAUAUUAAGGAAAUUGGAAAUUUGAAGUUCAAAUUUAUUUGAUCAACAUGAAGUACAUUUUUUUUAAAUGAAAGAUGUUUUAAAAAAGUAAUUAGCUUGAUACUAUGUGAGUUUAUCCAAUAACCUAAUAAUUUGGUUUUUUAGGAGCAGUUCCAAACCACUCUGAUAACAUCCAUGUUGAAUAAGGAGAGAGACUCUUGAUCACCUGUAAAUUCUUCGGAAUGUUCAAACUGACAAAAAAAGAGAGUAUAGAAGUUGAUUUGAUGAAAUAUUAAAAUAUAGGGACCAAACAUGAUUUUUAUCAAAAUAGUAGUCACUCACAUACACGUGCUUUCACCUAGCAAGCCGGCAACACAAUUCCCAGUCCAACUUCCAUCCUUGCCGGUGACGGAAUAUAGCCCCCACCAAUCACAUUCCUCCACCUCAUCCUUUCCCUUCUGUUCCUCUCCCAUCACUUGUCUCCUCUUCACCAUCACCGUUUCUUUCCCGUCAACCAUAAAAAACCCAACACCUUGAGAAAAAAAAAAAAAAAACCACCCCCUGCCCUCUCUCAUCAGAAUCAUCAAAAUCAGAUCUGAUUGUUAUUUCAUCGACUGCCGAUCAUGGAAGACGACGAUGAGAUACAGUCACACUCAAACACCACCGAAUAUUCCUCACCGUCACCACCACCACCGAACGGAAGAAUCACCGUAUCUGCUCCCGCCGCCGUGCAUCCACAGCCGGUACCACCGCCACCGCAACAGAACAACAAGAACCGCUUAGCACUUGUUUUGCCGACGAAGCCGAAAGUGAACGGAGGCGGAGGAGGAGGAGGAGGGAGAGAGGACUGCUGGAGCGAAGGAGCAACGGCGGUGUUGAUCGACGCCUGGGGAGAAAGGUACUUAGAGCUAAGCAGAGGGAAUUUGAAGCAGAAGCAUUGGAAGGAGGUAGCGGAAAUUGUAAGUAGUAGAGAGGAUUAUUCUAAGUCUUCGAAAAUUGAUAUUCAAUGUAAGAAUAGAAUUGAUACCGUGAAGAAAAAGUAUAAAUUGGAAAAAGCUAAAAUUGCUUCAGGUGGAGGGCCGAGUGGUUGGCCUUUCUUUGAUCCUUUGGAUAGAUUAAUUGGCUCCACAGCGAGGAUUCCUGUUGUUGGAAAUGGUAAUGUGGGUGGUAAAAUUCCUACUAGGGUUCGUAGUGGUAGUAGGAGGGGUGGUGUGAAUCAGUAUCAUUUUCGGAAUCAGAAUGUGAAAAUUCGGAUUCUGAAACAUGAGGAGGAUGAGGAUGAUGAGGAGGAGGGUGAGGAAGAGGAGGGGGGUGCGGAAUCGGAUGAUAGUUUUCCGCCGAUGAAGAAGAGGAGAGUGGUGGUGGAGAGGGAAGUGAGGGGGAAAGUGGGGAAGGAAAAAAGAGGAGGAGGGUGGGGGAAUUCGAUCAGGAUGUGACGCAAGCAAUGGUGAAGUUUGGGGAAGCCUAUGAGCAAGCUGAGAGUGCCAAGUUGCAGCAAGUGGUGGAGAUGGAGAAGACGAGGAUGGAGUUCGUGAAAGAGUUGGAGUUGCAAAGGAUGCAGUUUUUUAUGCAGACACAGAUGGGGAUUUCGCAGUUGAAGAACGCGAGAAGGGGAGGGAAUGCUACCAGUAAUCAUUAUCAUCAUCAAUACCAUCGUCAUCAUACUGGUAACAAUAUUAAUGCUAGCAAUAAUGUUAACAACAGUGAUAGUGAUAAUUAAGUGAAUGUAGAGUUGUUGGUUAGUGUUAAAAUUUUAGAAUCUUAGAUUUUAUUAGGUUUGUGUGUUUUGUAGUAGAAGAAUGCCCCAUUAAGGGUGGAGAUUUAUAAUGUUAGCUGUGUUGCUUAUGGUGUUUAAUUUGGAGUACAGUGAUGUGAUUUCAUACUUAUUUGUGUCAGCAUGCAUUUUGCAAAGGGCACUAGCUUGAUUAAUAGUUUUUUAGAGAGUCUGUUAACGUAGCAGAUGUGAAGUUUACAUUUCAAGGGACGAGUUCUAGUUCUACAGUUACUGCUUUAAUUUGUCAGCGGCAUCUUUACUCAAUUUCAGCAAGGGAUUGUCUGAUGUUCAUCUAUAAUAGCAGCAGAUAACUAAUUGUAGCUGAAGAAAAGCUAUUAUAAAGAAUGGUAUGCGAGAGCGAUUUCAGAGGGACACAUCAAACGGGAGAUAAUUUCUGUCUCUUUUCAGCACUGUCUCCUCUCCCCUCUCCCCUCUCUCUUCUUGCUUCCUCCCCAUGAACCCGCAUCCUCCUUCCCUUCUGUUCUUUCAAUCUAUUGGAGAAGAUGUUGUAUUGGUGGUGAAACUGCUUGCCUACAAUAUUUGUGUUCUGACCUUCAUUGGUGUUCUAUGGCUUUGUUGCCGCCUUCUAGCCUUUUGGUGUUGCACGGUGCUGCUGCUUUUUGGCUGUUUCCUCAUCUCCGGUGUUACAUAGGCAGCUGCUGGCUCCUCUUGUAUCUUUUGGGUUUUGGCAUCAUUUGGUUCCUGCCAUUUUCUAUUCUCCGGCCGUAGAAGCUGACAGCAAUCCUCCGACUCUGUUCUCAUGGUCAGAUGCUUCCUCUGUUUUCUCCUGGCAUUAAAAUCACAGCUCACCCUCAAAUCUUAUUGCCUUUGGUCAUUUUCUUGAAUGGUGCUUGGUGUUGUCUUCGAGUGUUUGCAGUGUCGUAAUUUGCUGGAGUUUUUGUAGUAUUUGAAUUGUGGUUGAUUGAGCUGCAGAAUUAGAGGGAAUUGAAUCCGUGCUAUGGGUUAUCAUGUGAUAUCAUCAUUCAUCAACAAUUAAUUGAAUGGGUUUCUACAUGAAAUAUUUUUAGUUUCUUAAUCAAUAAUUUGAAGUUUUUAAUUGGAAGUCAAAUUAUUCUUAGAGAAUAAUAUAAUUAAACUAAAUCUUGGUUAAUUGAUUGCUAGCAGAGGUGUAAAUUUACAUGGCUUCAAAAUGAAGCUUAUCUUGAAUAUCUUCCACUUAAUUUUAUCAAAUAAUAUAAUUUUGAAAUAAAUUAUUUGUAGAAUAAUUUUGAAUGAUAUAAAUCAAAUAAAUGUUAAAACAUUCAGUUUUGUUGUACCUCUCAUUUGAAACUAACGCUUUGUAUGUUUUUUAUAAAAUAAAAUAAAUCCUAAACUUCUUAUGGACUAAAAUGUUUUUAUAGAAAAUAUGAGGAUUAAAAAACAUUCAUGAACAUUUAAGAAAAGCUUUUUUUUAUCUCUGUGGGCUAGGUAUGAUGUAUGCAGGUAUGGAUAUGGGUCUUGGCUUAGAAUGAUAGAUAUGGGUCUAGUAGGAGCACAAUAUUUUUUAAUGGUAACGAAUGAGCUACGCCUACCAGGCUGGUUGCUCAGUCUUGUUUUUUUUUUUUUACUAGAAUUCAUUUCUUUAUAAAGCAUGAAUCUGUAACCAAAUUUGCUUAAUCUAUAGAAAAUAAAAGCGAUAAUCUUUUUUCAAAAAUUCCACCAUCUUCCUCGACCAAUUUUUUUGUUUUUGUUUCUAUACAUAUUAUAAUUAGUUACAAAUAUAAUACCCAAUUUAAUAAAAUCAUAAACAAAAUUCCAAGACUUUCCACACAUCAAUUUAUUUUCUCUUUAUAUUAUGAAUAAAAAAAAUCAAUAAGAGAUGAGGAAAAAAUCAAAGAGGAAAAAAAAUAAAAUUAAAAAUAUCUUAAAUGAAAAAAAAUUAAAGAAAAUGAAAUUAAUUAUCGGUAUAUUAGAGGCCUUUUGCUAUGUGCUCAUAGUGUCACUAUAAAAAAUGAUAAGUCUUAAAUAAUUAUCGUUUUUUUUUAUUCUAAUAAGUAAGAGACAAACAGAUAUGUCUUAAAUAAAAUGACUCUUCGUGAUAUACAAACUCACGGUUAGGCCUCCAAACUGAGGCUGUAACGAGCCGAGUUACAGCUUGGAUCUACAAACCCUGGAUCUACAAACACUGAAGAAAUUUCAUGGGAAAUGGGCUGAUGUCAGAUGGAGAAAUUUCUGUGCUGAUGCCAGCUAUGUUGUUGCCACUGGACAGAGAGACUUCUUCAACCACCAAUCAAAUUAUUCUUAUUGACUUUCUGUGCAGUUUGGCACGGUUUUGCUGUCAAAGUUCAGAAACCCUAGCUAUUAGAAUAGACAAGUGUUUGUCUUUGUAUUUUAAAUUAUUAUUUUUAAUUGACUCCACAAGAGAGAGAUGCCAUCCCCGCAAUACAAAACUCUCGAAAAAAUAAUGAUCGUGCCAUCACCGGUGGUUGUGCUGUUCUAUAAUAUCACAAGCCACACGAGUAGCUGAUUAGAAAGAUUUUGUAGGCAUGGCAUGAUUGACGAAUGAUGGGGGAAGGGGCAAUGGGAGCCACAUGAUCCAUUUCAUGGUUGUUCCUUGCUUGUAGAAAGAAGAUCAUGCCAUCAAGGAUCUUGCGGGAUUGCUAUCUUGCUCGGUGUUGAUUUACAAUAAUGGCUGCACAUGAACCCGUCCAGCAGAACAAAUCCCCACAAGUAAUUGUCUAUCACACUCAAAUUAAUUUGAGAUUUCUGUUUCACUGCCUCCAGAGAAGAAUAUAGUUAUUAAACCUCUCUCUUCUCCUUCAAUAUUACAGUAACGAUGUUAUUUUAAGAUUUUUUUUUUUAAAAAAUAAAACAAUUAUUAAGCUUUCCUUUGAGUUCAAACAAAUCAAGGUUGCUUAUUUGACCUGCCUGCGGGGCUUUGCUCAUAGAAUAAGACAUGUAAAUCUAGGAAAGAAAAAGUUUAAUAUAUAGUUUUAAUUUUUUAUUUGGUUUAAGACCCACCCAAAAAUUUAAUAACCACAAUGUAAUUUGAUGUUUGUGUUCCAUGGCUUCGUGUUAUGGAUGCGUGCUAUUGCAAAAAAAUAAACAAUGUAGCUUGCCAAAUAUAUAUAUAUAUAUAGCUGUGUCUUAAGUUGCUUAUAUAACUAAUUAUAACUUUUAAUCUCUAUAAGCCCAACUACAUCAUUAAAAAGAAGUUCAAUUGUCAUUUCUAAAAUUAAUUGAGUCCAAGUUAUUGAUAAAAGUAUUAGGAAAUCAAGUUUUUAUUUAUUUAUUUAUUUAUUUAUUGUGAUUUUUAAUAUAUUUAUAUAGUGAAUUUUUUAGAAUGUGCAUACAUGAAAAUGAAACAUCAAAUAUGUUAUUGAUGGUUCGGAAAUAAUCCCAAAGUAUACCAAAUAAUUCCUUCCAAUCAAUCCACCCCAUUCUUCUCUGGAUCGUGUUAAAAACCAUGCUGUAUAUGUUUGAUAAUGCAGUGAAUAUAAUUUUACAAAAAUAUUUUUCAAUUAAUAAAAUAUUUAUUAAAGAAAUUUUCAAUCAAUCCACCCCAUUCCCUCCUGCUGUGCUGAUGAUGGGGAAUGGGAGAUAGUUCAAAGGAUUUGCCUCACAUUCAAGUAUGCAACUGUUUAUGGUUAGCCUCACAUAUAAAUAAACAUACAAGGUUACAUAUAUAUACUAUGACAAGUCCUUAAAAUUCCUGUUGUGAUAACCUAAAAUUUUACUCUCUUUUUUACUAUAUAUAUUUUUUUCAAAUAAUAAUAAAAAAAUGAUGGAAAAAAAAAUAAUGAUAAAAAAAUGAAAUGAAUGAAGAAUAAAUUAAAUUUUGGUUUAAGACAACAUAAUUGACAGUUCAGGGACUUAAUUAAACUUUGGAUUAGUUUAAUUAACCAAAUAAAGGGCUUAAAUUGAAGAGUUGUUGACUUUUGAGACUUAAUUGAAAUUGAAAUUAGUUUAAUUAAUGAAAUAAAAGGGUUUAAUUGAAAAAAUAUCAAAGUUUGAGGCUGAUUUGGAUCAAAAUUGCAAGGAAUUAAAAUUCAAAGACCAAAUUGAAAAGGUGGGGGGUACCAUAGGGAGCUUAAUUGAUUUUUCUAGGGGUAAUUUUGAAAGAAUUAAAAGUUGAAGAGUCAAUGAAGGACUGAAUUGAGAAAUUUAGAAACCUAGGAUUGUUUCGUAAAAUACGCUGAGAUGCAGGGGUCUAAUUAAAGUUUAUCCAGGGUGCUUAAUUACAAAACUUCAAGGGCAAAAACGUAAAUGACCAUUGACAUCAAACAAUGCCAUUUCCAGACGUUGUUCAUCUUCUUCACUCGACCGAAAAACAACAGAUGCCCCUGCCAUCGCCAACCAUUACCAUUACUCCUGUAAUAACGGUCUUGAAUGUCUUCAUUGUCAAGGAAAACACAUGACAUUCUUUGCCUAUAAAAGCUAGAGAAGGAACCGAACACAAAAAAGAAGAGGGUGGGCUGACAAAAGAAGAACAAAAACAGAGGAGGAAAAAGGACGAAAACACGAAGAAACAGUGGAGAGAGAAGAGGGAUAGAAAAAAAAUAGAAGAACCCAAAGGAAACAACGAACAUAAAAACAAAAAGUAAGAGGGUGGGCUAACAGAAGAAGAGCAAAAACAGAGGAGGAAAAGGGGCGAAAACACGAAGAAACAAUAGAGAGAGAAGGGGGAUGGAAAAAAAGAGAAGAACCCAGAGGAAAAAUGAACAAAAAAAAAAGAAAAGAAAUGGGUGGGCUGACAGAAAAAGAACAAAAAAAAAGAGGGUGGACUGACAGAAAAAGAACAAAAACAAUGGAGGAAAAAGGGCAAAAACACGAAAAUACUUUUUUUUUUUCCUUUUAUGUUAUAUUUUUUUCACACGGUAAAGAAAAAAUAAAUUGAUAAGAGUUUUUUAUAUUAUAUAAAAGUUGAGUGAUCAUAAUUUUUUUUCAUUUGAGGUUGGGUUAAAUUUUCUUAUUAAAACAUGUUUGUUUUUGUAUUUUAAAAAUGUUUUAAGAAAAAUUGAAUGUUGUUUCUUUAAUUGAAAAUAAUAUUUUUUUAUGUGUAUAUUUUGACGCGAGAUACAAAAAUCCAUUUAAUUCUUUUCUCUAGUUUUAUCUCAUACGGUAAUAGAAAAUAAAUGAUGAGAGUUUCAAUACAUCGGCAACUAAUUUAUUUUUCUUUAUUUUUUUCUCUUUAAUUUUUUUGUUCUCUUAUUGAUUUUGUUUUCAUAUUGUAAAGAGAAAAUAAAUUAAUAAAAGCCAGACUCAAGAAGAUCUCCAUAGCCCUUUUCUUUUAAAGAUAUUUUUAAUUUUAUGUUCUUUUCCUCUUAUAUUUUCUUUUCUUUUCUCUUAUUGAAUUUUUUUCCAAACUGUAAAGAUGAUAUAAAUUGAUAUGACUUUUUUUAUAUUGUACAAAAGUUGAGUAAUGAUAUUUUUUUUUCAUUUCAGAUUGUGUUGAAUUUCCUGAUUAAACCACGUUUGUUUUUGCGUCUUAAAAAUUCUUUGAUUUAUUUUUGCUAAUUGUUAAUUUUUUUCUUUACUUCAAAUUCAUAUUUUUUUAUGUUUUUGUAUUAUUCUUUUAAAUAGUUUAUUAAAAAAUAUAUUGAGAUUGAGUCUGGUUGUAAAGCCAAACCCAAGAAAUUAGAAAAUUCUUAAUUUUUUUCUUUACUACAAAUUAAUAUAUAUUGAUGUGUUUGUAUUAUUUUUUUAAUAUAUUGAGAUUGGGUCUGGCUGCGUAGCUAGACACAAAGUUUUUGGGAUUGGCUCUGGCUAGGCAGCAGGACGCAGCGAGACCUAAUCUCAAUAUAUAUAUUUUUAAAAAAAAUAUAAAAAAAUAUUAAUUUGAAGUAAAUAAAUAAAAAAAAUCAAAUUUUUUCAAAGAAUUUUUGAAACACAUAAAUAAAUAUGUUUUUAAUAAAGAAAUUAAAUCCUACCUGAAAGGAAAAAAAAAGUAUUUUCACCUAAUUUUUAUACAAUAUAAAAAAAUUACAUUAAUUUAAUUUCCUUUUAUAUUAUGAAUAAAAAAUUUAAUAAGAGACAAGAAAAAAAUUCACAUAGAAAUUUCUAUGCUGAUGCCAGCGCUAGCUAUGUGUUGACACUGGACAGAGAGACUUCAACCACCAAUCAAAAUUUUCUUAUUGACUUUUUGUGCAGUUUGGCACGGUUUGCUGUCAAAGUUCAGAAACCUUAGCUAUUAGAAUAGUCUAAAGUGUUUAUUUCUGUAUUAAAUGUUUUUUUUUAAUUGACUCUACAAGAGAGAGAUGCCAUCCCCGCAAUACAAAACUCUCAAAAAAUAUAAUGAUCGUGCCGCCACCACCGCUGGUUGGGCUGUUACGUAAUUGUUUUUUUUUGUUUUUUUUUUUUUAUAGUUGUUAUUUUUGAAAAUAUUUUUUAUUUUUUAAAAUUAAUUCUUAAUUUUUAAUAUUAACAUAUUAAAAUGUUUUUAAAAUAUAAAAAAAUAUUAAUUUAAAAAAAUAAAAAAACAUUUAAUUUUUUUUAAAAUAUUUUUAAAAUACAAAAGAAUUCUAUAACCAAGCCACCACCAAUGAUUGUGCUGUUUUUUAAUAUCAUAUUUAGGACGUGAACGAAGUCUGUUAAUAUAACUCAUAUUCUUGCUCCCUCAGGUACGAAGAGCCCUAGAAUUUUCAUGGGAAAUGGGUUGAUGUCAGAGGAGACAGAGAAGCGUACUUUCAGAAGAUCAUGACCCAAAUCAACGGCUGAAAUCCAAUCCCUCGGUGACACAUUGCAUGAUUGGAGACUGCUGGUCUCUAGUACGAAGAGAAACAACAGCUGUGAUGAAGGAAUCUUAUUUUAUUAUUUUUUUAAAAUAUUUUUUAUAUUUUAAAAUUAAAAAUAAAUUUUUGAAAAUAAAAAAUUAUUUUUAUAUAUUUUUAAAUAAAAAAUAUUUAAAAAAAAAGCUAUGCCAGCACCAGACUCCUUAUAAGAAAGAGGGAAGGUGAUAUUCAUUAUAACUUUACUGCCCCGCCUCUCUCUCCUACCUGCAGCAGCCACUAGAUGUUCAUGGCGUCUUCUUCUUCUUUGCCUAGACCUGGUUGGGUUUACGAUGUAUUUGUAAGUUUUAGAGGUCAAGAUACUCGCAAAAAUUUGACGGACCAUCUUUACACUGCUUUACACCAUGCAAGAAUCCAUGCAUUUCGAGAUGACGAAAAACUUCGUAGAGGUGAAGAAAUCUCCUUACAACUCUCCAAAGCAAUACAAGAAUCCAAGAUUUCUAUAGUGGUUUUCUCCAAGGGCUAUGCUUCCUCCACUUGGUGUCUUGGUGAACUUCAAAAGAUUCUUGAAUGCAGACGACAACCAACCGGGCAGAUUGUUCUACCUGUUUUCUAUGAUAUCGAUCCUUCUGAUAUUAGAAAACAGACGGGGAGUUUUGCUGAAGCCUUUGAUAGACAUGAAGCACGUUUUAAGGAAGAAAUGGAGAAGGUCCAAAAGUGGAGAAAAGCUCUUGUGGAGGCUGCAAAUUUAUCUGGGUUGGAUCGUCGCAGUAUCGCAAAUGCGUACUUCUUUACUUUCCCUAUGUCGAUAGCAAACGCUUCUAACUUUUAACCUUAUUACAUUUUGUAUUUUAAAUUUGCAUUAAAUUCAAAAGAUUAUCUUCCAUCGAUGAGUGAUGAAUUUCUUUUUCUAUGCACAGGCAUGAAUCAAAAUUAAUUCAAAAGAUUGUCGAAGAAGUUUCAAGUAUAUUGAAUCGCAGAAACAUAAACGAAAGGCCGCUGAAGAUGUUGAAGACAACAAUGAUAUCUGGCGGUGGGCUGCAUGACGAUGCUGAGGAGAAGCAGAUAACAAAUACAGCUGUGCGGGAUUGGCUGGACGAGUAUAAAGACGCUGUCUAUGAAGCCGAGGACUUCUUGGAUGAGAUUGCUUAUGAAACUCUACGGCAGGAGUUGGAAGCUGAAACUCAAACCUUCAUUAACCCACUUGAAUUAAAGAGGUUGAGAGAGAUAGAAGAAAAAUCAAGAGGCCUCCAGGAGAGACUAGAUGACUUAGUAAAACAAAAGGAUGUCCUUGGUUUGAUCAACCGCACCGGAAAAGAACCAUCAUCGCCUAAAAGUCGAACAACUUCUCUGGUGGAUGAACGUGGUGUUUAUGGUAGAGAUGAUGACAGGGAAGCAGUACUGAUGUUGCUUGUAUCAGAGGAUGCAAAUGGAGAAAACCCAGAUGUCGUUCCCGUAGUUGGAAUGGGCGGGGUUGGUAAAACCACACUUGCUCAGCUUGUAUACAAUCACAGAAGAGUACAGAAGCGGUUCGAUCUCAAAGCUUGGGUUUGUGUUUCAGAAGAUUUCAGUGUUUUGAAGUUAACCAAGGUUAUCCUUGAGGGAUUCGGUUCAAAGCCUGCUUCUGAUAAUCUGUUGAAGGAGAGAUUGCACGGAAAGAAAUUCUUGCUUGUUUUAGAUGACGUUUGGAAUGAGGAUUAUGCUGAGUGGGAAAAGUUGCUUACCCCCCUGAAGUGUGGAGCACAAGGGAGUAAGAUUCUUGUUACAACUCGCAAUGAAAGUGUAGCAUCAGUCAUGAGAACUGUUCCAACUCAUCAUCUAAAAGAAUUGACGGAAGACAGCUGCUGGUCCUUGUUUGCCAAACAUGCAUUUCGUGGUGAAAAUCCCACUGCUCAUGAAGAGUUACUAGAAAUUGGUAGAGCAAUAGCGAGAAAGUGUAAAGGCCUUCCUCUAGCAGCAGUAACACUCGGAGGUCUGCUACGCACCAAAAGAGAUGUCGAGGAGUGGGAGAAGAUAUUGGAAAGCAAUCUAUGGGAUUUACCCAAAGACAAUAUCCUCCCAGCUUUGAGAUUAAGUUAUCUUUAUCUCCUGCCACAACUGAAGCAAUGUUUUGCUUAUUGUGCCAUAUUUCCAAAAGACUAUUUAUUUGGAAAGGAUGAAUUAGUGCUCCUGUGGAUUGCAGAGGGCUUCUUAGUCCGGCCCUUAGAUGGUGAGAUGGAAAGAGUAGGUGGUGAGUGCUUUGAUGAUCUCUUGGCAAGGUCUUUUUUCCAGCUAUCAAGUGCCUCUCCCUCAUCAUUUGUGAUGCACGAUCUCAUACAUGACUUGGUGUGUCCGGUCAAUUCAGCUUCAGGUUGGGGGAAAAUAAUUCUUCCAUGGCCUCUAGAAGGACUCGACAUCUAUCGCUCGCAGUAAAGACGCGCGCAAGUUACGGACGGUGGUUUUUUCAGCCCAGAAUUAGAAAACAUCCGUGAAGCCCAACUUCUACGCACAUUCCAAACUUUUCCACGCUAUUUGAAGUCUCUUCCCGAAGUUUAUACUGAGAUCUUUCAUAUAUAUGUUGUCAACACUUGGGCGCCUACGAGUGCUAUCCUUGUCUCGCUGUGCCAGUGCAGCUAAGAUGCUUUGUUCAACUAGCAAGUUGAAGCAUUUGCGGUAUUUGGAUCUCUCUCGGUCAGAUUUAGUAACGUUGCCUGAAGAAGUGAGUUCUCUUCUCAAUUUGCAAACGCUGAUCUUGGUAAAUUGCCACGAACUUUUUAGUCUCCCUGAUCUUGGAAAUUUGAAGCACUUACGACAUCUGAAUCUUGAAGGAACAAGAAUCAAAAGGUUGCCUGAAUCUCUGGAUAGGUUAAUCAACUUGCGGUAUCUUAACAUCAAGUACACGCCUUUGAAAGAGAUGCCACCACAUAUAGGUCAACUGGCAAAGCUCCAAACGUUGACUGCCUUUCUCGUGGGAAGACAGGAGCCUACCAUUAAAGAAUUGGGAAAGCUACGACAUCUACGGGGAGAACUUCAUAUUGGGAACCUUCAAAAUGUGGUGGAUGCUUGGGAUGCUGUCAAAGCAAAUUUAAAAGGUAAAAGGCACCUUGAUGAGCUGAGGUUUACAUGGGGUGGUGACACUCAUGACCCGCAACACGUAACAAGCACACUUGAGAAAUUAGAGCCAAAUAGAAAUGUGAAGGAUCUUCAGAUUGAUGGUUAUGGAGGUGUAAGGUUUCCGGAGUGGGUAGGAAAGUCCUCUUUCUCAAACAUAGUGUCCUUGAAGCUCAGUAGAUGUACAAACUGCACCUCCUUACCACCGCUCGGGCAAUUAGCUUCUUUGAAGCGUCUCUCAAUUGAAGCAUUCGAUAGAGUUGAGACUGUGAGCUCUGAGUUCUAUGGGAAUUGUACAGCUAUGAAGAAGCCAUUUGAAUCCCUCCAAACAUUAUCUUUUAGAAGGAUGCCAGAGUGGCGUGAGUGGAUUUCAGACGAAGGCAGCCGGGAAGCCUUCCCUCUUCUAGAGGUGCUUUUAAUCAAAGAAUGCCCCAAGCUUGCAAUGGCCCUACCUAGUCACCACCUUCCACGUGUAACAAGACUUACAAUUAGUGGAUGUGAGCAGCUCGCGACUCCACUUCCUAGGUUUCCUAGGUUGCACUCUCUCUCUGUUUCUGGAUUCCACUCCCUAGAGUCCCUACCCGAGGAAAUUGAGCAAAUGGGUUGGUCACUCUCUGAUUUAGGGGAAAUUACAAUCAAGGGCUGGGCUGCUCUCAAAUGCAUCCCACUGGACUUGUUCCCCAACUUAAAUACUCUUUCUGUCUCUAACUGUCCAGAUCUCUAAUCACUAUGUGCACAUGAAAGACCUCUCAUUGAUCUCAACUCUCUCCAUUCUUUGAUAAUCUGGGGGUGCCCUAAAUUAGUUUCAUUUCCCAAAGGAGGGUUACCUGCUCCAGUCUUGACACGAUUUGACUUAGCAGAUUGCAGAAAUUUGAAGCAGUUGCCUGAGAGUAUGCAUUCCCUCCUCCCAUCCCUUAACCAUUUGGAAAUAAGAGGUUGUUUAGAAGUUGAGUUGUGUCCAGAAGGGGGUUUUCCCUCCACAUUACAUUCACUUGAGAUUUGUAGAUGCAACAAACUCAUUGCAGGCCGCAUGCAAUGGGGCUUGCAAACGCUCCCUUCUCUUUCACGCUUUGCAAUUGGUUUCGACGAAAAUGUUGAAUCCUUCCCUGAAGAGAUGCUGCUGCCCUCAAGUCUUACAUCUCUAAAAAUCUAUUCCCUAGAACACCUGAAAUCUCUUGACUACAAGGGGCUUCAACACCUCACCUCUCUUAGAGAAUUGACUAUAAGUAACUGCCCUCUGAUUGAGUCAAUGCCAGAAGAAGGGUUGCCCUCCUCCCUUUCUUCUCUUGAAAUUUUCUUUUGUCCUAUGCUGGGUGAAAGUUGUGAAAGGGAGAAAGGUAAAGAUUGGCCCAAGAUUUCUCACAUUCCUCACAUAAGUAUUAGGGGAGCAAAAAAGUAGUAGCUAAAAGGAGCUUUUCUUUCAAUCGUUCAACAUAUUGAGGUAUUGCUACUAAAUAGUUUAUUUUCUUUUCAGCAAUCAAAGUCAGUUUCAGUUAAAAUUUGGAUGAAUGAAAUACAGAUAUUGUCUCUGUUGUAUGUUUUUAUUUGUUGUAUGUUGAAAUACAAAUCUCUCAUUCAUCUUCACAAAUAAUCAUCAUUCUAUUUCAAUAUAUUUUUUUUCUAUAAUUAAUUUUUUAAGUUGAAUUGAUUAGUAUUUUACUUUUCUUAUUCUAACAUUUGUGGUUAGAACAAAGUAACUUUCACUGGGAUGAGAUGAUUUUGGUUCAAUGGGAGCGGUGAAACCUUUGGCUUCUUUCCUUUGAAUCCAAAUUCAAAUCCUACUAUUGUUCCUCUAUCCUGUUCUGCUGCAAAUAAACAUCACAACAUCCUUGUUUUCGAUCUUGGAAUUGCUGGUUCUACUAUCUUGUUCUGCUGCUGGAGGAUCAUCACAUACUUCAGAUUUGAAUUUAGUAAUAGAAAAUCCAUUGCUAAAAAGGAUUAAAAAAAUAUUGAAUUAUUUAAGUAAUCUGCAACGGAUUUUUCAUUGUUGACGCGGCAAAAUCAAAUCUGCUACUGAUUCAAAAAAUAAAUUAAACCCUUAAUUAUAUAAAAUCUCCCUUAGUUCUCUCCUUUUCUCCUUUUCUGCAUCUUCAAAAAUUCAAUUUUUUUUCUCCAUCUCUUUCUCUAGUCUAUUCCCCUUCUCCAAAUCCAAAAACUUUUGAUUUAUCCUUCUCUUUUAUUAUUUAAUUUUGAAUAAAUUUUUUUUAUUCCUUAUAAAGCUGAAGUUAAAAAACAAUUUUGGAGUGCAGGUAAUGCCCUUCCCAGCAAAAUUUAUGGUGUUUGGGAACUAACAAGUAACAUCUUAUUAGUUGUUCUUCAAACAUACUUUGAUAAAAAAAAAUUGAUACUAAAAGAAGAGAUAAUAGAUAAUUCAGGAUCUAUAAAAAAAUAUAAGAAUAUCUUUAUUUAUAAUUUUUUUUCUAGUUAUUAUAUCUUUUUAUUUUUUAAAUAAAAUUUAUAUAAAUAACUAAUAAGAUUAAACUAAUUAUCCAUGAACACCAUAAUUAUAUCUUCCCAAAGAUGUAAGCCUUAUAUCACGGAGGAAUGUACGAGGGAUUAAAAAAACUCUUUCCUUUGUCUUUUUAAUUCUUUUUUUUUUCAUUAGUUUAUUUAUUAAGGCGCUUAUUAGCUUGAAAGUUUUCCUCGCCUUGUCCAAUCUUCGCUAGAAGGGCUUGUUCUCAGAACGAGGAAUUUAAAAGAAGAAGUGGAUGACCGAAGAGGGGAAUUUAAAUAAGAGCUUUGGCUUUCCAUAUCUUAUACUAUUUCGUUUGAUUCCAGUUUUGCUUCAACUCUCAACAACACUCCCUUCUUUCGUUGCUCGACAUCAUUUAAAUGAACAUGGCUUAAUUACCUUUUUCAAGCAAUGAUGGAGUAGUAGUGCAGUUAAAGAACACACCCUAGCUGUUUGACAAAAUGCCGUUGAAGAUGAUAGUCAUUUUAGUGCUGCUGCUAGUAACAACCCCGGUAAGAAAACUAACGACCUCUUGAUGUGUUUUUUUAGGAAAUACAUUAAAUGUUUUUAUUUGUUCAUGUGUUUUCUUCAGGAGGUGGUGCUAACCAGAGAAAGCUAAAGCAGAGGAGGAUGGCCAAGAGGUUGCAAAGGGAAAGGAUGAAGCCUUUUGUUAGAGGUCUAGGUGCUGGUGCACUAACAAAAGCACAUUGCCUUGACGAAGCCGAAAAUAUUGGCUGCUCAAUACAAACAAGGGCCGAAAUCGGUAGGCAACGUGCGAGGACUUUCCCUGGCAUUGGGUGUAUCCUGGCAUGAAUGGUGGAUGGAUGAUGAAAUGCCCAGGACAUUGGGCUGUCCAAGCCGAGGCAGAAACACAGCAACAUUGGAUGCAUAGGUGCUUGUAGCUGGCCAGUUGGUUUGUGGGGGCUGACCCAAGUACAAGCAAAUCUUAGGGUGGACUGCCCAACGAGUGCGGGUUGCUUAAGAAAAGCAUGAGGGAUGAACUGCCUAAGAGAUGCAUGGGGUAGAGUGCCAAUGUGCUGCUGGAAUAUGUAACCUUGUAUAAAUAGGCUUGCUAAAGUCAGCUGUGUAGUAUGCAAGACAUAUUUUGCAUAACACACACAGAGAUGGUGUAUUCCUUUCUUAUAGAAUUAAUAAAAGGUCGGGAUACAUACAGAGAGAUCAUUUUGGUAAAAUUAUUAAGCAAAGCAAAUUCUCUCAUCAGAUAUGGGAUUUCGAAGGAAAAAUAGGGAUUCAAAUCUUUACGGACCAUUCGUAAACCAUUGAUCUGAGAGAGGGAUAUUUGGAUUUCGUGCUUGUUUCAUAAAUAAAUAAAUUAAAUUUUUUCUUGAGGAUAUGUAAUAAAUUAUGUUCGUUUGGAUCUACGAAGGAAAGAGGAAGAAGAAGUGGAAUGGCUAAUGGCUAAGUUCUUAAAUUGGAUGACCGGCUUAACAAUUAAAGGGUUACUGGCUACUAAAAAAAAUGAUAUGAAUUAUUAACAACAAAAAAUUAAAUAAAAAAGAAGCUGAUAACUGAAAAAUCAGCAACGAAAAUCCAAUGUUCUUUGGAUUUACUUGGAAUUGCUUCAACUGACGUGAGAAACCUACAACCCAAGCCUUCAGAAGCAAGUGAACAAAACCAUAGUUCAUAACAAGGAAGCAUCCGCGUUUUGGAAUCAAAAUUCAGAAGCAAGUGAAAGUGGCCGAUGUCACUCAAGAGAGCAGGCACUUAAUGAUUUUGCCCUGUUUAUCUAAAGUUGUGCAAGUUCUCUGCAUUGAUGAUUCCUGUGAAUUUGUACAGAUCUUGUUUUCUUUCUAUUUGUCCUUGAAUAAACUUAUUGCACUUGUUGAACAAUCUUUGUCUCUCUCUCUUAGUUAAAUCUAGCAAAAAUUUUCAGGUAUGUUGUGACACUCAUUUAUUCUUGGAUGUGUGUAUUUAGCUCUCCUUUUCGGAUUUUACCUUUUCAAUUUCUUUUGUGCUUUUGUAUUCAAGAGUCGAAGUUCAAGCAGGCAAUUUACAUAAAUCAAUGUAAAGUUGAUCAGGAAAUAGUUUACGGCAAAUUUCAGAAAGAUGGAAAGCUAUGUAAGGUUGCGGCGGCCUUCAUAUCCCUGGGUGAGAGUAUAGGAAACAGUACAGGUGUGAUGCCAGUAUUACUGGGUUUCUUUUUUUUGUUUUGCUGAGAAAACUACAAAUCCUAAAUGCAAAGAGGAAUAAUACAUAAACUUGCAAUGUAGUUAAGUUUAACAAGGAGGUAGCAUAAAUAAGCAGCGCAACAUACGAAAUUUUGCUAGAUUUAGCCACUAGAAAGAGAGAUGUCUCAACAAGUGUGGAAGACAAAUGUAAAGGAAAACAAGAUUUGCACCCAAAGAAGGUGAUUAUGCACAAAUUCACUGGAGUCAACAAUGAAGAAAACUUGCAUGGCCAGGGUAAAGCUACAAAUGCCAACGCUGAUGAAGAGUUACAAGAAAUUGGUAGAGCAAUAGUGAGGAUUGUCUGAUGUUCAUCUAUAAUAGCAGAGCAGAUAAAUAAUUGUAGCUGAAGAAAAGAAUGGUGUGCGAGAGCAAUUUCAUAGAAAUGAAACUGCUUGCCUACAAUAUUUGUGUUUUGAUCUUCUAGCCUUUUGGUGUUCUAUGGCUUUGUUGCUGCCUUUUAGUCUUUUGGUGUUCCACGGUGCUGCUGCUUUUUGGCUCUUGAUUUAAUAGAAAUGCUGUCCCCCCAUCCCUUGUAUCUUUUGGGUUUUGGCAUCGUUGGUUCCUGCCGUUGUCCGUUCUCCGGUAGUCGAAGCUGACAGCAAUCCUCCGACUCUGUUCUCAUAGUCAGAUGCUUCCUCUGUUUUAUCCUUUGGUCAUUAAAAUUACAGCCUACCCUCAAAUAUACUAAGUUGAUUUUGCAAAUUUUGUUCCAAGAGAGUAGAAAUUUAAAGAAAAAUGUACAUUCUCAUUCGUCACCUCCCUUGCAAAUUCAAUAAGUACCUCAUAAUUGGUUUAUAUAUGGAAUAUUUUUAGUUAUUCAAUAAGUGAAUCUUCGAUCAGAAGAGAAAUUAUUUUUAGUGAAUAAUGUAAAGAAGAAACUAAAUUUUGGUUAAUUUACAAUAAGUUUAUAUAGCUUGAAAGUGAAGCUCAUCUUCUAUUUAGUUUUCUUAAAUAUAUAAUUUUAAAUUAAAUUACUUUUAAAAUAAUUUUGAGUAUAUCUUACAUGUUUAAACAUUAACUUUGUUGGAUGAAUUCCAAACCACAUAAUUUGAAACUCAUAUAGGUAUCUUAAAUAGUGCAGCCUGAGCUUUACGGUUACGUUUUCUUUGACGAUGAUUAUUGUUAAAUUAUUUUUUAUUUUAAAAUAUAUUAAAAUAAUUUUAUAUUUUUAAUAAUUUUUAACAUUAACACAUUAAAAUUAUUAAAAUAUUAAAAAAAAAAAUUUAAUAUAUUUUUAAAUAAAAUAUAUUAAAAAAAAGCAUACAUUACUACUAUUCUCUCAAACAUACAAUCCUAUUCAUCUUAAGACCUGAGCUAUUAUUAAAAUGGUUAACUCAUUAAAUUUACACUUGGUUAUGGAGUUGGAUAACUCAUUAAAAACAUAAAUCUUAUAUUAAAAUAAACAAAUUUUAAAAAUAUUGAUUAGAAGAACAACAAAACACUUAUUCAAGUAGUUGUAUAAAAUAUAAUAAUAUAAUGUAUAAUUUAUAAUUCAUAAUUUAUUUAUUUACUUUAUCAAUCUUCUGCUGCGUGAUCACAUCACGUGAAAAGCUUGGCAUUUAGUGAUGUUUUUCCAAUCAAGCCCCCUUUUUUCAAAGAUGGAAUCUCGAGGUAAAUAAAUCAAAGACAAAACCGAGUAAAAUGGAGUCCACUCAGUCCAGAGCAUAACAAGGACCGAGAGAGAGAAGGCUUUAGCGAGUUGUGUGUUCUCUUGGCAAAUAAAGCGAGGACAAACCGAGUAAAAUGUGGGACCCAACUCAAUUUUUCCUGGCACACGCAACUCACGCAUACACUAACACUAAUUUGAGAUAUUUUUUUUACUUGGGAGUUUACAGGCAAAUAAAGUGAUGGAAGAAGGUCUUCUUCUGCAUCAUCACAUCACGUGAAAAGCUUGGCAUUUAAUGAAGUUUUUCCAAUUAAAACUUAUGGUAUAAUUUCUUGACAGCGAAAUAAAGAAAAGUAGGAACCCUGUUAUAUCUAGGAAAUUUCUCUGCUCUUUAAAUUAGGUGUACAAACUGAGGCUGUAACGAGCCCUGAAUCUACACAGAAGAAAUUUUGUUGGAAAUGGGUUGAUGUUAGAGGCAGACAGGGAAACGUAAUCUCAGAAGGCCAGGACUCAAAUUAGCGGCUGAAAUCCAAUCACUCAAGGGAUGGUGACACGUUGCCAUGGGUGGGAGACAGCUGGUCUCCAGUUCGAAGAGAAACAACAGCGUUUUUUUUUUUAUUAAAAGUGAGUGUACGAGCUACAUCCAUAUAUUUUAAUUAAUUUUAUUAAUUUAAAAAUUAAAAAUUAUAUAAAUUUUUAAUGAUUCUAAAAAGAUUUAAAUUCAUAAAAAAAUUUGAAUUCAUAAAUAUUAAAAUACAAAUAUAAAAUUAGAUGACCCACAACAGUGUUUUCAUUGUUUAAAAUGGAGUGUUUGUUUUCCUGAGUUUCUUUGUUCUCGUGACAGCUCAUGAUGGUGGGGGCUUUAAAAAAAAUAAAAAAAUUAUUUUUACUUGUGAUUUAUUUGAUUUAAAUAAGUAUUUAAUUAAAAAUAUUGUUUAAUAAAAAAAUAUUUAAUUAAAAUUAUAAUUAAAGAUAUAUUGUAACUAAAAUUAUUAUAAAAAAAAGAUCCGGUGGAGAGGAUGAAAAUAAUGAUUGGAUAUCUUAAUAAUUGUAAAAAAGAAAGUAUCUUUUUAUGGUGAAGUUAUCGGUAGAUGAGAAAAUACUGAGUUUUGUAGCUCAGAAAAAAAACGCCAUUCAACUAAUAAAAUGAUCCAUCUACAUUAAAAAAAAAAAAAACGUCAUGCCCACGUGUGGAAGAUAAAAUUAAUCAACCUAAUCUUUCUGGAUUGCAUUUUAUUAUUCAUGUCAAACAAUCAGUAUCCUUAAUACUGAUUAAGGAUAUUUUUGUUUUUGUAAUUCAACUAUACUUUUUAAUAUAAUAAUUUUUUAAUUUAAUUUUUUAAUUAUUUUAAUAUCAUUUUGUUAUUUCUAAUUGUUUGUGUUUACGAGGUUAGUCAUAAAUUCAUGAUUAGAAUCAUCGAUUCUAAAAAUUAAUGUAAAUUAAUUUUUAUUUUUUAAAAUUAAUUUAUUUAAAUUUUAUCAUUUAAUUUUUUUUUCAUGAUUUCUUUUUAAGAGACUAACCCUUCAUCGACAAACACUAAUGUACUCUGAAAAACAUAAUCCUACUGCAUUUGAUGCUUUAAAUUUCAACAAGGAGUACCUACACAGUGAAAUAAAGAAAAGUAUGAACCUUGCAUCUGGGAAAUUUUUAUUAGGCCUCCAAUCCGAGGCUGUAACGAGCCCUGGAUCUACACACAAGAAAUUUCGUGGGAAAUAGGUUGAUGUCAGAGGGAGACAAGGAAGCGUACUUUCAGAAGACCAUGACACAAAUCAACGGCUGAAAUCCGAUCACUCAAGGGAUGGUGACAUGUUGCCAUGAGUGAGAGACAGCUGGUCUCCAUCUAAAUGUUUAAAGAUGAUUGGGUAUCUUAGUAAUUGUAUAACAAUUGAUUUUUUUUUUUUGAUGAAGGUGUCGGUGUGGAUGAGAAAAUACUGAGUUUGUAGCUCAGUAAAAACAUGUUGAUGUUACUUUUUAUUAGCUCAUGGUUGGCUCGUAAAUUGUAAUGGGUCCCACAGUCACAAAACUAUGAUUCUUCACAUGUAAUUUAUGUUUUAUAACUUUUUUAUUUUUAAUUAUUAUUUUUUUAUUUUUAUGUUAAAAAUUUAAAAAUAUUAUUUUAAUAUAUUUUUAAAUAAAAAAUAAUAAUAUCAAACAGCGUGAAUGUUUUAUAAAUUCUUUACAAUCGCUUUUACAUUUCUUUAGAUCACAUUUAAGAAUACGGUACACCACAAUAAAGUCUGUUGUUGCUACAUGAUUAAAGGUAAUUGUCUUGCAUUUACCUUUAAAACUGCUAUCAAGAAUUAAUUAAUUGCGUCAAUUCAAUUCUUUCUAUUGACAUUGAUACCAAACAUGUUAAUUCAUGAUAUAAUUAAGCAAUUCAAUACAAAUUUACUAAUAUAAUUUAUUUCGGCUUAAACCUUUGAAUAUAGCCAAAUGCAGAGGCUAUGCAAGUGAAAUACCUUAAUAAUUUUUAGGCUUUACAACCCUAGGAGCCACUCAAAAUAUAAUGUGUUUAUACCUAUUUAUUUGUUAGAAAAUAAUUUUUUUAUUAAAAAAUGGUUUUUUUAAAAAUAAAUUGGUAAAUAUUUUUUAAUAUUUAAUUAUAUUACAGAAAACAAGUAGAAAAAUAACUUUUUACUUUUUUAAUUUUUUUCUCAGGUUUAUUAAAAGACAUAUAACAAUAUUGAAGGAGGAUAAAAUUAAAAAAAAUUAUAAAUUAUUUCAAAAUGAAAUAAAUAAUAAUUAAAAGAAUCAAGAUCAAAUGUAACAGAUAAAAAUAUUAAUAAAAAAAUAAAACAAAAAUAAAUAAUAAUAAUAAAAAAAUUAAUAUUAAAAUAAUAUUAAACCAAGAAUUAAAUUAAAAAAAAGAAAGCAAAACAAAAUGUAUAAAAUAUAAUAAUAUAAUUUAUGAUUUAUUUAUUUAAUUUAUCAAUGAAAAGUGAUAGAAUAAAGAAGAGAAAAGAAAUAAAGUGAAGUAUGCUGCUGCAUUAUCAUAUCACGUGAAAAGCUUCGCAUUUUGUGAAGUUUUUCCAAUCAAACCCUGUUUUUUAAAAGAUGUAAUUUCUAGGAAAAUAAAUCAAAGACAAACCGAGUAAAAUUCCAAAAGAAGAGAAAGAUGGAGUAGCGUUUCAGUUCCGGCUUGUAUCCGUGUUUUAAAAAUAUAUAUAUAUUUUUAAUUUUAAAUUAAUAUAUUUUUAAUGUUUUUAAAUAUUUUAAUUUAUUAAUAUUAAAAAUAAUUUAUAAAAAAUAAAAUAAUUUAUUUUAAUAUAUUUUUAAAUAAAAAACAAUAGACACCCGUGACCACUUAAAUGGACUCCUAAGCAUAACAAGUUAAGAGUUAAAGAGCCGAGAGAGAAAAAGCUUUUGCCAGUUCUUUACACAAAUUCUUUCCCCUUCUGUCACCUGAACAAAAUCCCCACUUCUUCUUCUUGCUUGUUUACUCUUCCUUCGUUACUUUGCGAAGAGGAGAAACCAUGGCCGGGGCUUUAGUAGGAGGAGCUUUUCUUUCUUCUUUCCUUAAUGUUUUGUUCGACAGGAUGGCCUCUCCCCAGGUGGUUGCCUUCUUGAGAGGCCAAAAAGUCAAUGAUAGGCUGCUAACGAGGUUGGAGACAGCAAUGACAUCUCUCAGGGUGGUGCUUGACGAUGCCGAGGAGAAGCAGAUAACAAACCGAGCUGUGCGGGAUUGGCUGGACCUGCUUAAAGACGCUGUCUAUAAAGCCGACGACUUCUUGGAUGAGAUUGCUUAUGAAGCUCUACGGCAGGAGUUGGAAGCUGAAGAUCAAACCUUCACAGGUCAGACGCAGAGGCUUCUUUCUUUCAUUAACCCACUUGAAAUAUUGGGCUCGAGAGAGAUCGAAGAAAAAUUAGACUUCCUCUUGCAGGAUCUAGAUCCCUUAGUUGAACGAAUGGAUGCCCUUGGUUUGAUCAACCGCAAUGUAGAAAGACCAUCAUCGCCUAAAAGACCAACAACUUCUCUGGUGGAUGAAUCUAGUAUUUAUGGUAGAGAUGAUGACAGGGAAGCAAUACUGAAGUUGCUUCAACCAGACGAUGCCAGUGGAGAAAACCCAGGUGUGGUUCCCAUAUGGGGAAUGGGCGGGGUUGGUAAAACCACGCUUGCUCAGCUUGUAUACAAUAGCAGCGAAGUACAAGAGUGGUUCGGUCUCAAAGCCUGGGUUUGUGUUUCAGAAGAUUUCAGUGUUUUGAGGUUAACCAAGGUGAUCCUUGAGGAGGUCGGUUCAAAGUCUGAUUCUGAUAGUCUGAAUAAUCUCCAGCUUCAGUUGAAGAAGAGAUUGCAGGGAAAGAGAUUUUUGGUUGUUUUAGAUGACGUUUGGAAUGAAGAUUAUGAUGAAUGGGAUAGGUUUCUUACCCCCCUGAAGGACGGAUCACAAGGGAGUAAGAUUCUUGUCACAACACGCAAUGAAAGUGUAGCAUCAGUCAUGAGAACUGUUCGAACUCAUCAUCUAGAAGAAUUGACGGAAGAAAGCUGCUGGUCCGUGUUUGCCAAACAUGCAUUUCGUGGUAAAAAUCCCAAUGCUUAUGAAGAGUUGCAAGAAAUUGGAAGAGAAAUAGUGAGAAAAUGUAAAGGCCUUCCUCUAGCUGCAAAAACACUCGGAGGUCUGCUGCGCACCAAAAGAGAUGUCGAGGAGUGGGAGAAGAUAUUGGAAAGCAAUCUAUGGGAUUUACCCAAAGGCAAUAUCCUCCCAGCCUUGAGAUUAAGUUAUCAUUAUCUCCUGCCACAUCUGAAGCAGUGUUUUGCUUAUUGUGCUAUAUUUCCAAAAGACUAUUCAUUUCGAAAGGAUGAAUUAGUGCUCCUGUGGAUGGCAGAGGGCUUCUUAGUCGGCUCCGUAGAUGAUGAGAUGGAAAAAGCAGGUGCUGAGUGCUUUGAUGAUCUCUUGUCAAGGUCGUUUUUCCAGCAAUCAAGCUCAUCAUUUGUGAUGCACGAUCUCAUGCAUGACCUGGCUACCCAUGUGUCCGGUCAAUUUUGCUUCAGCUCCAGGUUGGGGGAAAAUAAUUCUUCCACGGCCACCAGAAGGACUCGACAUUUAUCACUCGUAGUAGAUACGGGAGGCGGUUUUUCAAGCAUAAAAUUAGAAAACAUCCGUGAAGCCCAACAUCUACGCACAUUCAGAACUUCUCCGCACAAUUGGAUGUGUCCUCCCGAAUUUUAUAAGGAGAUCUUUCAGUCAACUCAUUGUCGCCUACGAGUGCUAUUCAUGACUAAUUGUAGAGAUGCAUCUGUGUUGUCAUGUUCAACUAGCAAGUUGAAGCAUUUGCGGUAUUUGCAUCUUUCCUGGUCAGAUUUAGUAACGUUGCCUGAAGAAGCGAGUACUCUUCUCAAUUUGCAAACUUUGAUCUUGAGAAAGUGCCGACAACUUGCUAGUCUACCUGAUCUUGGAAAUUUGAAGCAUUUACGACAUCUGAAUCUUGAAGGAACAGGAAUCGAAAGAUUGCCUGCAUCUCUGGAAAGGUUAAUCAACUUGCGGUAUCUUAACAUCAAAUACACGCCUUUGAAAGAGAUGCCACCACAUAUAGGUCAACUAACAAAGCUCCAAACGUUGACUGCCUUUCUCGUCGGAAGACAGAGUGAGACUAGCAUUAAAGAAUUGGGAAAACUACGACAUCUACGGGGAGAACUUCAUAUUAGGAACCUUCAAAAUGUGGUGGAUGCUCGGGAUGCUGGUGAGGCAAAUUUGAAAGGUAAAAAGCACCUUGAUAAGCUGAGGUUUACAUGGGAUGGUGACACUCAUGACCCGCAACACGUAACAAGCACUCUUGAGAAAUUAGAGCCAAAUAGAAAGGUGAAGGAUCUUCAGAUUGAUGGUUAUGGAGGUGUAAGGUUUCCGGAGUGGGUAGGAGAGUCCUCUUUCUCAAAUAUAGUGUCUUUGAGGCUCGUUAGUUGUAAAAACUGCACCUCCUUACCACCGCUCGGGCAAUUAGCUUCUUUAGAGUAUCUCUCAAUUGAAGCAUUUGAUAAAGUUGUGACUGUGGGAUCUGAGUUCUAUGGGAAUUGUACUGCUAUGAAGAAGCCAUUUGAAUCGCUCAAAGAAUUAUCUUUUAAAUGGAUGCCAGAGUGGCGCGAGUGGAUUUCAGACGAAGGCAGCCGGGAAGCCUUCCCUCUUCUAGAGGUGCUUUCAAUCGAAGAAUGCCCCCACCUUGCAAAGGCCCUACCUUGUCACCACCUUUCACGUGUAACAAGUCUUACAAUUCGUGGAUGUGAGCAGCUCGCGACUCCACUUCCUAGGAUUCCUAGGCUGCACUCUCUCUCUGUUUCUGGAUUCCACUCCCUAGAGUCCCUACCCGAGGAAAUUGAGCAAAUGGGUUGGUCACCCUCUGAUUUAGAGGAAAUUACAAUCAAGGGCUGGGCUGCUCUCAAAUGCGUCGCACUGGACUUGUUCCCCAACUUAAAUUAUCUUUCUAUCUAUAACUGUCCAGAUCUCGAAUCACUAUGUGCACAUGAAAGACCUCUCAAUGAUCUCACCUCUCUCCAUUCUUUGUCUAUCUCGCGGUGCCCUAAAUUAGUUUCAUUUCCCAAAGGAGGGUUACCUGCUCCAGUCUUGACACGACUUAAGUUAAAAGAUUGCUGGAACUUGAAGCAGUUGCCUGAGAGCAUGCAUUCCCUCCUCCCAUCCCUUGACCAUUUGGAAAUAAAUGGUUGUUUAGAAUUUGAGUUGUGUCCAGAAGGGGGUUUUCCCUCCAAAUUACAAUCACUUCGUAUUUUCGAUUGCAACAAACUAAUUGCAGGCCGCAUGCAAUGGGGCUUGGAAACGCUCCCUUCUCUUUCACACUUUGGUAUUGGUUGGGACGAAAAUGUUGAAUCCUUCCCUGAAGAGAUGCUGCUGCCCUCAAGUCUUACAUCUCUUAAAAUCGAUUCCCUAAAACACCUGAAAUCUCUUGACUACAAGGGGCUUCAACACCUCACCUCUCUUAGAGCAUUGACUAUAAGUAACUGCCCUCUGCUUGAGUCCAUGCCAGAAGAAGGGUUGCCCUCCUCCCUUUCUACUCUUG
This 98732-nucleotide long non-coding RNA is filed under the name Populus trichocarpa (black cottonwood). RNAcentral's name for it is "long non-coding RNA (PTRI_LNC001063)". Lineage: Eukaryota; Viridiplantae; Streptophyta; Magnoliopsida; Malpighiales; Salicaceae. The record is from RNAcentral.